GCCACUUCUUUCAUCAUUUGAAAAUGCCAAUAAAAUUUCCAAGGUGACUCUUCACUCUAACUUGAUGAAGCAUGCUGACCUACAAAUCUUCGCUAAAAGACCAAGCGUAUGCUGUCUAAUUCUCUUGGGCAAUUCUUAUGAUGAUAGCCUAUUUACCUUCAACAAAGGUGAGUUUCCCAAGCUCGUCCUUCUUAUUGUUGAGUAUGCUGUCUAAUUCUCUUGGGCAAUUCUUAUGAUGAUAGCCUGCUUACCUUCAACAAAGGUGAGUUUCCCAAGGUCGACCUUCUUAUUGUUGAGUGCCCUACCAUCACCGAGAUCAGCUUCACCGAAGGAGCAGCUCCUAUGCUAGAGAAGAUCAUCUGGUCCUUCACCAAGAUGAAUUCUCUCUCAGGCAUCAACAAUCUCUCCAAACUGAAGGAGCUCGAGUUCAUUGGUGACCUUGUCCCUGACCAGGUGAGGAUAGAUAUUAACACACAUAGAAAGCAUCCUGUUCUUAACCACAAGCCGCCACAGCACCAAGACCAAGAAAAUGGUAGUGAACAAGGAGAAGAGGAGGUUCGAAAGUUUCCAGCAUGCUCCUGGUUGUCGUUGAAGAACAAAGUAUUGGUCCAGUAACUGACGAAACAAAAUGUUUCCAUGCCAGCAUCCUCCAUCCUUCCAUCUAAUUUGUGAUCGCCUGCUCCUGGAAUCACUUGCAUGCUAGCAUGUGUUGUCCUUCUGUAAAUCUGUAAUACUUGUGUGUGUGUGUGUCUGUUUAUUCAUCAAUUAAUUGCCAAGAAACAACACAUUGUGGAGACAUGUCUGUCACGUCAUUUGGCUCCGCCAUUUCUCAAUUUUCAAUGACAUCCGACUCCAUGGCUCUGAUAGAAUAGACAAGUUCUUGAGAAAGCUCCCUGAAACAUCUCAAAUGUCAAUGCUUAAGGUGUUAGAUCUAGAAGGUUGUCAAUGCUUCCAGAGGAACCAGCACUACCUCAAGGACAUUUGCAACAAUAUUUUACUACUCAAGUAUUUGAGCCUAAGGAGAACAGAUGUUACACAGCUACCUAGUGAAAUCAACAACCUCUAUGAGCUGGAGGUAUUGGAUAUUUGGCAAACUAAGGUGCCUGAGUAUACAACAAAACAUAUCCUGCUCCUGAAGCUAAAGCGUCUGCUAGCUGGCUGUAUUGAUUCAAACAGUUCGAGUAAUGCUAAAAACAACAUUUCAUUCAGGAAUGAGGCACCAUCAUCCUCCAGCGUCCAAAUUCCUCUCAAGAUAAAAAAAAUGUCUAUCAUGGAGGUACUUUCCAAUGUCAAGGCUUCAUGGAUUAGCAGAGAGUUGAAAGACAUUGGGUAGCUAUGGCAGCUGAGGAAGCUCGGUGUGGUUAUCGACGAUAAGGACAGCAUACUCAAGAAUUUGCGUACAGCAAUCAGCGACCUAUGUGAGUGCCUCCGGUCUCUGUCUAUCACUAUUUUUUCCCAGUACAAAAGGAGAGGGCACUCCAUCCAAUGGAGACUUACCAGAGUAUAUUUCUCCGAGCAGAGGUAAGAGCUAGUCCUGACGAUUACAUCGUCGGGGCUGAUGUAUCGCUUUAGGCACGUUAGCCUCGUCGAUAUGAUCGUCGUCUAUCAUAUGCCUUAGUCUAUCUGCUGUCAGUAGAUCGAUUUGUUGUUAACAACUUAGAGCUCGUUUUAGGGUUCAUGUUUGUUAACUCUUAAAUCUUUGUGCUGCAGUAGAUUGGUUAAGGUAUCCAUCAUCCCCAAAAGUGGGUAACGGCUUGAUUUUCUUUGCUUUAGUCUUCUUGCUAUACUUUGUGUUGCGAUCAACCCUAGUCGUACUAUGAAAACUAAAACAAAGCAUGUUUUUAAUUAUAAUUAAGGAUAGCAUCGGGGUUUCAACCGAUCUUGCCUAAUAUACACGAUUACAACUGUUUUUGUGUGUAUUUGCCAAUUGCAUGAACAGAUCGAUAUAUAUAAAUGUAUCAAACUCAGAUCAAUCUCAGAAUGGUUUAUGAUUGAUAUAUUUAUAUCUGAUGAUUUGUCCAUGUAAGUCUGUGUUUGAGUAUUAGCUAACACAUUAUCUUUCUUACUUAAAAUAUUUCGUCAUCGGCUGAUUUUACAAUAUUAAUCAAGAUAAUCAUAAAAUCCAUAAAGUAACGGCCAAUGAGACAUUAUUUAGGGUUUAUAUCACUUCACAUCUACAAUAGUUACAUUAGCCGAUAUUCUCUUGCCCUAUCGGCUGGGCACAUGCGAUACACCAUCGACCGAUCGGCCGAUCGGUUGUCGUUUAACUAACAGUAUUCACUACUACAAAAACCUCCAUAGGUACCAGUCACAUAGGUGCCGGAUUUGCUAGAACCAACACCUAAAAGACAAUUCCCGCCCAUUUUUUCACGAAUCGGCACCUAUAAGGUCUUAUAGGUGCCGGUUGGUUGGGAGAAGCUCAUUGGUGCCGGUUUGUAAGAAAAACCGGCACCUAUGAGCCCAAAAAAGGUGACGGCCUUCUUUACAAACCGGCACCUAUGUGAUAGGUGCCGGUUCGUAAUAAGAACCGACACCUAUCUUACGGCUACAUAGGUGCCGUUUUAUCCUAAUAAACCGGCACCUAUGUGAUUUUUAAUAGGAACUGGCACCUAUGUGGUGGCUUCCGUCGGAAGGAAACUAAAUAGGUGCCGGUUCAUAACAUGAACCGACACCUAUAUCCCCCAAGUCUAUAUAUACCCUUUGUUCACUGCAUUCUCACGAUUUUGAGGCUUCUCUUCAGCUCAUCCAAACGGGGGGAGGAGGUUUUGCCCAAAAAUUUAAAAAAUAUCGAGAGAUCUAUGUGUUUGCAUGCGUAAAAGUUAGUAUAUGUUGAUUCGAUAUGUAAUUCGCACUAAUAUUUGUCAAGUUAUUUUUUGCAAUUUGUUUUGUUGAAUGAGAAGCAUGAGAAAGUAUGAUGACUUAUUAAUAUUGGAGUAAUUUAGAGAUUAAUCAUCAAUGAGUAAUGUAAUUGUUAUUAACAUAUAUCAGAAUUUCAAUAGAUAUAGAGAAUGAUAUAUGUAUGUUAGUGGUUAAUUUAAGAAUUUUCUUAGGAGCGAUGGAUGAAGGAGGGAUGAACGUUCCGGAGCGCGGUACCUUGGAAUAUGCCAGGAGAGUAAUCAACUUCGUGAUCGCAGCCACGAGAUCCAGAUCAUUGAACACAACGGAACACUUGCGUUGUCCAUGCGCUGAUUGCAGGAAUGAGAGACAGUUUUGUGCAAAACAAGUUCAUGAGCAUCUCCUAACAAGGGGUUUUAUGCCUAAUUACACAUGUCAGGACAAUCAUGGUGAAGAUGAGAAUCCAGAUGUAAUGGAUGGAGACAAUGUGGAGUUGCCUGCUGACGGAGGUGGAUAUGCUAGUGACGAAUCAGAUGAUUUAGAUCAGAUGUUACGCGACGGGGAGACAGCCUACGACGAUGAUAGGCAAUACGAGAAGUUCAAGGGCAUGGUGGAGGACUCAAAAACCCCGCUUUAUCCAAGAUGCAAUGAGCAGCACACCAAGUUACAUGUCAUCCUCUCGUUGCUGCAGAUGAAAUCAACCAACGGUUGGAGUGACAAGAGCUUCACAGAGCUUCUACAGCUGAUUGGAGACCUCCUUCCAGCUAGUCAUGUGCUGCCAGAAACAACAUACCGACCGAAGAAGGUUGUCUGCCCACUCGGACUGGAAGUGCAGAAAAUUCACGCAUGUCGAAAUGACUGUAUCCUAUAUCGAGGUGACUAUGCAGACUUGGAUACAUGUCUAGUUUGCGGAGCACCGCGGUAUAAGGGUGGAGUUAACGAUGAUGACGAUGUUGAUGAUGACAGUGGUGGCCCAAUCCUUAAGAAGAGGAAAGUGCCCGUUAAAGUUGCGUGGUAUUUUCCUAUAAUCCCUCGGAUUGAACGCAUGUAUGCAAACAAAAAACAUGCAGAAUUGAUGCGUUGGCACCACGAAAAGCGUAAGAAGGAUGGAAUGAUAAGACACCCUGCCGAUGGAUCUCAAUGGAGAAAGAUAGAUAGAAAGUACAAAAAGCAUUUUGCGCAGGAGAUUAGGAAUAUAAGGUAUGGGCUAAGCACGGACGGGAUGAAUCCAUUCGGUGACAUGAGUAGUCGGCAUAGCACGUGGCCAGUGGCACUUAUUAUCUACAACCUUCCUUCAUGGUUGUGCAUGAAGCGUAAGUAUAUUAUGAUGCCACUCCUAAUCCAAGGGCCCAAGCAACCUGGCAACGAUAUCGAUGUCUACUUCAGGCCAUUAAUGGAUGAUCUUAAGUUUCUGUGGGACCGGGGUGUGCAGAUGUGGGAUGCGUACAAAAGAGAGUACUUCACCUUAAGGGCAAUGUUGUUCGUUACCAUCCAAGAUUACCCUACAGCUGGUAACACAUCCGGGCAAACAGUGAAAGGUGGUUGUGCAUGUGUGCAGUGCAUGCGAGAUACAGCGAGCAGGUGGUUGAAGUACUCCGGAAAGACUGUGUACAUGCACCAUCGAAGGUUUCUUCCAGCCGGCCACCAGUACCAUAGCAAUACAAGAGAUUUCGAUGGCACGGUGGAGGAGGGUACAGCUCCAACACAUCGUACCGGUAGAGAGAUUCAUGGGGAGGUACAAGAUAUUGAAUGUAUAUUUGGUAAGGGGCAAGGCAAUCGAGGCACAACGAGCAAGAGUGGUGAGAAACCUCUUUGGAAGAAGAAAUCUAUCUUUUGGGAACUACCAUAUUGGAAAGAUUUGGAUGUCUGUCAUGCAAUUGACGUGAUGCAUGUUGAGAAGAAUGUGUACGAGAGUUUGAUGGGACUCCUGCUAAACAUACCCGGCAUGACAAAGGACACGUUGAAAGCCCGGAGAGACCUCGCAGACAUGAACAUCAGGCCCGAGCUACAUCCUCAAGAACGUCCCAAUGGUCGCCAGUACCUCCCUCCCACGUGCUACACCCUUAGUGCCGCAGAGAAAAUAAGCCUGUUGGAGUGCCUGCAGGGUGUCCGAGUCCCUUCUGGUUACUCUGUGAACACUAAAAGACUUGUCAACAUGAAAGAGAAGAAAUUGGUGGGCAUGAAGUCAGAUGAUUGCCAUGUGCUGAUGACAUAACUUCUUCCUAUUGCUAUUAGAGGCAUUUUGCUAGAUAAGGUUCGAAACCCAAUCAUAAAGCUGUGCUCGUUCUUCAACGCUAUAUAUCAGAAGGUGAUCGAUCCAAGCACGCUAGACAAGCUCCAAGCAGAUGCAAUCAUUACCCUUUGCCAGCUCGAGAUGUGUUUUCCACUAUCAUUUUUUGAUAUAAUGGUGCACCUCGUGUCACAUCUUGUGAAAGAGAUAAAGAUUCUCGGCCCAGUGUAUCUGCAUAACAUGUGGGCUUUCGAGCGGUUCAUAGGGAUCAUAAAAAAGUAUGUGCAUAAUAGAGCUCGACCAGAAGGCAGUAUCGUAGAGGGUUAUGCAACAGAGGAGGUGGUUGAGUUCUGUAUCGACUAUAUAGAUUUGCAUCCCAUUGGUGUGCCGAUGUCUCGACACGAGGGCGGGCUACUAGGGAAAGGGACACUAGGGCAUAAGGCAAUUUUCGCUCCUAACCUAACUUUACGGCAAGCACAUUUCGCAGUGCUCCAGCAGUCGGCCUUGGUGGCUCCAUUUGUCGACAUGCAUUAUAACACACUCCGCAGCGAGAACCCAAGCAAAUCAGAGGCAUGGAUAGCUAAGCAGCAUAGGUUGAAUUUUGGCGAUUGGUUACGAAAGCAUAUCAUGGCUAUGAAUACUGAUAGUGACUAGCUGUAUGUUUUGUCUCGGGGACCUACGAGCACAAUUCAUUCAUUCCAAGGGUAUGACAUUAAUGGUUAUACAUUUUACAUGAGAACCCAGGAUGCCAAGAGCUUGUAUCAAAACAGUGGUGUCCGCAUAGACGCCUUCGACAGUAAUGGUGUAGAACAAACGUACCAUGGUUAUAUAGAGGCAAUCUGGGAGCUUGAAUAUGGACCUGAAGGUACCACUUUUCCAGUGUCAAAUGGGUCAAAAUUCCAAGUGGUUUGAGGAUUGACAAGUACGGAAUGUUCAUCGUGGACUUAAACAAUGUGGGUUAUCAAGAUGAACCAUUUGUGCUUGCAAAAUCCGUAACACAAGUUUUCUAUGUCAAAGACCCUUCUUCGUUGACCGAUCGCCACGUGGUUCUCCAUGGAAAGCGAAGCAUUGUCGGAGUUGAGAAUAUCGUUGAUGAGGAAGGCUACGAUCAAAUCGACGAGCUACCACCGUUUGCAACAGAUGUAGAAGGAGGUGAAGAAAGUCAGGAAGACGAAGACAAGGAAUAAGCACCAUAUGUUCACAGCGACCAUGAAGAAGGAGUAAUUGUGAUAGACCUGCAUGUUUAAAUUUUAUUGUAACAAACAUGAAUGUGUAAUUAGUGCCGACCAAUUGGUGCCGGCCCAGAAACCGGCACCUAUCCGGCUUUCCAAACCGGCACCUAUUGUCUGCCAACAUUGUUCUCGUGCUCAGCGUUGGUCCAGCAUUGGUCCAGCCUUAGUGGAGGCUAUUGGUGUGUGUCUCUAUCUAUCUAUCUAUCUAUAUAUAUAUAUAUAUAUAUAUAUUACGAGAUUUAGAUUAAUUGAAUUCAGUAUAAGUUCAAGGCAUAUUAGAGCUCUAACCAUGUUUUGGCUUGUGAUCAAACCAUAGAUACCAAUCAAAAAUAAAUGGGCACUCAAAAAAGUACAUGCUCAAACAUCAUUAACUAACUCUUUACUAGCUCAAAAUUGUGGCUCUUUACUGAUUUAUUUUAGAUUUGGAAUUCUUAUAAUUUUAUAUAUAUAUAUAUAUAUAUGUAUAUAUGAAUGAUGCCCCAAACAACAGCUCACUUGCAUGGAUCUCUGUAGUUAGAGCCUUUGCUAUGUGUGCAAAAGGCCUAAUGCACGUGUAGUUCCUAUAAGAUUUCAAGAUAAUCCUGGCUGUGAAGAUCUCAUCGAAAAAAGUACUACAUUUGGAACUCCAAAUAUGUAAUUGUGUUAAAGGUACUUGUAUACCCCCCAGAAUUGUCCAUAGGUACCAGUUCAUACUUACAACCGGUACCUAUGUGGCUUGUAUAUAUGCUGCCAUUGCCAUUUCCCAAGACAGCCUACCGACACCAUUUCCCCCAAACCAGCCUGCCGACGCCAUCGCACUACCGGCCGCCGCCCGCCGUCGCCGUCCAUCGCCGUCCCCGUCCUGCACCACCGUCGGUCCUUCCCCUACCUGGAUCUACCGCCGUCGCUGUCCACCGUCGUCCUCCUUCCGGAUCCGCGAUCCCCUUACCCGCUCGUUUGCGCCCUCCAUCCCUGUCCUCCUCCAUCGCCGCCACUGCCCUCCUCCAGCGUCGGUGUCCUCCAUCGUCGCCGCUGCUCUCCUCCAGCGCCGUCCACCUCCUCCGCCGUCGCCGUCCACCGCCGUCCACCGCCGCCGCCUUCCUCACGAAUUAUUAAAGGUAAGAAUCUGAAUUGCAGAAUCGUAUGUCUGUAAUAAUCAAUGUUUUUAUUUACAUGUUUGGUUCUAAUUUCUAAGAAUGUAUUGUAUCAUUACGAGUUUGGUACCAACUUUUCAGAUAUAAUCCACUGCUUAUGCAUUUUUUCCUCAAACAUCACAAUGGAUCGUAGGAGGUCACAGAGUAAAAUAAUGAGACCGAUGUCUAUGCUCAUGUAUACUGCAUGCUGAUAAAUAAUUAAUUUAAAUUGUCGUGGUAGUUUUUAUUCCUAGAUACCUUUCCUAUUUAAAGCUCAGAUGCAUAGAAAGUGGUUUUGAUGGAUGGGUCGGUUGCGCCAAAAUGCCUACAUGACAAUGAUGUAACACAUCUGUUCGGGAAGUUGGGGGUAUGUUCCUAUCGGUUGAGGUGCGUGUGCAGGUACCCAAAAAGAAAUUUUGCUUACAAAAAAUGUAAAAGGGGAACAAUCUUCAACUGUCGUGUGAGCAAUCAUCAUCAAUAAACCUCUGGUUGAAUUAAUCAUGACAUUUUUGAAUAACAUGUCUAUUGGAGCCAGCCAUGUAAAUUCUAGCGAGUUCAAAUCAAUUAAAUCAAUGCCAGAGAAUAAAUAGUAUUUGGUUUCUUCAUUUUCCUGACAGAGAAUAAAUUCUUAGGUGAUUUGUAUUUGCUCUUUCAAGGCCUGGCCACCGAACCUAUCAACCACUGCAAGCUGCAAGGGCGCCGCUAUGCUGCUCAGGAUCGCCGCCGACUGGGACUGGUUCGUCACGCUCAGCUCCUCCGACUACCCGCUCGUCACGCAGGACGGUAACAAAUCAAAAAACCAACUAAAUUAACUAGUACUUUUCUCUAUUACUUUCUUGCCAUGUUAGAUUCCUCAUCAAGUUCUUGGAGCUAGAUGAUAUAUAGCGAGAGAUCACACAAUUAACUGCUGCUCUGCUCUGGAGGCCUAGGAAAUAUAAGUAGAACACCAUAUAUCCAUAGCAUAUAGGCCAAAUUUUCACAACUCAUGUGAUCUGUCCACAACAAGGCUAGGUCUCCCUAAUCAUUAACCUAAGUGUGACAUUAAUUAAAGAGGCAGUUCAUAAUCUACUGACCUUUUUGCGAAGCUACUGCCUGAUAUCUUAGAUUUAGAAAUAUUAUGCAGCUUUUAUUGUUUAUCACAUCAUCUGUUUUUCCAUUGCAUAUGUCUUAAUCUGUAUGUACUAUUAUUCAAAUGCUAGAUUUGUAAAGUACCAUAUUUACAUAUGAGCCUUUGCUCCUGAUUUAGGGAUUAUUUGACAAUGCAGCAACCUGUUAGCUAUUAUCUGUAAAUUGUGUGUUUAGUUAUGAAUCUAUACCUUUGAGGGAUUGGUACACCAUUGAGCUAGCAGAAAAUAAAAGAUAAGAAUAUUUGGAACAAACAUGACAAAAUUAUAGUAAUUUAGUUUGCAUCUGAAAUCAUGUCCAUGCAGUAUGUACACAUCUAAAACUUAUAUUAAAAAUGAUUAAAACACUAGGAAUAUGAUUUAUAGUAAUUGCAAUUAUUAAAACACAUGCAGUAACCAUUAUUUCCUUCUGCUAUUUUUUCCUUCUGAAGAUUAGAUGCAAUGAGGUAGAUAAGUCUAGCUAUUUAUUGUCAAAUCCAUUUCUCCACCAAAUACAAUUUACAGUCCUCCCAAAUAGUUAGUAGCAAAAGAUAGGUUAAGCUAGCUAUGUGUAUAAUUGAACCAUAAUCAAGGGUACUGCAGAAAUUCAACUACUGCCAACACAGUUGCCAAAAUUCAUGUUAAGCUGUCUAAACCUUAAUGUCAGCUAUAGAGACGAGAUGGAGAUGCAUAAGUUAUACACAUCACUAAUUCACUGUAUUUGGGAGAGGAAAUGAUGCUUAGGCUUCUCUUCCUCUUUUCCAAUCCAGCCUCUGCUCCCAUGCUACUGCCAGCCUCCAUACCCCACACAUCAGCAACAAGAUCAUUCAAAACCAGUGAAUGUUAUUUUUCUUUUCUCUGAUCAUGUUAGUUGGAAUGCUUUGCCGUAUGUUCAGAUUGGUUCUUUUGGAUUUUGUGUUGAUAAUCGAUCCCGAGUAUCAUUCCAUGUUACAUUAUACUGCAUAUACUUGUAUUUGGUUAUCUUGUUAGGAUUCUUUGUGACAUGUGGGCUAUUUUUAGUACCUUGGAUGUGACAUAUUAAUUUUUAUGCCAUUGAUUUAUUCAGGUUUCUACUGCACCUAGAGGAAUCAUAGCUAUUUUAGUGUCAACCUGCAACCUGUUUGCUUGCCCACUCCCUGCUGCCAACUAGCUUUAACAAUUAUUUUUAAAGAGGUAAUUUCUAAACAUAUGGCAAAUCAUCUAUAUUUACUUGCUUGUACAGAUUGUUAAAAGCUGGAUGAAAAUACUAUAUAGUUUAAGUUUUGAAGCUGUACUGUUGCUAGCAUUUUAAAUCAACAUGUCAUGGCACUAUUCCUUUGUUUCUUUUCGAGCUCCAAAAUACUGUAUAGUUUAAGUUUUGAAGCUGAUGCACUAAAUAUAACAUUGUAUAUGAGUUGUAGUAGAAAAUUGUAGAACAGAUAGUUACACACGUAGCUAUCGAAGAACGUGAUCUUUUUCUCACUUUGCGGCCGACUUGCAUAUUUGCUAGCUCCAUCAUAUCGAUCGUCACGCGUAUAAUUGAACAGGAAUCACGAUUAAUGGUAUAUCCAUUAAUUAGGACUAAGUACAGAAAUUAUUAAUGCUAGUUCAUUUACUGUUGUCUAAAAAGGAUGGUGCCAGUAAUGCUUUUGUGUUGUAGACCACAGAAGGAAUAUUCUGGCAAUUCCUUCUGUGACUGGAUAUUCUGGCAAGAAACAAGGGGAUUUUGACUCCAUACCUAAGCUAGUAGUUGAUAACAAUUCACAAGUUCAUGUGAUAUAUGAUAUAUCACAUCCCUGAGACAUCCUUCCGCAUGAAAUGGCCAGCAGUUCCCACUAGAGCACAUAAUUAGCAUUGCAAGACAUAUAGUGCUAGAAUAAGAUACACAAAUAAGAUUGCAUAUUUUUUUCAAGACCAGAACAUUAGGCCUACUAGCUUAAUUGAUGUAUGCAAGCUGCUGGGUUAGCUACUACCUCGUGCAAAUACAUUAAAUUAGAUCCUACUGGUCCAGUCAAGUUACGUAUGGAAUUAGAUGGCAUUACUUUACUUUUGGUAUAUUUAGAAGAAUAUUAUCAAGAGGACAAUAAGUUCUUACACUAAUUUCUUGUAUCUAUCUAGCAAUAAUUCUAGCCUAGGUCUACAAAAGGAAAUGUCAGGGGAACAAGAUAACAGUAGGCUUGCAAAUUCUGGAGAAAUCGAUGGUGGUAAUAGUAGCCCAAGUGGCUUUCUAAACUUGAAUCAGCCCGGUGAUAACUCGCACAAUAUGGAGGUAAAUUAACCCAUCUGGAACAAAUAAGACCUUAAAAGUACAUAUAUCGUCAGAUCUGAAUGACUAAUUUAUACUGAUGUUUGAAGGAGGUUGAUCCUUCGGCCACUACGCACUCUACGAAUACUUCAACCUCAUCGGGAAGAAGAAAAGCUAGAGGUCCAACUAGGAUGCCCUCAGGUCUAUACACUAUCAUGGAGUUAGCUGCAGAUGGGACCCCUAUAGCUCCAGAAUCGGCACUCACCACAUAUGGCAAUGCUAUAGGUGUCAUCGUGAAGGAUGGCAUCCCCAUCAAGUACCGGCACUAGAAGAGCAGUGAUAGAGAUGAAUUGGAGUGGACGGUACCAGACAGAGACAAGGAACUUGCUUCGGAAAAGUUAAAGCGGACAUUCCAGUUUCUCGAGGGUUCAGAAGAACUCGCAAAGUCCGGGGCUCUUAAGAAGAUGUCCAUCAGCUUCAAGAAGUGGAAGACGGACCUUAACAGGAAGUUUGUCAAGAAGGGCCUGACACCAAAUUUUGAAGAUGCCAAUUAUCGAAGGUGUCAUCUUUUCUGGGAUGACUUUGUGGCCUACAGAACAUCAGAUGAGGCAAAGGAGAUUAGCGAAAGGAACCAGGCCAAUGCGGCCAAAAACCGAUACCCUCACCGUCUCGGCCCUAGCGGAUAUGCUAAGAACAUAGUCAAAUGGCAAUUCCGGGAAGAUGAGCUGCUGCAAAAGGGAAUCGAGAUCGAGACGAAAGACUGGUGUCAACGAGGAAAGAAUUACCAAUACGCCCGAGGUUCAACACUCUCGGAUACAGGCGAGUUGGUACACAAGGGUCCUUGAGAGCAAGAAGUGUCCCAAAGGCUCCACGAUGCCCAUCUAAAGUCCUCAGAAGGUUCUUUUCUUGCGAGCAGGGAGAAAGAUGAGCUUACACUUGCAUUGCAGAACCCUGAGCAUCCGGGACGCACAAGAGGAAUAGGCCUAGUUCCAUGGAGGGAGGGUUUUCCUGAAGAUAGACAUAGGUACCGGUCUCGGAUCAAUAAAAAUUCCAGAGACCAAUCGGAAGAGAUAAGGCAAUUGAAAGAACAAAUGGCACUGGUAAUGGCGAGGCUUGAAAGUCAGGAUGGAGCUGGCCGUGUAACCAGUCCAGGUGGGAAGAAAAGCAGUUGCGCUUCAACUGAGGUUCCUCAAGAACCGGACACGGUUCAUUACCCCAUGGACGACAUCACUAUACGUACUGUAUGCAGGCUGCAUGUGCCACUUCAAAACAUCACUCAAGAGGUGGCACGCACUAUGGCACAUCCCGUAACGGAGGGAGGAAGGAUACACAGUAAGCCGAUACCAAGUGGCUAUUCAAGGGUUGAAGUGGAGGACGUGCCGAGGAGAUACAGGGCAGUGCAGCUUGAUUUUGCUCCUGAGGAGGGGGUGAACACUCUUGGAGAAGCCGUCCACAACAUAAUCCUGUGGCGCAAGCGUUUCAUUAUCUUCCCUUCAGGAGGUGGUGAUGGCGAGCCAAGCGAUGGCGGGUCUAGCUCUGAAGGACUUCCUCCCUCCCCUCAAAGGAUGCCAACUCCACCACCAUUGCCACAUAAGAGCCCGUCUCCUCCACUGGCACAACGUAAGAGCCCAUCUCCUCAAGAGGCAGCACAUCAGAGCCUAGCUUCUUCAGACCCACCAAAAAAGAGGAGGCGCCUUUGUAAAGCUUCCCAUAUGUCUGAACCACCACCUCUGAAGAAGACCAAGAAGACGCCAUUGCCUAACAGGUCGGAGCCAUCUUUGAAAGUGCCAGUUGAAGUACAGGAUCACUUCAUUCGCAAUGCAAGGCCACCUGCCCGAAAGCAACCUAUUACGGACUUCAGACGCAUGAUCAGGAAAAGGGAUUGCAAGAAUUUUCCAAGAAAGAAUUCGAGAAAGAUGAGGCCAGCGACUAUGCAAGACUUUCUAAAAGAGGCAGGGCUGAAAAGUAUGGAUGAUGUGGAUAAUAUUGAGAUGGCCCCAUUGGCAGCUCAAUUCAAGCUUGGUCAUUCUUUGACUACCGACGAAUAUCGCCACGUCGUUGGCAAAUGUACUCAAAUGAGAAGGGUAGAAGAGUGGUACUUACAGAUGGCUAAGGAGGGUAAAGAGAUGUUCCCCGUCUUUUACAGGGACGAGGACUUUCAUCACUGUGAUGGUAUAGUUUGGGUCCCGUUUAAAGAACUAUUUCAUCUAUACAAUCUGAGGGAGCUAGACUUAUCGGUAAUUCAGUUAUGGGCAUUGUAAGUAUACUCGACCUCUCGCCAUUUUUCUAAGUAAAUAUCCUCGUUGCGUGUCUAAUUUUUGUCCUUAUGCAGAAUGGGGGUGCUUGAAUGUAGAGCGUCCCAUAACAAGCUAGGAUUCCUUGAUCCACAAAUAGUCAAUUCACUUAAUAUUGAGGCAGGCGAAUGGUCCUCCGAAGAAGUGCUGAACUACCUUUACACAUCCUUUGUCAAGCUGCAGGACAUGAAUACCAUCCUUUUGCCCUACCACUUUAAGUAAGUGUGGCAUUAUCGUUGUACCUCCCAUCGUUGUACUUUAAGAUGUUAAUUGUUCUCUUCCCUUGUAUGUAGGCCUCACUGGAUUCUUAUUGCGAUCCAUUUAAACGAUUCCAAGAUUGUCGUCAUGGAUGGAAUGAGGAAACCGCAAGCCAACUACCAAUCCCUCAUUGACAUCCUAGAUAAGGCACUUGUGAAGUAUAAGAAGAAGUCUAUUCGACACGCUCCGUGUGAAAAUAAAUUCCAAGUUUGGUGCCACCCUUAUUGCUCACGUCAGGAUCCGGGCACGAGCACAUGUGGGUUCUACGUGAUGAGAUUUAUGUGGGUUUUCAUGGAGGACGGCAACUGGAACAUUACGGAUGCUGAGGUUCGCCAUGUCUCUUAAGACACAAAUCCAAUUUUCUAAACACAUAGUACCUUUCCACAUCUUUAAUCCUUCCAUUUGCAGAAAUUAAAGCUCCCGACAAGUAAAUUGCUGCCACAUGUUUGCUUGGGCCUCGCUGAACAGCUAUGUGGAUUCAUUUUCAACCAUAUCAUCUGGUCAAACGGCGCAUACAACAUUUCAAAGGCUCCUGCUGGGCUAGUGGGUUUCAUUGAGGCUGGUGGCCCUAGUGAUGGCAUAGAUAGCCGAUCAACGACAAAGCAUACAAAGACCUAGAAUUAGUGGGCCAUACCUUUCAAACAUUUUCUAAGUAUCUUGUAGAUUAGUUAUUUGGAUUGAUGUGGUUUUCUUAAUGUCUUGAACAUGCAUUAAGUUUCUCUAUUUGUUAAUGUUUAUCUAUUAUUUUUUGACACAUAUAUCUAACCAUGUAUUAAAUUUUCUCUAUUUAAUAUUUUUAUCCCUAACAGCAAUAGGUGAUCUCACUGACUGGAUGUGGCAUGGAUGAGGGAGGCAUCAUCAUUGUUGUCUCUGUAAGCAACUGGUGAGCAUGUGUAACUAAAAUUUUGAUAUGAGUACAAGUUUAGAGCAUUUGAGAUAUUGUAGAGCUCAAGCGAAUUUUUGUCAAGUCUCCUGAGAUGUGUAACACAUCUGGUCGCCGCCUUCGUGUGGUUUGACGGGCAUGUCUUAGGCUGAAGUUGACUGGCACGCUGAGUCCCAGCAAUAUCUUCUAUGCUCUCUACUCGAGGCUUCGGGUUUUAUAUUAUGGUCCUAGUCCCAGCAAUAUCAUAUGAUUUGUGGAACACUACUUCUAUUUGUUUUGUGCACUGCAUGCAUAUGCCAUGCCAGUAUACAUCUCUCCAACCGCACUGCACCUUCCUGGUCGGGAACAGUAAUAGCCGCCGAGCGCAACAGCAAAUCACAUGAGAUAGGAUUCCUGAUACGGCUUUUGACCUAAAUUUUAAUGAACGUUUAAUUGUACGUUAAAAUUAAUCAUGGAGAAGAAACAAAUACUUGGACAAAAAAAUGUGGAAAUCUGCAUCUUUUCUAUAUAUUAAUGCAACCGUUUUGUAGCAUAAUCUUGCAAUUAUUCAUUGCUUGGAUAUAUAUAAAGAAAACUGAUUAUAUGCAUAUGGCCCUAAUUAACAGAAUGCGUAAUAUAUAUACAUCCAAGUCAGCAGCGACCAUGAAUACAUUUGGUGAAAAAAAAUUGACAUCUGUUAGGAUGGUAGUUGGGAUUUGGUGUACACUGAAACCUUUGGGUUUGUAUAUAUCUUGAAAAAUAACCAAUCAAGUAGAGUGUUGACAUGCUUUAAUUAAUUAUAUAUAUAUCGGUGCGUGACUAACUCUCAUGGAGUAUUAAGAUUUUUAAAUUAAUUUAUAUAUAGUGAUCAGCAAAACAAAUGGGCUAUUUUUUCUUUUGCUAUUAUUAAAGUGCUAAAUAUCUAAUUAGUUAUGGACUAGAAUGCAGAUCAAGGAGUGUUAGAAAAACCUUAUUUUUGGCUACAAAUUAAAAAUCUUAUUUCGGAAAAAGAAAUACUGGCUAGUUGUGUGUUGAUGAAGGCAAAGUAUUUUACUUGUGUGGAAACAUGAUGGUCCAUGAUGCAAACUUUAUAUGUUGUAGUGAGUAGAUAGGGAUGAACAUAUAUGAACUUAACAAUAAUGUUUAUUGACUCCUAAUUAAGUCUUAAUCAGCCCCUACAGAAACAGAUUUAAAGCUGACCAAACUAUAUGUGGCAAAGACAUUACUAGUUCAUCCUCGCAGACAAAUAGACAUUUUCUGUUGAGAGAGGGGAGGCAUACAAACUCUUCCAACUCACUAAAUUCAGUAAUAACUAUUUUUUAUCAAAUAUGUUCCAGCUGAUCAUUUUUUAUCAAAUAUGUGUUUGAGUUCUCCCUCAAAUAUGUUGUUGGAUCUGGACUAGCUCCCAGAUCGUUGCAUGUACUACCUGUCUGCAUGCGUAUAAAUCUGUCAUCUGAAGAAAUUGUGUAUGUACCUUUUGAAAAUAGUUCUGUUUUUUUGUUAAAUGAAGAACAAUACAAAUUUGCACACGAGUGUCACGCCCCAAACUAGCCCCGAGCGGAGGCCAGGAUAGGGCGGUUCAGAUUGACCUGUAUACCUGUACCAGUCCCAGGAAAUAGCGCUGGUACAACAGGAAGACAGAAUAUCACAACAACAGCGGUCUCUUUAUUAAGAGUAGGAUUACAACCAGGGUUGGAACUGCGGACAGAACCCGAGUUCGCAACAACAUUACAAAAAGGCGGAAGCGGAAAGCGGCGACUAGCCCUAAGCCACAAGCAAAGCCUUGGGGAAAGGCCGAAACCCUACUACUGCUCGAAGUCUGCUUGCUCCUGGAAGAACUCUUCAUCAGCAGGGUCCACCUCUUCGUCUUCGAGAACUGGGGGGGGGGGGUUUAAUUAUAUAGAGCAAGGGUGAGUACGGGAGUACUCAGCAAGUUAGGGGAAUUAAGUGUUUAAUGCAAGCUUCAAGGGAAGCCAGUUGUUUUUCACAAUUGAUUUUAGUUUAAGACUUUGGAAACAUCUAAGUAAGUGCUUCUCAACGACACGGAUGAGAAAGUGCGUCUCAUCCGGUCGGAGCAGUGAAAAUUGUAUCGAUUGAUUCUUGUCGGCACGAGAGGCUCCCUGCCAAUCGUUUACCGACCCGGCUGCUCCAACAGCCACACGCGAGAGGCUCCCUGCCAAUCGCUCACCACACCGGCUGCACCAACAGCCACAAACCAAGCACGUCGGAACGAGUGGCUCCCUGCCAAUCGUUCACCGACACCGGCUGCUCCAACAGCCUUAAACCAAGCACAGAAGGGAAAACCUCACACACCAACAGUAGUUUACAAAGUGUUCAUUAAAACUACGCUAAGGAAUCACCUCACAUCCGCCCAUGACCGUGGGCACGGCUGUUCGAACAGUUAUUAACCUCUGCAGAGGGGGUACACUUUACCCACCCGACGUUACUAACCCCAAAUCACCCAGCCCGCGACUCUCAGUCACGUCUGGCGACCUUGAGGCUUUCACGACAAGGCAUUUCGAAAGCCGACUCAGGGUCAUCUUAUGCCAACGGGAGGGGUCCCACGGACCAACACCAGGUUAGGUCCCAGACCAUACUGUGCCAGGAAGCCCAGGGGUCCUCCCCGACACCACCCCGGCGAAUCUACUUGUCCCUUGGCAUCAAGAUUUCUCUGGCCUAGCUAAUUACUCAGCCAGGGGCAUCCCAUAUCACCCAUGUGGUCGUACUUGACAUAUGCUCGGAUGUAAUUCCCAAGGAAUCGGUCCUUAGAGCGAGAACAGGCAGACCGUACCUCCAGUACGUCUCCCAUACCGCGAGUUUUAGAAACUCACUUUAUUUUCAAGGCACCGACCCAAGUGUCGGGUUUUCUAAGCAUUUUGUAAACUCAAGUUUUACCUAGGUGAUCAUUUUAAAUUUUGAGGGGAGUCUCGAUAUUCGUACGCGAGGUACGGAUACCGAGGCUUCACCUGAGGGGUGACAAGGGUGUUAGGUUAUUCAAUAAUCAUGGAAGGUAAAUGCAACAAUUGGGUAGGGCCUAACGGUUAUCUUGCAAACCGAGACCAAGUGCCAAGUGUAACCUAAAUAAUGCAUAGUUUGCGGAAAUCAAAAUACUUAAUUUAAAUUAUAGGUUCAAUUGAUCAAAGGUGACUUGCCUUGCUCAAGAUCUUGAGCUUCUUCCUCGAAAUCCGCGCACUGCGGGUCUUCGGGCUCCGAGACUACACGUGAAACGAGACGACUCAACAAAGCGAUAAAAAGAAGCCCUAUUAAAGACCACUAAGCAUGCCAUUGGAUAGAUCUCGAUUUUUGAGAAAUUUUGGAAGUGGAACGGGGUUAAUCGGACGAACGGUUGAAAAGAUAUGAAUUUCCAAAGAUUAAAGGAUUUUCUGGAAUAAGAAAAGGAAUUAUUAAUUCCCUGGAAAAGAAAAGAAGGAGCGAUGCAAUUUAGACUUUAUUUUGGGCGGCUAAGGACAGCCCAAAAGAAUAGAACGGGCGCGGCCGAAAUAAUUGGGCCAACGGCCCGAAGGGAUUGGCCAAUGGCCGAUCGGCGCGCGAGAGGGGGAUAGGCCGAUGGGCCGGGGCAGGCCGCGGCCUACGCGGUCGGCCGAUUCGCGAGAGGGAGGCCGUUGGCCGAGUGGGCCAAGCGGGAAAGAGGCCGAGUGGCUGAGUGGGGAGAGAGGGGGCCGAUGGGCCAAGGGGGAGCGAGGCCGACGCGGGCGGCCGAUCCGGUGGACCGUGCCCGCCGUGCGGCGCUAGGGCGGGGCCCGCCCGUCGGCGGUGCGAUCUACGCGGACCGAGCGCAUGGAGGGGAAGGAGGGAGUGCGCCGGCUGGCGCUCGCGUGGCGCCUGCGUGGCGGCCACGUAGACCAGCCGGGCGAAAGAGAGGGGAAGACGCCGGGCGACGGCGGCGACGGCGGAGGGGUUCGGGCGGUGCGGUGCGAGGCCGGCGACGGGGAGUGGCGCCGGAGCAAGAGGGGAGAGAGAGGAAUCGAGCCGUCGGCUCGGAUCGGGCCGCGGUGAGCGACGGCGGCUGGCAACGGCGCGGUGCAAUGGCGGCCACGGCGGCUCGGGGAGAGGGCGGAGGAGAAGGCGACGGCCACGGCGGUGGUCGGAGGGGGGGUUCCUACGGGUUACCUAGCUCCUAGACCGGGGGGAGAAAGAGGAGGUGGAAAAAAAAAAGGGGGGGAAAGAAAUUACCGCGGCGGGAGGAGCUCGCCGGGGACGGGGGUGACGGCGCGGGGCGGCGGUGUGGCGCGGUCCCGGGCCGGGGAAGAAGAGGGCGCCGGGUUCCACUCCUCGCGGCGGCAGGCAGCAAGAGGGGUGGUGGCGCGGCGUGGCGGGACGACUCGGUGGCGGCGGCAGCGGGGAGGGGCGAGCUCGGGGAGGCGGUGAUGGCGACCGGGAGAGGGGAUUUUGAGGGGCGCGCUAGGUCGGUUUGGGGGGGGGGUCAGAUAGGUGGUGCGAGGGCGUGGAGAGGGGACCGGCGCACUCCGGCGCUAGCGGCCAAGCGCGGCAGCGGUGACGCCGGCCGGUCGGGAAAAAGGGGAAAAAAGGGGGGAUAAAGGAGGCUUGCCUCCUAGCCGAUUCGGGUAAGGGCGCGCGCGUGGGGAGAGAGAGGGGAAGGCACGCGCUCGGCCCCUUGGCGGCACGCGCGCGCAGCGCAGCGGCGGGGCCGAACGGGGGUAGCACGGAACGGGGCCGGCGGGGGCCGUUGGGGAAGAGAGAGAAAGGGGAGAACGACGAGCGGAGGAGGAGACCGGGAAAGAGGGAGCUGGUGCUCCCGGCUCGGGCGCGCGCGGGCCGAGCAGCCUGGCGCGACCCAGCGGGGGGGGGGGGGAGGUGGCCGAGCGGGAGGGACUGGGCCGAGGCGGCCCGCAAAGGAAGAGAGAGAGAAAGGGAGGCCGAAGGCUGGGGGACUGGGCCGGCAGCGGCCCAGGAGGGAAGGGGGAGAGAGAAAAGAAGGCCGAAGGGGGAAAUCGGCCCGAGGGCAAGGGGGGAUAAAGUGGGCUUUACCUGAGAAAGAAAGAGAGGGAGUUUUAGGGCUCGGAUUCGAAAUCCGAUUUCGCGGUUUUCUCCGGGAUUGAACUGAGAGGGGAAACACGAGACCUUGGCACACGACAGGACUCAACCGAAGAGCAACUUUCGCAAAUAGAGUUUUUAGUAAAUUAGUUUUCCCGCUAUCGCCGCGACAAAACGGGCGUUACAAACCAACCCCCCUAACAAGAAUCUCGUCCCCGAGAUUCAGCACCUAAGGGAGCAGCUCCGAGAACUGGGCACGGAGAAGAUCUUCGCGUUCCCAAGUUGCUUCAUCCUCCGAGUGGUUGCUCCACUGCACCUUGUAGAACUUAACGGUCUUUCUUCGUGUCUGACGUUCAGCCUCUUCAAGAACUCUGAUGGGUCUCUCUUUAUAGGUCAGGUUCUUCUCCAAUUCUAUGCUUCCCAAGGGAACUUGUUCCUCUGGAACACGAAGACAUUUCUUUAACUGGGACACAUGGAACACAUUGUGCACAUCUGUCAGUCCUUCUGGUAGGUCGAACUGGUAGGCAACUUCGCCGCGUCUGGCGGUGAUGAGGCAGGGGCCGAUAUAGCGAGGAGCUAACUUGCCGGACAUUCCAAACCUCUUUAGACCACAGAGUGGAGAUACUCGCAGGUACACGUGAUCUCCCACUGCAAACUCGAGAUCACGUCUCCGAUUAUCUGCAUAGCUUUUCUGACGGUCCUGAGCUAUCUUCAAACGGUCUCGAAUCAGCUUGACUUGCUGUUCAGCUUCCUUCAGCACGUCAGGUCCAAACACUUGCGCUUUGCCUACCUCAUUCCAACACAACGGGGUGCGACACUUUCGUCCAAACAGGGCUUCAUUAGGGGACAUCUGAAUACAGGAUUGAUAACUGUUGUUGUAGGAGAACUCAGCGUAGGGGAGACAACGAUCCCAUGUGCCUUCGAAGUCCAGGGCACACGCCCGUAGCAUGUCCUCCAGGAUCUGGUUAACUCGUUCUGUCUGCCCAUCUGUCUGCGGGUGGUAGGCAGUACUGAAAUUUAAGUUGGUACCCAUUGCCUCGUGCAACUAUUGCCAGAAUCUUGAGGUAAACUGAGUGCCUCGAUCCGACACAAUCUUCUUUGGGCAACCAUAUCGGCAAACCACGUGGGUCAUGUACAGGUCUGCCAGCUUUUUCCCAUCGUAGGUGGUUUUCACUGGUACAAAGUGAGCUGCCUUGGUUAGGCGGUCCACGAUCACCCAGAUGGAGUCAUACCCACUAGGGGUCCUUGGUAAACCGGUAAUGAAAUCCAUACCGAUCUCCCAUUUCCAUUCGGGAAUUCGGAGGGGUUGUAACAAACCGGCGGGUUUCUGAUGUUCGGCCUUUACUCUUUGACAGAUGUCACAUAAGGCUACAUACUCUGCGACAUCUCGCUUCAUUCCAGCCCACCAAAAGUAUCCCUUGAUGUCUUGGUACAUUUUGGUACUUCCGGGAUGGAUGGAGUAAGCAGACUCAUGAGCUUCUCUCAGAAUGAGGUCCUUUAAUUCCUUUUUGGCUGGCACGCAGAUGCGGGAUCCGAACCAAACAGUAUCCUGGUUGUCGAUGGUGAAACCUUUGAGUCUUUUCUUACGGAUCUUAUCCUUCAUUUCUUUCAUAAUUCCGUCAUCUGAUUGUGCCUCUCGAAUUUGAGCUUCUAGGGUCGGUUGCACUGCAAGACUGGCAAGGUUUCCGGUAGGGACCACGGUCAAUUUCAACUUCUCGACUUCUCGACAUAGGUCAUCCUGGGUUGGCCAAACUAGGGCGGUAGCACAGUAGGGCUUGCGACUUAACGCGUCGGCGACCACAUUCGCUUUUCCAGGGUGGUAGUGUAUACCAAAAUUAUAAUCCUUGAUUAAUUCCAACCAUCUUCUCUGUCUCAUGUUCAGUUCACUCUGAGUAAAGAUGUACUUGAGGCUUUUGUGAUUGGUGUAAAUCUCACAUCUGUUUCCAAUCAGGUAAUGACGCCAAAUCUUCAGAGCAUGAAUCACAGCUGCCAAUUCCAGGUCAUGCGUAGGGUAGUUGACCUCAUGGGGCCUGAGUUGUCUUGAAGCAUAGGCCACCACCUUUCGGUCUUGCAUCAGGACACAUCCUAGACCUUGUCUCGAUGCAUCACAGAAGAUCUCGAAAUCCUUUCGGAUGUCAGGCAGGGUGAGGACGGGAGCAGUCGUCAAUCUUUUCUUGAGUUCUUGAAAACUGCGUUCACAUGCUUCCGACCAUUCAAACUUCUUUUUCUUCUUUAGCAGUUCCGUCAUUGGUCGGGCUAGUUUGGAGAAUCCUUCGAUGAACCUCCGGUAGUAACCCGCUAAACCGAGGAAACUACGGAUCUCAGACACCGUCUUGGGUGCGUUCCAGGCGAGGACGGUCUCAACCUUCCUGGGGUCUACUUCAACACCUUUGGUGGAGAUGACAUGGCCAAGGAAGGCUACUUUAUCCAACCAAAACUCACACUUUGAGUACUUGGCAAAGAGUCAGUGUUCACGCAACCUUUCCAUUACCUUCCGUAGAUGAUUUGCAUGAUCUUGUUCAUUCCCGGAGUAAAUCAGAAUGUCGUCGAUGAAGACCACUACGAACUUAUCCAAGUAGUCCAUGAAAACUUUAUUCAUCAUGUUCAUGAAGAAUGCCGGAGCAUUGGUGAGCCCGAAGGACAUCACGGUGAACUCAUACAGGCCAUACCGCGUUGAGAAAGCGGUCUUGGGGAUAUCUUCUGAUCUGAUUUUGAGCUGGUGAUACCCAGAUCGUAGGUCGAUCUUGGAGAAUACUCUGGCUCCUUCCAAUUGGUCGAACAAAUCGUCAAUCCGUGGCAGAGGAUACUUAUUCUUGAUGGUUACUUCAUUCAGGGCUCUAUAGUCUAUCACCAUUCUCUCAGAGCCAUCUUUCUUCUUUACUAAGAGCACAGGGGCUCCCCAAGGGGACGAGCUGGGUCGCACGUAACCCUUGUUCUGAAGUUCUUCGAUCUGUUUCUUAAUUUCUGCCAGUUCGUUGGCUGCCAUUCUGUAGGGUCUCUUGGCAAUGGGAGCGGUGCCUGGGGCAAGCUCUAUGGAGAACUCAAUUUCUCGAUCCGGUGGCAUUCCGGGUAGUUCUUCUGGGAACACCUCGGGAUACUCGUUAACUAUAGGUACCAUUUCCAAAGGAGUGGCUUGCAAACUAUUCAGGAUUGACCGGUUUCCGGGAAGGAGAGGAGUGAAGCGCACUUGUUUUCCUCCGGGUCCUUGCAGAGUGAUGGUCCUCUCAGCACAAUCUAUUUGUCCUUUGUGCUUAACCAACCAAUCCAUCCCUAGGAUGACAUCCAGGCCUUGGGAGUCUAGGACUAUGGGUUUGGCUGCGAAGCUAACCCCUUCUAUCACUAGAUCAACCUUGGGGCAUAGUUUAUCUGCCCUUAUAUCCCUUCCAGGGGAAUGUAUUACCAUAGGUACUUGUAAAUUUUGGGUUUUCCAACCAUUUCUUUUCACAAAAGCUUGCGAUAUGAACGAAUGAGAAGCUCCUGAAUCAAAUAGAACGAGUGCGGGUAUGGAGUUGACAGAGAACAUACCCAUCACCACGUCGGGGGCCUCUUGGGCGGUUUCAGCUUGAAUGUGGUUCACUCGACCUUGUCCAAAGUUGUUGGAGGCGCGAGAACCUUGUCCACUUGUCUGAGUGACUGGACGGGACUGUGCAGGUGCUGGGGUCCUAGGGAAGCUAACAUCAGAGCGUCCGGGGUUAGAGUUUCCCUGAUUUCGAGGGCACUGCCUAGCGUAAUGUCCCAUUUGUUUGCACGUGAAGCACUACACAUGUGCCAUUCCUGUUGGCGAAUUGAAGGAGGAAACACUGUUCCUUGCGGUGUUGCCACUAGGGGCAUGCUGCUGGGGCGACGGAGUAGGGCGAGGCAUCGGCGGACGAGGAGUAAAGCCAGGUUGGCGACUGACUUGAUGGGCAGGUUGGUGGUACUGCAUGGGAUGUCCAACACGAGGGCGUGGCGCACCUCGAAAUAGGGGCGCUUGGUGGGUAGACUUGCGCUUCUUGUAUUCCUCAGUUGCCUCUUUUCUGGCAUCCUCCAGAAGCAAGGCCUUGUUGACCAUGUGCUGAAAAGUGGGGAAGUCAUGGGCAAUCAACUGGAUUCUCAACCCUACUGCGAUUCCCUUCAAGAAUUUCCUGAUCUUUUUCUUGUCGAAGUCCACUUCCUCGGGAGCAUACCGAGCCAAUUUGUUGAAGCGGCUUAAGUACUCAUUGACACUUCCUGUACCUUGUUUCAAGCGAUUGAACUCUUCUUUCUUCAUAUCGAUGGUACUUUCGGGUACAUGAGCUGCACGGAAAGCAUCGGCGAACUCUGCCCACUCAAUGUUGACAGCGUCUGGAUGGGCAUUACAGUAAUUCUCCCACCAGUCGGCUGCAGAGCCUCUCAACUGAUGUGCAGCGAAAAGGGUCUUCUCCACUGGAGUGCACUGCACAAGGUUGAGCUUUCUCUCAACAUCCUUUAGCCAAUCGUCGGCCUCGACGGGCUCGACGGUGUGAGAGAAUUCCGGUGGAUGGGAUCUUAGAAAGUCCGUUAGCUUGGAUCUGUGAUUGUUAUUAUGGAAGGGCACUGGGUGCGGAGCCUGCGGCUGCAAAUUCUGCUGGAUACCAGCAAUGGCUUGGGCUAAGCCCUGCAAGAUCUGAGUCUGAACUGCCAUCAUGUGCUGGUAAUCUGCCUGAAGUUGGGGAGGCGGGGGUAAGUCCUGUGCACGGUUUGCUGCAGGAUCUGCCUGAGCUGGAGCAUUAACCGGUUCAUUCCCUGACUCAUUUUCCGAUUCUGGUUCUUCCCUGCGGGUUUCAUAACCCAAACGAGCUGGGGAACGAGCGGCACGACGGGGACAGCCAUCUAAUCUCCCAGAAAGGGGCGGGGUAAGAGAACAGAACAGCACUUAAAAGGGAAGAAGUAAAGUAAACGAGCUCAGAAAGCACACACUAGUCAUAAUGCUUUUCUCAACUCGGAAAGCACCUAACACAACGGGUGUGGACAAGUCACAGAGCUGCGCCGAGCUUGACUGUGCGCACACCACCUCAGAGAUCCAGACUACCGGACAACACCCACAACAACACACUCACACACUACCUCGCCACGACUCCAAAAGAGUUGGCGGCGGUACAAAAGGUCUGGCACACGAACUCCACCUGCAGCAGACGAACUCUACUGCUCUCCUGCCUGGCUGGCUCCGGUGGUCGGCUCGUCUGAAGAGGACACGUCGAUCGGCGCACGCGAAGGGACCGGCGGAACCUGUCGAGGGCCGGCAGCAGGGCGGCCUGCUGGCGGGGUAGGAGCUGGGUGGUUGAAACGAAACACAGUGGAGGAGCCCACAACGCGCUUCCGCGCGGUGCGGAUCAGUCGGAGCCCACGGCGGCUGACGACUGGGGUGUGGCCUGGGGUGUAGGAGGGGCUGGCACGAUGGGGGUAGGGAGAGUAAACUGGUGAGUACGGCACACGCGGGCUGGGGGAGCGUGGGCCGCUGGGAGUGCGAGCAGAGCCACGUGAAUUGUAGAAGGACAGGUGGCUGGAGUGGCAAAGGCGGCCAGAGUCCCAGGAGGUAGUGUCCACGGAGGUGACACCCUCCUCAGCAAGGCGGGCCUCCAGCGCGGCAUAGCGGCAAGCCAAGGAGCGAUAAGCCUCAAGGAGAAGGUCGUGCUGAGUGGCCUGAGCGCCAGAAAGCUCCACCAUGCGCGUCAGCGCAGGGUGCGACUCACGAUAAGGGCAAGGGUAGCGGCUGUCUGCACGGCCAGGAGGGAGCUGCGGGAUCAGCCGGAAGGCCGAACCUGCGAGGCGGCGACGGUAGUCGUAGGACAAGCGACGCAGAGCGGUCCAGGAGAGGUCCUGGUACGUGAGCUGGAGCGUGGGGCGAGCCAAGUUGAAGUGGUGAGGGCGAAGGCCAGCGCUGUGUGUACCUCCGCGGGGGUAAAGGUACACGGACAGCUCACAGCGGGGAGGGAAACGGUCCACGGAGUACCCAGCGUACUCGGGACAAGAGAAGCCAAGGAAGCCAGCGAGGUCUCUCAGCUGGUCGACGUGGUGACCCUCACCAACGCCGUGGGAACUGUGGGUGGCGUUGACUGCCGUCUACAAUUUUGAAAAAGAAAGAGAAGUCAGUAACCAGUUUUGUAAACAGAGUAAGAGAAGAAGAAAAGAACCGAGCUUUUUGCAAUUAGCUUUUUCAGAACUUAGCAUCCUUACGGUCAUCUAACGUCGGGUUUCGUCCUAAGGCCAAAGCUGCGCUCUGAUACCAUCUUCUGUCACGCCCCAAACUAGCCCCGAGCGGAGGCCAGGAUAGGGCGGUUCAGAUUGACCUGUAUACCUGUACCAGUCCCAGGAAAUAGCGCUAGUACAACAGGAAGACAGAAUAUCACAACAACAACGGUCUCUUUAUUAAGAGUAGGAUUACAACCAGGGUUGGAACUGCGGACAGAACCCGAGUUCGCAACAACAUUACAAAACGGCGGAAGCGGAAAGCGGCGACUAGCCCUAAGCCACAAGCAAAGCCUUGGGGAAAGGCCGAAAUCCUACUACUGCUCGAAGUCUGCUUGCUCCUGGAAGAACUCUUCAUCAGCAGGGUCCACCUCUUCGUCUUCGAGAACUGGGGGGGGUUUAAUUAUAUAGAGCAAGGGUGAGUACGAGAGUACUCAGCAAGUCAGGGGAAUUAAGUGUUUAAUGCAAGCUUCAAGGGAAGCCAGUUGUUUUUCACAAUUGAUUUUAGUUUAAGACUUUAGAAACAUCUAAGUAAGUGCUUCUCAACGACACGGAUGAGAAAGUGCGUCUCAUCCGGUCGGAGCAGUGAAAAUUGUAUCGAUUGAUUCUUGUCGGCACGAGAGGCUCCCUGCCAAUCGUUUACCGACCCGGCUGCUCCAACAGCCACACGCGAGAGGCUCCCUGCCAAUCGCUCACCACACCGGCUGCACCAACAGCCACAAACCAAGCACGUCGGAACGAGUGGCUCCCUGCCAAUCGUUCACCGACACCGGCUGCUCCAACAGCCUUAAACCAAGCACAGAAGGGAAAACCUCACACACCAACAGCAGUUUACAAAGUGUUCAUUAAAACUAUGCUAAGGAAUCACCUCACAUCCGCCCAUGACCGUGGGCACGGCUGUUCGAACAGUUAUUAACCUCUGCAGAGGGGGUACACUUUACCCACACGACGUUACUAACCCCAAAUCACCCAGCCCGCGACUCUUAGUCAUGUCUGGCGACCUUGAGGCUUUUACGACAAGGCAUUUCGAAAGCCGACUCAGGGUCAUCUUAUGCCAACGGGAGGGGUCCCACGGACCAACACCAGGUUAGGUCCCAGACCAUACUGUGCCAGGAAGCCCAGGGGUCCUCCCCGACACCACCCCGGCGAAUCUACUUGUCCCUUGGCAUCAAGAUUUCUCUGGCCUAGCUAAUUACUCAGCCAGGGGCGUCCCAUAUCACCCAUGUGGUCGUACUUGACAUAUGCUCGGAUGUAAUUCCCAAGGAAUCGGUCCUUAGAGCGAGAACGGGCAGACCGUACCUCCAGUACGUCUCCCAUACCGCGAGUUUUAGAAACUCACUUUAUUUUCAAGGCACCGACCUAAGUGUCGGGUUUUCCAAGCAUUUUGUAAACUCAAGUUUUACCCAGGUGAUCAUUUUAAAUUUUGAGGGGAGUCUCAAUAUUCGUACGCGAGGUACGGAUACCGAGGCUUCACCUGAGGGGUGACAAGGGUGUUAGGUUAUUCAAUAAUCAUGGAAGGUAAAUGCAACAAUUGGGUAGGGCCUAACGGUUAUCUUGCAAACUGAGACCAAGUGCCAAGUGUAACCUAAAUAAUGCAUAGUUUGCGGAAAUCAAAAUACUUAAUUUAAAUUAUAGGUUCAAUUGAUCAAAGGUGACUUGCCUUGCUCAAGAUCUUGAGCUUCUUCCACGAAAUCCGCGCACUGCGGGUCUUCGGGCUCCGAGACUACACGUGAAACGAGACGACUCAACAAAGCGAUAAAAAGAAGCCCUAUUAAAGACCACUAAGCAUGCCAUUGGAUAGAUCUCGAUUUUUGAGAAAUUUUGGAAGUGGAACGGGGUUAAUCGGACGAACGGUUGAAAAGAUAUAAAUUUCCGAAGAUUAAAGGAUUUUCUGGAAUAAGAAAAGGAAUUAUUAAUUCCCUGGAAAAGAAAAGAAGGAGCGAUGCAAUUUAGACUUUAUUUUGGGCGGCUAAGGGCAGCCCAAAAGAAUAGAACGGGCGCGGCCGAAAUAAUUGGGCCGACGGCCCGAAGGGAUUGGCCCAUGGCCGAUCGGCGCGCGAGAGGGGGAUAGGCCGAUGGGCCGGGGCAGGCCGCGGCCUACGCGGUCGGCCGAUUCGCGAGAGGGAGGCCGUUGGCCAAGUGGGCCAAGCGGGAAAGAGGCCGAGUGGCUGAGUGGGGAUAGAGGGGGCCGAUGGGCCAAGGCGGAGCGAGGCCGACGCGGGCGGCCGAUCUGGUGGACCGUGCCCGCCAUGCGGCGCUAGGGCGGGGCCCGCCCGUCGGCGGUGCGGUCUACGCGGACCGAGCGCACGGAGGGGAAGGAGGGAGUGCGCCGGCUGGCGCUCGCGUGGCGCCUGCGUGGCGGCCACGUAGGCCAGCCGGGCGAAAGAGAGGGGAAGACGCCGGGCGACGGCGGCGACGGCGGAGGGGUUCGGGCGGUGCGGUGCGAGGCCGGCGACGGGGAGUGGCGCCGGAGCAAGAGGGGAGAGAGAGGAAUCGAGCCGUCGGCUCGGAUCGGGCCGCGGGGAGCGACGGCGGCUGGCGACGACGCGGUGCAACGGCGGCCACGGCGGCUCGGGGAGAGGGCGGAGGAGAAGGCGACGGCCACGGCGGUGGCUGGAGGGGGGGGGGGUUCCUACGGGCUACCUAGCUCCUAGACCGGGGGAGAAAGAGGAGGUGGAAAAAAAAAGGGGGGAAAGAAAUUACCGCGGCGGGAGGAGCUCGCCGGGGACGGGGGUGACGGCGCGGGGCGGCGGAGUGGCGCGGUCCCGGGCCGGGGAAGAAGAGGGCGCCGGGUUCCACUCCUCGCGGCGGCGGGCAGCAAGAGGGGUGGUGGCGCGGCGUGGCGGGACGACAGGGUGGCGGCGGCAGCGGGGAGGGGCGAGCUCGGGGAGGCGGUGAUGGCGACCGGGAGAGGGGAUUUUGAAGGGGGCGCUAGGUCGGUUUGGGGGGGGUCGGAUAGGCGGUGCGAGGGCGCGGAGAGGGGACCGGCGCACUCCGGCGCUUGCGGCCAAGCGUGGCAGCGGUGACGCCGGCCGGUCGGGAAAAAGGGGAAAAAAGGGGGGAUAAAGGAGGCUUGCCUCCUAGCCGAUUCGGGUAAGGGCGCGCGCGCGGGGAGAGAGAGGGGAAGGCGCGCGCUCGGCCCCUUGGCGGCACGCGCGCGCAGCACAGCGGCGGGGCCGAACGGGGGCAGCACGGAACGGCGCCGGCGGGGGCCGUUGGGGAAGAGAGAGAAAGGGGAGAACGGCGAGCGGAGGAGGAGACCGGGAAAGAGGGAGCUGGUGCUCCCGGCUCGGGCGCGGGCGGGCAGAGCGGCCUGGCGCGGCCCAGCGGGGGGGAGGUGGCCGAGCGGGAGGGACUGGGCCGAGGCGGCCCGCAAAGGGAGAGAGAGAGAAAGGGAGGCCGAAGGCUGGGGGACUGGGCCGGCUGCGGCCCAGGAGGGAAGGGGGAGAGAGAAAAGAAGGCCGAAGGGGGAAAUCGGCCCAAGGGCAGAGGGGGGGUAAAGUGGACUUUACCUGAGAAAGAAAGAGAGGGAGUUUUAGGGCUCGGAUUCGAAAUUCGAUUUCGCGGUUUUCUUUGGGAUUGAACUGAGAGGGGAAACACGAGACCUUGGCACACUGUUAACGACGGAUUUUGGUAAUCGACUUGGAAAGGAAAGAGGAAACCGAAGCAGAGAGGAAGGAUUGAGUUGGAGUCGGACCAGGCUUUGUAUCGGACCCGGUAACCGUAUCGGACUGGGGAGGUGUUGCUAUAAAGAGCGUAUCGGCCGAUACGGAUUUGGUUUGGUUGUGGGCCGAUGCAGGUUGUGAGUUGACAGUGUCAACGUGGGCUUGGUCUGGGCUCGAAGUAAGCUUCAAGGAAGUUGCCAAAUAGAGAUAAAGCUCGGUUUUAGGCAAUUGUAUCUUGUAAAUUAAGUAGUGUAGAUCUAAUCUGUGGCUUAAGUCUGCCGCAAGGACUUGUUUGUUAGUUGUAGAUAAGAUCGUGCCCUACAAGGGUUCUGUUGUAACCUCGGGUAUAAAUAUCCCGAUAGUUUGUACAUGUAAGGUCUCUCAAUCAAUCACACAAUCAAAUCAAUCUACUUCCGGCGCAUCGCCAACCCUCGCAAGAGGUCUUCUUCGACGAGUUCUUGCUUCCUCGGAGCAGAGGUAAGAACUCGUCCCCGAUGAUCUGCAUCGUCGGGGCUAACGUGUCGCUUUAGACACGUUAAGCCUCGAUGAUGUGAUCGUCGAUUAUAAUGUCUUGAAUAGUUUUGACAGGUAUCUUAAUUAAGCCUUGCCAGCGGUUUACUCGCUUUAGGGUUUAUUGCCGACGAUGGUUUAAUUCUUAUGCUUGGCUAGAUUGUUCAAUGCAGCUGCCAUCCCCAAAAGCAAUCGACGACUUGAUUUUCUUUGUGUUAAGUCUCAAUUCACACUUCGAGUUGCCAUCGACCUUAGUCCUGUUUUGAGAUCUAACACAAAGCCUGUUUUCGGUUGUAAUUAAGGAUAGUACCGGGGUUUUAGCCGGUCUUAUCUAACAUAUGUGAUUGCUUUAUGUUUCUUGCAUAUGUUUGCCACUUAUAUGUGCAGAUCGAUAAGUAUAGAUAUGUCGAUCAUGAGGUAAUCUCAGGAUUUCUUUAUGGUUGACGUGUUUAUACUGGUCGAUUGGCUCGUAUAAGGUUGCACUAGAGUACUAGCUGGUGUAGUUACCUUUGUCAUCUUUAUCGGCCGGUAUUAUUAGUUGAGGUCUACAUAUCAAUGAAGGCCGAUAAGAUUAGAUUCAUGUCUUACUUAUUUUCUAAGUGAGCCGAUAUAGCUUUGCCCUACCGGCUGGGCUAUGACAAUGUGUCAUCGGUCUGCUGACCGAUCGGCCAUUGUUCUCUGACUUGGUUCACUUGUUUCUUGUUGAUUGCAGAUCAAAUCAACUGGCACGCUCUACUUACGACUAGGCAAGCCAUUUGGACCUGCACUGGAGUUAAGCAGAUCUCCCAGGCCGCCGUGGUAACGCGGAACCCGUUUGGUUGCUGGACGGGUCGAAAUUCUGCGCCAACACGCUUUUGGCACGCCCAGUGGGACCCCAAGAACACAAGCUUAUCACCAGCAACAAGAACACCUCGAGAUGUCGAAGCAGGCCGAGAUCGUCGAGGAGAACGUCAUUCCCGUGACCGCUGACCAGCUCAGCGCAGAACAAAAAGCUGAGAUGGAUAGUCUGGUCGCACAGUUCCAGAAUAUGUACCUGCAAACGUAUUCUAGGACUCGGCAGGGCACCUUGAUUCAAAAGUCCAAGGUGGUCAUGCCGAGUUCCGGAGAUGGAGCUGGAAUGUCGGCGGCGGCGCACGAUCACGCCGUCAAAACUGAAGACACUGCAGCGCCGACGUUGCAAGACAGGAUUGACUCCGCAGUCCACUCUGUGCUAGUCAACCAAUCAGGGAUUUUGGUGAACACCUUGACUAAUACGGUCAAGUCUAUCUUAGACGGGUCAAUUCACCAGUUCAAGCCUCAGGGGCCGAUUUUCUUGCCAGAAAAUAAGUUCCCUGCAUAUCGGACCCUGAGGAAUGAUCUGAGCACGUCUCAGCCAACACCGCCGAUGCCACCCUCAUCGGCGCAGCCGACAAUAACAUUGCCACUGGUCCUCACCAGGCAGACCGGGGGCAGCCCUCAGCUCAUCACCGAGGAACAAUACGCUCAAUGGGCCAAGGGGAAGCAACCGGUGGUUGAGCCGAUGCAGCAAGUUCCUGUCAACCAGCCAUCGGCCGGACAACCGCAAGCCUCAGUGUUCAAUAGUCCUCCACUUCAAGUUGCAUACAACAUGCCGCAAGGCUAUCAGCAGUACCCUGCAGGACAGUAUGGCGUACCGAACUCGGAUCAUCAUUACCAGCCAUACUCCCCUAGGCAGUAUCAAGCAGAGGGUCUGCAACAAUCGUUUCAGCCAGACCUCCCACAUCGGCCCGCAGGAUAUUGGGCCGAUAUGAUAGCCGAAGUGAUGCGGGAUCAAUUCGGCUUGAAGCCCAAGGAGAACUCUACGGUGUAUCGGCACCCGUAUCCCGAGGAAUUUGACAGGGUACCGUUGCCAGGCCGAUAUAAGAUCCCGGAUUUCUCCAAGUUUUCGGGACAGGACAACGUCUUGACAUAUGAGCAUGUCAGCCGAUUCUUAGCACAGUGCGGGGAGGCAUCGGCUAUCGAGGCGUUGAGGGUGAGGUUUUUCCCUCUGUCCUUAUCAGGGUCUGCAUUCACGUGGUUCUCUUCCUUGCCCUGCAAUUCCAUCAGAGGAUGGAUAGAUCUGGAGAAACACUUUCAUAGAUACUUCUACAAUGGCGUACAAGAGAUGAAACAGUCAGAUCUGACUGCCAUCAGGCAACGAGUGGAUGAAUCGGUCCCUGAAUACAUACAAAGGUUCAGAGACAUACGGAACAGAUGUUAUAGCCUCAGUCUGACCGAUUCCCAGUUGGCCGAUUUGGCAUUUCAGGGAUUGCUAGGGCCGAUACGCGAGAGGUUCUCCUCGCAGGAAUUUGACAGCCUCGCUCAGCUGGCACAACGAGUAUCGGCCCACGAGCAGCGAUUCCAGGAGGCAAAGAAGUUCGCGAAAAAGAUUAACACUGUUUAUCAGUACGCCUCCGACGAUGACGACGAUGAAGAUGGUGAUGUCGACCUAGCCGAGUGGGCCCGGAUGAGGAAAUCAACAACUUGCCAGUGGGCCAAGAAAGGAGAUAAAGAAGAUAAAUAUGAUUUCGACAUCAAAAAGGCCGAUAAGAUAUUUGACCUGCUGUUGCAAGAAAAGCAGAUUCAACUGCCAGUAGGUCACGUAUUGCCAUCGGCCGAAGACAUCAAGAAAAGGAGAUAUUGCAAGUGGCACAAUUCCUAUUCACACCAUACAAAUGAAUGCAAGAUCUUCCGGCAACAAAUUCAAUCGGCCAUCGAGCAGGGCAGAAUUAAAAUCGACGAUGCCAAGCGGCCGAUGAAGAUUGAAGGCCACCCGUUCCCAGUCAACAUGGUGCGGGCGGACAGGGCCGAUGGCGGUGGUCAUCGGACUGGCAAGCGGCCUCAUCAGACCUCUGAGGGUCUGAUCAGAAAAUAUCGGCGGAGGCGGGAGGAUCAAGCUCAAGACCAAGCCGAUCAAGACAACUCCUACGACCCACACUGGGAGUGCGAGUUUUUUCGCUUCUGCUGGAAUGAAGGGAUGAGGUUGCCAUCUAUCCAGGAGUGCCCUGCAUGCAGUGGUGUAGAAAAUUCUUAUCAGGGCAGCUCAAGCAGACAAACGCAUCGGCCGGCCAAGCAACGGAAAUCCGUGCAUGAAAGGCUGGGGCCGAUGCACCAAGAUCAACACGAUGAAGAUGAGGAACAAGUCCAGAACCCCCAAUGGUGCCCAAGCGAUGUAUUCAGCAAGACACAGAAGCGGCGGGUUCAGAGGUUAAGGAGGAAAGAGCAAAUCCAAGAGCAACAAGCUGAAAUACCCCAUCGGCCCACCAAGACCAAAAAAGAGUGGAGGAUAAAAUCCACGGUGGCCAGGGCCGAUGAGGGCACCUCCAAUAUAGCUCAGGGCUACUCAGCUUCAAAAGGUAAAAAAAUGACAUCGGCGCCUGUUAACAUGGUGUUUGUAUUGCCAGCAGAAUACUGUGUGCAGGCGGCCGAUGAAGCGAUGGCCGAUGAUGAACAAGGUUCAGCCAGGCUACGCUUGUCACCAGACCAAGCUAUCUUCGACAAGCCAGUUGACGCCAGCCACAGACAUCUACGGCCGUUGUACAUCAAAGGAUUCAACAACGGGCGGCCGAUGACGAAGAUGCUGGUCGAUGGUGGCGCAGCAGUCAAUUUAAUGCCAUACACAACCUUCAGGAAGCUUGGAAAAGUACCUGAGGAUCUUAUCAAGACAAAUAUGGUAUUAAAGGACUUCGGUGGCAACGCAUCCGAGGCGAAGGGGGUCCUGAACGUGGAGCUCACCGUGGGCAGCAAAACAAUUCCCACCACCUUCUUCGUCUUCGAUGGAAAGGGUUCCUACAGCUUGUUGUUGGGACGAGAUUGGAUCCAUGCAAAUUGCUGUGUCCCUUCAACAAUGCACCAAUGCCUCAUGCAAUGGCAAGGGGACCAAGUCGAGAUCGUGCAGGCCGAUCGGUCAGUACAUGUCGCCAAUGCCGAUCUCGCAGUUUGGGAGAUGGAGGGAAUCGACUGCUUGUCCGGGCGAGUCUGGGACGCCGAUUUCCUCAAGGUAACCGACUGCGACAUCGAGGCAAUUGAAGACCAAGACAAGCGGUUACUUUAGCGAAGAUGCACCAUCCGCCGUUGACAAUGACCCCUACACAGAUGACGCGGUGGAUGAGUUAGACGGCAAGUUGGGACAAGGUUUUACGUCGGCCGAUGAAUUGGAAGAAAUUGAUAUAGGAAUAGGUGAUAGGCCUAGGCCGACGUAUGUAAGCGCUAAUUUGCCAAAGGAAUACAAGAAUAAUUUGAUAGAUCUUUUGAAAGAAUUCAGAGAUUGUUUUGCAUGGGAAUACCAUGAGAUGCCAGGAUUAAGCCGAUCGAUUGUAGAACAUCGGCUACCAAUCAAACAAGGCUAUCGGCCUUUUAAGCAAGCUCCUUGGAGGUUUAAGGCCGAUAUGCACGAAGCCAUAAAAGCAGAGAUCACAAGACUUUACGACGCCAACUUUAUCAGGCCCUGCCGAUACGCGGAGUGGGUCCCCAACAUAGUUCCGGUAUUGAAAAAGAACGGCAAGCUAAGGGUAUGCGUCGAUUUCAGAGAUCUAAAUAAGGCGACGCCCAAAGACGAGUACCCUAUGCCGUUGGUCGAUUUGCUAGUCGACGCUGCUUCUGGGCAUAAGAUCAUUAGUUUCAUGGACGGAAACGCGGGUUACAACCAGAUCUUUAUGGCUAAAGAGGACAUUCAUAAGACAGCCUUCAGGUGCCCAGGGGCAAUCGGCCUAUAUGAAUGGGUCGUCAUGACAUUUGGUUUGAAGAAUGCUGGAGCUACGUAUCAGAGGGCUAUGAAUUACAUUUUUCAUGAUCUUAUUGGCUCUCUGAUUGAAGUUUAUAUAGACGAUGUUGUUGUAAAGUCAAGAGAACAUGAUAUGCACUUGGCCGACUUACGCAAGGUACUAGAAAGGGCAAGGAAAUAUGGUUUGAAGUUGAACCCUAACAAAUGUGCCUUUGGCGUAUCGGCCGGUCAGUUUUUGGGUUUCUUGGUCCAUGAAAGGGGGAUUGAAAUCACACAGAAGAACAUCGAUGCCAUCAAGAAAAUCAAGCCUCCAGAAAACAAGACCAAGUUACAGUCUCUGCUUGGCAAGAUCAACUUCGUCCGGCGUUUUAUAUCAAAUUUGUCAGGCCGUAUAGAGCCAUUCACUCCACUGUUGAAAAUAAAGGACGACGAAGAAUUCAUAUGGGGUGACAAGCAACAAAAAGCGCUAGACGAUAUCAAAGAAUAUUUAACUUUUCCGCCGGUCUUAAUUCCUCCACAAAAAGGAGUCCCAUUCAAAUUGUACUUGUCAGCCGAUGAGAAAUCCAUCGGCUCAGUCUUGGUUCAAGAUGUUAACGGCAAGGAAAGAGCUAUUUUUUAUCUCAGCAGGAGAAUGUUAGACGCUGAGACAAGGUACACGCCGGUGGAGAAAUUAUGCCUUUGUUUAUAUUUUUCAUGUACUAAAUUGAGGCAUUACCUGCUUUCCAACGAGUGCAUCGUAGUGAGCAAUGCCGAUGUGAUGAAAUACAUGUUAUCGGCCCCUGUGUUGAAAGGACGAGUCGGGAAGUGGAUCUUUGCUUUAACAGAGUUUGAUCUUCGAUAUGAAUCGGCCAAAGCGAUCAAAGGACAAGCCUUGGCCGAUUUCAUCGUUCAACAUAGAGAUGACUCAGUCGCAUAUGCAGACAUUGUGCCAUGGACAUUAUAUUUUGAUGGAUCCGUCUGCAGACACGGUUGCUGUAUCGGCCUAGUCAUCAUAUCCCCUCGGGGGGCAAGUUUUGAGUUCGCUUUCACUAUCAAGCCUUACUAUACCAACAAUCAAGCAGAAUAUGAAGCGGUGCUUAAAGGCUUUCAGUUAUUACAAGAAGUCGAGGCCGAUGCCGUGGAAAUCAUUGGUGAUUCACAGCUAGUAAUUAGUCAACUUUCUGGGGAGUAUGAGUGCAGAGACGAUAUUCUCAAAGUCUAUAAUGAGGAGUGCAAAGAGUUAUUACACGGUUUCCGGAUCGUAAUGAUGAGGCAUAUACCCAGGAAGCAGAAUUUCGAAGCCAAUGAUUUAGCUCAGGGGGCAUCGGGAUACAGGCCGAUGGCUAAAGACGUUCCAAUUCAGAUUGCUCUCGUGCACGCCGAUGACUGGAGGUUUGAUAUCAUUGAGUAUUUGAGAAACCCUUCCCAAUCGGCGUCACGCAGAAUGAAAUAUAAAGUUUUACACUAUGUCUUAUUGGACGAUAACCUAUAUUAUCGGACGGUUGAUGGUGUCCUACUCAAAUGCCUAGGUCCUGAGGAGGCUAAAACCGUUAUGAGCGAAGUACAUGAAGGGAUUUGUGGCACCCAUCAAUCGGCCCAUAAAAUGAAAUGGCUGAUGAAGCGCGUCGGAUAUUUUUGGCCAACCAUGCUAGAAGAUUGCUUCAAGUAUUAUAAAGGAUGUCAGGAUUGUCAGAAAUUUGGAGCAAUUCAGAGAGCACCGGCAUCGGUUAUGCAUCCAAUCAUAAAGCCGUGGCCGUUUCGUGGAUGGGGAAUAGAUAUGAUCGGCCAGAUUAACCCACCAUCAAGUAAGGGACACAAGUAUAUAUUAGUGGCUACAGAUUACAUCACAAAGUGGGUUGAGGCCGUUCCUCUCAAGAAGGUUGAUUCCAAAGACGCUAUUCAGUUCGUCAAGGAGCAUAUCAUAUAUCGGUUUGGGUUACCUCAGACAAUAACUACAGAUCAGGGAUCAAUCUUCGUGUCCGACGAGUUCGUUCGAUUUGCUGACAGCAUGGGCAUCAGAUUACUCAAUUCUUCUCCUUACUAUGCGCAGGCCAAUGGGCAGGCAGAGGCUUCUAACAAGUCUUUAAUCAAAUUAAUCAAGAGGAAAAUUGACGAACAGCCGAGGCAAUGGCAUACAACGCUGGCCGAUGCCCUUUGGGCGUAUCGGAUGGCUUGCCAUGGUGCAAUCCAAGUGCCUCCCUAUCAACUGGUCUACGGGCAUGAAGCUGUACUACCGUGGGAAACCGCCAUCGGCUCAAGAAGGAUUGCUUUGCAAGACGACUUGACAGCCGACGAGUACCAUAAUCUUAUGGUUGAUGAAUUGGAUGAUUUGGCACAUGUUCGAUUACGGGCCUUAGAGAAAAUCAAGCGUGAUAAAGAUAGAGUGGCCCGUCAUUAUAAUAAAAAGGUCGUUGCCAAAUCGUUUGAGGAAGGAGACCUUGUGUGGAAAUUAAUAAUGCCGAUUGGCUCCAGAGAUAAUAAAUUCGGCAAAUGGUCACCUAAUUGGGAAGGCCCCUUUCGAAUUCAUCGACGUGUUCCUCACAAUGCCUAUCUGCUCAAGGGAUUAGAUGGCGAGAUUUAUGGACGAGCUCUCAAUGGCAAAUACUUGAAACAAUAUUAUCCCAGUGUCUGGAUUGACUCAUGAUCGGCCCUCUAGCCGAUUUAUGAUUACAGCCGAUGUAGUCAAGCAUCGUCUUUAGAUGGCCGGUAAAUACUAUCGCCCUUAGUUCAAAAUUUCAGAAUAUGAGCCCUCAUCUUCCAAAAUUUGGGGGGCAUAUAUAUAUACAGGAAUUUUCCAGGAAUUUUCAAGGAUUUUUCAGUUUGGCGAUUGACUUCGGCUCUCUGGCCGAUGAGAUUGUUUAUAAUGAGAAUUUUCAAAGAUUUUUCAGUUUGGCGAUUGACUUCGGCUCUCUGGCCGAUGAGAUUGUUUAUAAUGAGAUUGUUCGUAUUAAAGAUAUAUGUGUCUGGAAUUUUCAAAACAAAUUCGGCUGCACGGCCGAUAAGGUGUGAGAGGAUUUUAAUUCGGCUGCACGGCCGAUAAGGUGUGAGAGGAUUUCAGAAGCAAUAAAUUAGGCUGGAAUUUUCAAAAGAAUUUUCAAAACAAAUUCGGCUGCAUGGCCGAUAAGGUGUAUGUUUAUAUAUUAUAAAAAUAACAUAUGCUACAUCACCCUAUGAAGUCCGCAAUAGCAGCAAUGGCUUUACAGCGAAUCUGCUAGACGUCUUCAAUAGCCUGGGCGUCAUCGGCCAUCGUCCCUGGGAUCGGUUUCAGUGAUUUGCUUAGGGUCGCGAGGUACUUGGCCGAUGCCUUGAGCUUUGCCAUCUGAUCUUCUAUGGCUUUAGGGGAUGCAGCUAUUCCGGCUUCGGCUUCUUGGAUUUCUCGACGUGUCGAUUCCAGCUUCGAUACCAGCUCUGCCUCGAGGCGACGGAGCUCUUCAAGUUUGUGCUUCAAGACAAUCGGCUCUACCGCUAACUCGUCCAGCUUGGUUUUGUCAGCGUUAACUUGGGCCUUGCUGGCGGAUAAAGCCGAUUCCAGUUGGUCACGCUCUCGUCGCUCUGCGAGUCUUUCUUUGGCUUUGUUGAGCUUGAAUCGGUAUUGCUCCAAGAAGAUGGCCGGUGUUAGGACCUCCAUUAGGUCUUCAGGCAGUUCGUCUUGAAUUUCUUGUACCCUGACCCUGAUGGAGGUGCAAUCUUCCACCAAGUACUCCAGCGAGGACUCCAGCCGAUUGGCGAUAUCGGUCAGCCGGUUCUUCAGAUCAUCAGAGAUUGGUGCCCUGGCUGUGCUGGGUAGUUCCUUGUCCUCAUCAUCAAGAAACUGGCCGAUAUCAAAGGAGAACAUAUCGGCUAGGUUCUGUAAAUAUCAACAUGGGUUGAGGUUAGCAUUGUUAAUCAGGAAUCGACAGAAAGGGGAUCAGGGUAAUCGUGGUUACCUGUGUUGGAGCAUCGGUGGUGCUUGCAUCGGCCUUCCUUUGCUUUGUCGACAUAGUAGGCGAGGGGGUUGGCCGAUGUGGUGAACGUGAUGGAGCCCUAGGCUGAAAAAGCAGGAAAUUGGUGAAUAGGGUUAUGUGAUUACAAAAAUAAUGCAAAAAAUCAACUCUUACCGAGACAGUCGGAGAGGGUGGUGGAGAAGGAGAAGGGGUCCUCAAUCGUGCCUUGGCUCGUUCGCGCCGUUGCAAAGUUGUUUUCUUGGUUCUUGGCAAAGGGACCGAUUGAGUUCUCUCCUUCAACGCAGACGACACCGCAGCCUAAAAAGGAUAUGAAGUUAAAGUGUGACAGUACAAGGAGAUUAUGUAAACACAAAGAAGAAAUUAUAUUGACCUUGCGAACUGCGUGUCUGGUCCUUUUUGGUUGCGGGGCAUCAUCUUGGUCAUCGGCCGGUGGGAUCUCCGCAGCUUCGGCCGAUGGCUCCUGGGUGGUUUCACCCGACGGGUUUUCUUCUUCGUGUGCAUCGGCCGCUGCUGCAUCGAUUUCCUCCUCCAUCACUUGUUCUUCGAGGAAUUCUUCCAAGGAGGGGUCUAGCUCUUCGGCAUCGGCCUGGUCAUCGGUUUUAGCCUUCUUGCUGGCUUUCUGCGAUUUGCCUUUGGCCGGCGCUUUCCUCUUGGGGUUUUCUUUAGGCAUCGGACCUUGGAGAAGCGUCGCUACUUUUGGGGCAGUGAGGCCGAUGAUGGAUUCCAGGAUGGUUGACCCCGAUGGAGCUAUGGCUUGAGCGUAGAAGAUCUUCCGUCCACUGUUGCUCACAGAGGGAAUCGGCUCGUCUGGGACUUGAGGGCUGAUGCCUUGGAUAAGUUCUGUCACAUAGAACCUGGCCGAUCGAUGAAAGAUGUGAGCGGCCCACUCUUGCCACCAAGUUUGGAAGUUAAUGUGCACGAAGGCAUUCAGAUGCAGCCGAUCGCAGUCACCAAGAUUUGGGAGCUCGAUUUCCAUUGCUUUGUUCAUAACCAGGGCCGAUGGGACUGUGCCUCUGCUCUCUAGGAGCUUAUGAAGAUGCAAGCUAAUGGGAAGUUGUCCGAGCCCGCAUUGUCUAGCAGCUGUCAUUGGGGUGUAAAACUCAUAGGACAAGCUGGUGCUCCUUCCCUGAAAGAUGCCUACUGGGAGCAGGCAUGGAGUGAGGCCGAUCAUGAAUAAUUCCCUUGAUUCCAUGUCAUCAUUUAUUAAGCUCAGUUGCAGAUCAUCUGGAAGCUCAAAGUCUCGGUCCGAUGUAUAGACAAACAUAUCCAUCUUGGCUGAUGGAGGGCCGGUGAAGAAAUGGAUGAACCAUGUAGCCAUGUCAUCGGCCGAUUGAUCUGCGCCGGGGUAGACGGAGGCUGCUUCCCCGUAGGAUAUGCAUCUUCUGUUCCUGGGAUCUUCGUGAUCGGCAUAUUUUGAUGGGAAGCGAGAAUCUGAUAGAGGCGGCCGAUCAGCCAUGGUGUUGGUGUAUAUGGUUAGCCAGAGUUGAAUGAACCACCAUGGUCCUCCAUGUGCCACGGUUUGUUUCAACAUUAAGUCUUGAGUGGCAAUAUGGAGUAGCCGAUAUACAGCUCCCAAGAGGUAUCGGCUGAGAGGGAUUUGCUUCUUGCUGACCAAAGCCUGAGCCAGGUGUUGACAAUUUGUAGUAGGACCACAGGUCGAUCCACAGAAGACGAAUCUUUCCAACCAUAAUGUCAGGAACGCUACAUGUUCUCGCUCUGAGACCGAUCCUUGUUCCAUGUGCUCAGAGAUAUACCCAGACCAGCCUCCAAUUUUCUUGGUUUUCAGUUUGUGGCUGCUGUUUAUCAGGAGGCUGAAAGGAUUAAUCUCAGAGUCGAUGUCUAGUCCUGUCAGUACCUUGAUAUCUAUGAGGGUUGGGGUCAUCGGACCUUGCUUGAACAUAAAGGCGUUCAAGGUACUUGACCAGAAGUAGCUGGCAGCUGACAUUAGUGGCUCAUUCUUUUUGGUAUCGGCCAGGGACAGAGUUAUGCAUUGGCCGAUUCCAAUAUCGUCCCAGUGGACUUGUUUGACGGCAGCAAUCCUUUUGUGCCAGGUCCUGUAUCCGUUUAGUUUUGAUGGCCAUGACCUGAAGGUGUGCUUCCACGCCGAGACAGUGGGCUUGGCUUGCCUGAAAGGAAUUCUGUCUGUUUCGGCGUUGAUUAGCCAGGUUGGGUCGCAGUCGCCCAUGGGGCCCAGGAGAAAGCGAUGGGAUUUAUCGUCGGUGGGAAUCAAGAUUUGGUUUUUGAAGACCUAAAUCGUGAGAACAACGAUGAAAAUAUAAGGCUUGAGGGGGACAGAGAGUAAAACCCUAACUUGGAGAAAUCGACGGGGAAAGCGAUAAUGCAGGAUUGAACAAGUCGACUUACCGCGGGGAUCUCAGAGGUGUAGAAUGGGGCGGAAGCCAUUGUUGUUGAAGAAGGGAUCGUUGCGGAAGGGGUCGAUGUCGAUGGAGUAUCGAGCGGUCGCCGGAGUUGAAGAACACGAGGAGUUUGUUGAAUCGGCGGCGAAAGGGUUCGAAUCUGGAUCUGUGCGGUUUUCAGGUUAGACCUAGCAAAAAGUCGAUGAGUUCCCUGGAGCUAAUUCCGCCACAUUAUAUAAUGAAGCGGAAUUGGGGGGCAUGUGUUAACGACGGAUUUUGGUAAUCGACUUGGAAAGGAAAGAGGAAACCGAAGCAGACAGGAAGGAUUGAGUUGGAGUCGGACCAGGCUUUGUAUCGGACCCGGUAACCGUAUCGGACUGGGGAGGUGUUGCUAUAAAGAGCGUAUCGGCCGAUACGGAUUUGGUUUGGUUGUGGGCCGAUGCGGGUUGUGAGUUGACAGUGUCAACGUGGGCUUGGUCUGGGCUCGAAGUAAGCUUCAAGGAAGUUGCCAAAUAGAGAUAAAGCUCGGUUUUAGGCAAUUGUAUCUUGUAAAUUAAGUAGUGUAGAUCUAAUCUGUGGCUUAAGUCUGCCGCAAGGACUUGUUUGUUAGUUGUAGAUAAGAUCGUGCCCUACAAGGGUUCUGUUGUAACCUCGGGUAUAAAUAUCCCGAUAGUUUGUACAUGUAAGGUCUCUCAAUCAAUCACACAAUCAAAUCAAUCUACUUCCGGCGCAUCGCCAACCCUCGCAAGAGGUCUUCUUCGACGAGUUCUUGCUUCCUCGGAGCAGAGGUAAGAACUCGUCCCCGAUGAUCUGCAUCGUCGGGGCUAACGUGUCGCUUUAGACACGUUAAGCCUCGAUGAUGUGAUCGUCGAUUAUAAUGUCUUGAAUAGUUUUGACAGGUAUCUUAAUUAAGCCUUGCCAGCGGUUUACUCGCUUUAGGGUUUAUUGCCGACGAUGGUUUAAUUCUUAUGCUUGGCUAGAUUGUUCAAUGCAGCUGCCAUCCCCAAAAGCAAUCGACGACUUGAUUUUCUUUGUGUUAAGUCUCAAUUCACACUUUGAGUUGCCAUCGACCUUAGUCCUGUUUUGAGAUCUAACACAAAGCCUGUUUUCGGUUGUAAUUAAGGAUAGUACCGGGGUUUUAGCCGGUCUUAUCUAACAUAUGUGAUUGCUUUAUGUUUCUUGCAUAUGUUUGCCACUUAUAUGUGCAGAUCGAUAAGUAUAGAUAUGUCGAUCAUGAGGUAAUCUCAAGAUUUCUUUAUGGUUGACGUGUUUAUACUGGUCGAUUGGCUCGUAUAAGGUUGCACUAGAGUACUAGCUGGUGUAGUUACCUUUGUCAUCUUUAUCGGCCGGUAUUAUUAGUUGAGGUCUACAUAUCAAUGAAGGCCGAUAAGAUUAGAUUCAUGUCUUACUUAUUUUCUAAGUGAGCCGAUAUAGCUUUGCCCUACCGGCUGGGCUAUGACAAUGUGUCAUCGGUCUGCUGACCGAUCGGCCAUUGUUCUCUGACUUGGUUCACUUGUUUCUUGUUGAUUGCAGAUCAAAUCAACUGGCACGCUCUACUUACGACUAGGCAAGCCAUUUGGACCUGCACUGGAGUUAAGCAGAUCUCCCAGGCCGCCGUGGUAACGCGGAACCCGUUUGGUUGCUGGACGGGUCGAAAUUCUGCGCCAACACACACGACAAGACUCAACCGAAGAGCAACUUUCGCAAAUAGAGUUUUUAGUAAAUUAGUUUUCCCGCUAACGCCGCGACAAAACGGGCGUUACAACGAGCUUGCCUUAACUUACUGUGAUGGUCAUGGAUGUGGCUGUGCUGGCGUCUAGUUUAUUUGAUUAGACUACAGCAGCUAUGCAUUUUUUUUAGUACAAUGACAGCAGUAGCUAGAUACCAAAGACCAGUACAACAAUAGUUGAACCAAACUGCGAUUAUUAUAUCCGAUUAAACCUGUGUUUAAUAAAAUGCAUUGAAAAACUGAAGAUUUAUGUUGAUUCAUCACAUGUCAAUUGAGUGAUUAUGUCCUACAAUGACUUAAGUGAAAUGUAUAGCUUGAAAGCUUGUGCUAGGAUUUUGUUCCUUGAAAUCCAUUGUCACUUGUGAGUGUAGUUCAUGCUUAAAUUAAUAUUAUAAUAUUCUGUGAUUUCUGUGUUUCAGGAAAUAUUAUACGUGAUCUUGAAAUUAUUUUUUUUUGUGUUUCAGGACUAUAGGUGCCGGUUCUUGUAAAGAACCAGCACCUAUGAGGCAUCAAAGGUGCCAGGUCCUAUCCAUUAUAGGUGCCGGUUAUUUAUAGGAGCCGGCACCUAUAAUACCAUAUAGGUGCCGGUUCGACAUUUACAACUGACACCUAUAGUGUUAUAGAUGCCGGUUGAGGAACCGAUACCAAUAGCUUUGAGCAUUGGUGCCGACCAAUUGGUGCUGGCUUCGAAACCGGUACCUAUGAGGCCUUUGGAACCGGCACCAAUGAGUAUUUGUGUAGUAGUGAUUUUAUUUGUUUCUCUUGUCGAUUGCAUAUCAAAUCAACUGACACGCCCUAAAACACUUAAGCAAGCCAUUGGACCUGCACUGGAGCUAUGCAAAUCUCCUAGGCCGCCGUGCAGCCUAUGAAACCUGUCUUGGGCAUGAGGACAAGAGGGAUUUUGCAGCUACACAAGGCACUGUGAAGUGCAGCGGCGGCCAGGGAAGGAAGCGACGGUUGAAGCCAAAAGAGAAGCUAGAUUUUUGUAUUUAAAUGGAAGUUUUAGAUUUUUUGAAUUGAAUUUUUUUUUGUAUUUUGAUCUGAAAGUUUUGGAUUUGAAUCGAAAGUUUUUUAUUUUGAGAUGAAAGUUUUAAAUCUUUCAACUGAAAGUUUUAGGCUUAUAUUGAAAUUUGUCAAUUUGAGUUGAAAGUGUUUUUGAUUUUGAGAUGAAAGAUUUGGAUUUGAAUCAAAAGUUUUGAAUCUCUCAACUGAAAGUUUUUGAUUUGAGAUGAAAAUUUUAGGUUUAUAUUGAAAGUUUUUUGCAUAAGUAAAGAGUUCUGAAGACCCGAAGCAAUUUCUAAAUUGGAGUCCGAUGACUCAGUGUGAGCGGGAAUGCUAGGAAUUGCGCGGCAUGAAGCCGACUCGCCAUGUGCCGAUGGGCAUGUGGUGUGCGCAACUUGAGCUUGUAGUGUGCGCGAGAUACGUUGUUAGUCCCAAAUAAGGCAGUAGAAAAAACUCCUCUUCCAUAUGUGUACCUCAAGUCCAUAUAGGUAAAGUCACAUGAUUGCAAAUUUCUGCAUUGCCAAGUUCAUGUAGUGAACAAACUUGAACCUUGCGCCAUGUCAGAGGGGACUAGCUAGCAGAGAAAGCCUCUAAGAUGGUUGCAGUGUGCAGGCGGUGUGGAGCAUUAAGUGUCGAUACACCACUCAGAGCGGAAUGAAACGUAACCAAGAGCCAACAUUGGCAAUGAGGCAUAGUGGACCAAGAUGAAGGUAAAGCAAUAGAACUAAUGAUCUUGAACGAUGAUGUUGGUAGGGGUGGCUAGACUGCUGGCCUAGAGCGAUGACAAUGGUAGCAAAAAAGACGUCAUGGUGGUGCUUGAAGUAGGUGACUAAGAAUCCUAGCGAAUGAUGAUGACUUGUGCAGACAAUGAGGGCAUCGAUGCGUAAACAGCGAUAAAGACAACAAUAGCGGCGACACUACAGCCUAACUACCUAAGCGUGGCACAGCUGCUACUCCAAAAUAUGACCAUGAGUAGCAACACCGUGGUUCGAGUGGACUGCACAGUGGCAACCCAAGCUAAAGGUGUAGUACACGUGCUCGAAGACAACCCGUUCCACAAGAGUGGGAUGCAGACAGGCACUCCAUCAGGUGAAUAGGCCGACCGCAAACAAUACAACACAAUGGUGAAUGAUGUUGCACAGACCAGAGUCGAGGACGAUGAUCACGGAUGAUGGGAGCAGUGUAAAGGACAACGAACGACAGUGGGUGAUGCAAACUUGAUCUCUGAUCAGGGUUCAAUAUUUUGAUUUCGGUAUUUGUAUCGGAGGGUGCUGAUAUGGCAAAAUUUCUGAAAUUUUGGUCCGAAAUUUUGAACAAAAUUUAGUCAAAUUUAAACAAAUAUUGCCAAAAUUGUCACACCCUGAAAAUUCAAAAUAUAUAAAUUGUUGUUUAAAUGGAAUUUCUAGAAUUUAUUUUAAAAAAGUCUUGAAGAGAAGAUCUAGUUUUAAUUAAUAAAUUCCAAUAUAAAAAGGGGCCAGAUAAAAUUUCAUUAAAUACUUUGCUUAAUUCUAUAAUUCCUAGAUUUUUCUGGGAUUUAUUUGAGCUAAGGAAGUAUUUUUAAUAAUGGAAUUGCAUUUAAGAAAUAAUUUAAAUUAAAAAGGUUUUAAAAGUCUCUUUUGGCUUUGGGCCGAAAGUCGGCCCAAAACCUCUCUUCUCUCUCCUCGGCCCAGCCGGCCCAGUCAGCCGCCGCGCGCGCGCCCUCGCUGCCGCUGACAGGUGGGGUCCACUUGUCAGGCCCGUCGUCUUCCUCGGGCCGAAACCCUAGCGCGCCGUCGCCGAGCCGCCGCCGCUGUUUCCUUCCGAUCCGGCCGUUCCUUUCCUUCUCCGGCCGAAUCAAUAGAGGGGAAAUGAUCUCCGGGAUCUCCUCUACCUUUUCUCCUUUGGAAUCUUUGGUUAAAUCGCUUUGGAAAGCGUCGGAGACGAGUUCGAUUCGGAUCGGUUUUCCCUCUCUCCAAGCCGAAGGUUUCCUUCGCCGUUGCCGUCGCCGUGGGCCUUCGCCGCCGCCUCCGAGCCCCUUUAAAAGGACCCCCGGUGUCUCCUCUACCCGUCGCAGCCCUCGCCUUCGCCUCUCGUCGCCGGAAGAGCCUUAGCGCCGUGUGCCCUAGCUUCGCCGUCGCCGCCGCCACUUCAGCCGUGCUCCGCCGUCGCUCCAGCUGUCGCCGCCGCUCGGGAAGACCGCCGUCGUCAUCGCCAAGUCGCCGCCGUCCUCGUCCGCCCCUUCGCAGCCGUCGGAACCCGCCGGAGCUUCAUCGCCGUCGACAACCCGGAGGUAGCCGCCGCUUCCUUCUCGUCGCCGUCGCCGUCCGUUGCUUCUCCGCCGUCGUUUUGGUCGUCGGUGUGUUCGCCGUGCCGUCUGCUUCCCGUUGGUGUCCUCCGUUCGUGCCGUAGCGCCGCCGUUCGCCGGUGAGCGUGCGCCGCCCGAGCCGUCCGCUCCGCCGAGCCGCCGCCGCCGUCGGUGACGUCAACGCUGGCGUCAUCAAGGCCGUCCGCCGUGAACCGCCGUGGACCCGAUCGAUCUCGGCCGUCCAUCUUGGAUCGGUUAGAUCUCGGCCGUCCGUUCGCGUGAACCGCCGCCCAUGCGCCGGUCCACCCAAACCCUAGCCCGCUGACGCAAUAAUCCUUCUUUUCCUUUUCAAAAAUAAUUCAUUAUUGCGUCAUAAUUCAAUUUAAACCGAUUUAAGUGUUUAAUCCGAUUUAAUCUUUAAAAAUUCAUAACUAAUUCAUCUUAGCUCCGAUUUAGUUGGUUCAAGUCUCUAAUUUUUUCUAAAAUUGAGAUCUACACAUUAAAAAUAUCCACAUGUACUGUUCAUGCUUGUUUAUGUGCUGUUUUGGUGAUUUUGCUCUUUUCUGCUUAGAUUCCGUCGUUUCCGGAGAGUCCGUUUUCGCAGAAGAAGAGUUUGAAGAGUUCCAAGGCCAGCAAGGCAAGUCACACAGAUCCCAAACAACCCUUUGAGCAUAUUGAUCCUAUUUAAAGCUAUUGUUUCUAUUCAACUAUUGCAUCUAUUUUCGAAUGUCAUUGGGUGGAAUUGACCUAUUCUUUGUUAUGGCCCUUUUGUACAUUGAUUACCUUAUUCCUUGAUACCUUGGGUUAUUACAAUUUGACUAGUUGAGCUUUAUUUAUAUUGGUUCAACUAGAUAUUAGAUAUAAUUGCUUAGCCCUGCUUAGAAACAUUAGUACACAUUCGGGAUAACUAAUGAUUCACUAUUAUUUCAUGAUGGCUUAUUGAUAGUUCACGAUGGUCAAUCGUGAUUAGUUAAUUAAUUAAUGUGCCAACUAAAACCUGGUAAUGGUGGGUUGUGAGCACAUGGUUUUGAUGGUCGUGCUCAUGACAAUUAAGGACCGGUUCACGAGUUUCGGUUGUGAAACAUUAACCGUGCCAACCACAAGCCAGCAUGGGCAACGGCUUUAUCUUUUGUAUAGCAUGGUUCAUUGCGGGGCACCAGACUGAGAAGUGGCGGAGAUAAGCCCACGGGGGUCGCUGGGGAGUCCAUGCCUUGUUUAUAAGGGGGUGAUUAUGAUCCAGGAAGGUGCGCUGCAAUGGAUUGUGUUAUGCGAGGGGUAUUGUCACAACUCCUUUCCGAGAUACCGUGGUGGUAUUGAGGCACAUGGUGACAUGAUGUGGGGUUGUGUCUUGUGGGUACAGUGGUACACCUCUGGCCAGAGUAAAACUAUUCGAAUAGCCGUGCCCGCGGUUAUGGGCGGGUCUAACAAUGUCUUUCGUGAUUAGUCUCACACCUCUCAUCAUUGUAAAAGAUGCUUAAACUGGUAAUAAUCUGAUUAGCUCCUGGUUUGGAAUGGUAUAUUCCUGGUUUGGAGAUAGAACUGUGCAGCCGGGGUGGUUGUUCAGAAUGGUUGGGCCUAUACAACAGGGUAUGUUGUAUAGCGUUGGAUUAAUAUUGUUUAAUUACUUAACUGUUUUAUCAAAUUCUCAAAUGUUUGCUAAAUGCUGCUUUUGCAAAUACAACCAUAUUAUGCCAUCCUUUGUUAUCCUGUGCACUUGCAUAUUUGCUGCGUGGCUUGCUGAGUAUGUCAUAUACUCACCUUGCAAUCAUUCAUCAGAGGAAGAGUUCUACAAUGAGGCUGAUGGUGUGGAGGAUUAGGUGUAGCCUUGGUCAAGCUGCCUGUGGAGUGGAGCCGUCUGCGCCGUUUAUUUAUUUUCCGCUGCUUAGAACUUUAUUGAUUGAGAGGAACUAUCUACCUCUGUAAUGACAUUCUAUUCGCUUAUUAAUUAGAGUAAUAUUUGUACUCUAUUAUCAAUUUGUUAUUGUGUGCCUCAGCUGAUUCCUGGACGAGGGUUCACACACAUGUAAGCGUUUGGAAUUUUGGAUAGAAAUUCCGGGCGUGACAAGUUGGUAUCAGAGCCUCUUUGACCCUAGGUUAUGCCAAAUGGUUACCCAUAGAAGCCCUCUAAAAAUAUUGGAAAAGUAGAACUGUUCUCCUCCCUUUCUCUUUUAAUUAACCAAACUAAUGGCACAUGCACUUCAUAAUUUUUUUUUUAAUGGUUCUCAUUAAAAAUUUAUUCCAGUGUUAUUAGUACUGUACAUCUAUUACUGUACUAAUGGCUCAUUUACCAGCAAAAGUUUUACAAUACUGUUUUAUUUAAUCUUGCUGCAAUAAAAUAAAUUUAGCAUGUUGAUUUUAUAAUUUUCUUUCAUUUCUUUUGAAACCAGUUAUUCAAAAUUACAAAAUUUGUGACCUCGUUUCCAACUGUUUUAACUUAUCUCGCAAAGCUUGGUUUACUUUAUUUACUUACCUUUUUACUCUGAUUUUCUAACUUUAUUCAAAUUAAUCCAAAAACUUGUGCUAUUAAUUGGAUAAAGGUCUUAACUCCCUCCUUUCACUUGUCUUUAGAUGCCGCGUUACAAGCCUGAGUACCUGUUUGGUGUUGAGGGUUUUGUCCAGGAGUUGCGCACGAUGUCCUUUGUCAUUGGAUUUGGGACUGCCCCUUUUUAUGCCCAGAUUCCUCAUGAUCGUCAUGAAGAGAAGUGCCGAGUCAAAGUCACCUUGAACAGCAAUAGUGAAGAGGUCCCCUCAGUGAUGUUUGAAGCUGGAGGAAGAAACUACAUCCAUGCAUGUCAGGAGGUGGCAAGGAUCGCCAUAGGAGAGCUCCGUGAUCGCUACAGUGAUCAAUUGGCCGACACUGAGUAUCGCUACCAUCCUCGCCAACCCCAGGGAAGUGACCGUGGCAGUUACCUUGAGACUGAAGGAAUUGAGAAUGAUGCUACCACGAAACAUUUGGUUGAGAUGUUGUGGGCUAUGGAUGAAAGUCGUGCGGAGACUGUGUUAGCAGCUCAAGAUCGUGAAGAUCGGAAUCGUGGUAAGAUUUGCAAGCUAGAAGACAAGGUGGAUCGUUUGGAGAAGGAAUUAGCCGCAUUGAAGGGAGAAGCACCGCCGCAGAAGGCCAGGAUUCGUCUUACCGCAAGGAAGAGAGCUCUAUUUGUCCCUCGCUAUCAACUGGCGCCAAAGGUUCGUGUGGUGGAGAAAGAAGUUGCCCCAGCUCAAGCGGAUCCUCCGGUCAUCAUCAUAAGUAGUGAUGAAGAAGAAGAAUCUAAGCGCAACAAUUCCAAGAUUGAGUGGGUAGCAACUCAAGAUGAUGAAGACGAGCCUUCAAUCGACCUCCGAUGCUUGGAAGAACUAGGGUGACUUGUUAAGUCGUUGUCUUAGAUCGUUGUGUUAGUUUGCUUGCUUAAAGUUUGCUUGUGUGUGGCUCGCAUGUGAUUUACAUCAGUGGUGGGAUGUAAGUGCAUGCGUUUGUUUGCUUUUGAGUGUUAGGAAGUUGGUGAGUUUAGUGGUGUGAGAGUCUUCAGUUUGUAAUAAUGAAACUCAGUUAAGAUCAAUAAAAAGUUAAAGUAAUUCUCUGUCCUAAGUAGUUUCCCCGGUUUCUCUUCUUGUGCCCUGUCCAUGCCAGAUGGUGAACACUCGCAGCAAUGGGAAUGGUCCCAACAACCCCAAUAACAAUAACAAUGGAGAGAAUCCCACUCUGGCCCAAGUUCUUGCUCAACAGACACAGCUUAUGAACAUGAUGAUGCAGCAAUUUCAGAAUCAGCAAAACCAAGGGAAUAAUCAUGCACCUCCACAGAACAAGUUAGCAGAAUUUCUUCGUGUGAGGCCGCUAGUUUUCUCUAGUACCACUAAUCCUGUUGAAGCUAGUGAUUGGCUGCAUGCCAUAGAGAAGAAGUUGGAUUUACUUCAGUGUAUUGAUCAGGAGAAGGUCUCAUUUGCAUCACAUCAGUUGCAUGGCCCUGCCUCUGAAUGGUGGGAUCACUUCCGCCUUAACAGGACUACUGCUGAACCUAUCACUUGGCUUGAAUUCACCGCUGCUUUCCGGAAGACGCAUAUACCAUCGGGAGUAGUGUCUCUCAAGAAGAAGGAGUUCAGGUCGCUUUCCCAGGGAUCUCGCUCUGUUACGGAGUAUCUGCACGAGUUCAAUCGUCUUGCUCGUUAUGCUCCGGAAGAUGUGCGCAAUGAUGAAGAGCGCCAGGAGAAGUUUUUGGGAGGACUUAAUGAUGAGCUUUCUUACCCACUCAUGGUUGGAGAUUAUCCUGAUUUCCAGAAAUUAGUGGAUAAGGCUAUUCGUCAGGAGGACAAGUACAAUCGCAUGGAGCAGAAGAAACGUCGGAUUGCUCAAUUCAAGACACAACAGGGAAAUAAUCAGAAGCCGCGUCUUACUUUAGGACCCCAGUCUAUGCCACAGGGAGGUUCUUCGUCUGUUGUUCGUCCGCAACGUCAGUUCUUCAACAACAAUGCUGGCAACAACAUCCGUAAUCAAGCUCCACGUCCUGUUGCAGCUCCAGCACAGCAACAACCUGCCAAGAGGGAGCAAGGCAACAAGCCCGUGGUGUGUUUCAACUGUGGAGAUCCAGGACAUUAUGCUGACAAGUGUCUGAAGCCCCGACGCGUGAAGGUUGUCCCUGCCCAGAAUAACUCUGCUGUACCAGCAUCCAAGGCUCGUGUAAAUCAUGUCGCUGCUGCAGAAGCUCAAGAUGCUCCAGAUGUGAUUUUGGGUACGUUCCUUGUUAACUCAGUUCCUGCAACAGUACUUUUCGAUUCUGGUGCUACACAUUCAUUCCUAUCUAUGAGUUUUGCGGGAAAUCAUGGGAUGGAAGUAGAAGAUCUUAGACGUCCUUUGAUGGUUAGUACCCCAAGCAAUCAAGCACUCUCUUUGCAACGUAGCCCCUCUGUCAAAAUAGAAAUUCAAGGAGUACCAUUUCUGGCCAAUCUUAUCUUGUUAGAAUCCAAAGACCUUGAUGUCAUCCUAGGGAUGGACUGGUUAGCCAGACAUAAAGGUGUGAUAGACUGUGCCAACAGAAAAGUAACUCUCAACAGCUAUGAUGGUCGAGUUGUAACUGUUCAUGCAUUGUCAUCUGAGUCUUUAAGGUCAAGACUGAACCAGAUAACUUUGGAAGAGAUUCCUAUAGUCCGGGAAUAUCCUGAUGUGUUCCCAGAUGAUUUACCUGGUAUGCCGCCUAAAAGGGAUAUAGAGUUCAGAAUAGAUUUGGUACCUGGAACAACUCCGAUCCAUAAGAGACCUUAUCGAAUGGCAGCCAAUGAGUUGGCAGAAGUUAAGAGGCAAGUAGAUGAUUUGCUACAGAAAGGAUACAUUAGACCGAGUUCAUCACCAUGGGGAGCUCCGGUUAUUUUUGUGGAAAAGAAAGACCAUACUCAGAGAAUGUGUGUGGACUAUCGUGCACUAAACGAUGUGACUAUCAAGAAUAAGUAUCCACUACCCAGGAUUGAUGAUUUGUUUGAUCAGCUUAAAGGUGCCACUGUUUUCUCCAAGAUAGAUCUUCGAUCAGGGUAUCAUCAGUUGAGAAUCAAAGAGGAAGAUAUACCUAAGACAGCUUUUACCACUAGGUAUGGGUUGUUCGAAUGUACUGUUAUGUCUUUUGGACUUACCAAUGCCCCUGCUUUCUUCAUGAAUUUGAUGAAUAAGGUGUUUAUGGAAUACCUAGACAAGUUCGUGGUGGUCUUUAUUGAUGAUAUUCUUAUCUACUCUCGAACCAAAGAAGAGCAUGAGGAACAUCUUCGCCUUGCAUUGGAGAAGCUACGAGAACAUCAACUGUAUGCUAAGUUUAGCAAGUGUGAAUUUUGGUUGUCUGAAGUGAAAUUCCUUGGUCACGUCAUCUCAGCCGGAGGAGUUGCCGUCGAUCCUAGUAACGUGGAAUCCGUAACCAAUUGGAAGCAACCAAAGACAGUUUCAGAGAUUCGCAGUUUCCUAGGCCUCGCAGGAUAUUAUCGGAGGUUUAUAGAGAAUUUUUCCAAGAUUGCUAAGCCCAUGACACGACUGCUUCAGAAAGAUGUGAAGUACAAGUGGUCGGAAGAAUGUGAACAGAGUUUUCAAGAAUUGAAAAGUCGCUUAAUAUCAGCUCCAAUUUUGAUUUUGCCUGAUCCAAAGAAGGGUUUUCAAGUGUAUUGUGAUGCAUCCAAACUUGGGUUAGGUUGUGUUCUGAUGCAAGAUGGGAAGGUGGUUGCCUAUGCCUCUCGUCAGUUACGUCCGCAUGAGAAGAACUACCCUACUCAUGAUAUUGAGUUAGCUGCAGUCGUUCAUGCAUUGAAGAUUUGGCGUCAUUAUCUUUUCAGUACUCGUACAGAAGUGUACACCGAUCACAAGAGUUUAAAGUAUAUCUUUACUCAGCCGGAUCUGAACAUGAGACAACGGAGAUGGUUGGAAUUAAUUAAGGAUUAUGACAUGGGAAUUCAUUAUCAUCCGGGAAAGGCUAAUGUUGUAGCAGACGCUCUUAGCAGGAAAGGCUAUUGCAAUGCUACGGAAGGACGACAGUUGCCAUUGGAAUUAUGCAAGGAAUUUGAAAGAUUAAAUUUGGGAAUUGUCGGUAGAGGUUUCGUUGCAGCCUUAGAAGCGAAGCCCACUCUAAUUGAUCAAGUUAGAGAAGCCCAAAUUAAUGAUCCUGAUAUUCAAGAGAUCAAGAAGAAUAUGAGAAGAGGAAAAGCUAUCGGUUUCUUGGAGGAUGAGCAUGGAACUGUAUGGUUGGGUGAGAGAAUCUGUGUCCCCGACAACAAAGAUCUAAAAGAUGCAAUUCUGAAAGAAGCUCAUGAUACUUUAUACUCCAUUCACCCUGGUAGUACUAAGAUGUACCAGGAUCUCAAGGAAAGAUUUUGGUGGGCAAGUAUGAAGCGUGAAAUCGCAGAAUACGUAGCAGUAUGUGAUGUUUGUCAGCGAGUCAAGGCAGAACAUCAGAAACCCGCCGGUUUGUUGCAACCUUUGAAGAUUCCUGAAUGGAAAUGGGAAGAAAUUGGUAUGGAUUUUAUUACUGGUUUACCCAGAACGUCAUCAGGCCAUGACUCUAUUUGGGUAAUAGUUGACAGACUUACCAAAGUGGCUCAUUUCAUUCCGGUAAAGACAACUUAUUCCGGAAGUCGCUUGGCAGAAUUGUAUAUGGCAAGGAUUGUGUGUUUGCAUGGUGUCCCUAAGAAAAUAGUGUCUGAUCGAGGCAGUCAAUUUACUUCAAAUUUUUGGAAGAAACUUCAGGAAGAGAUGGGUUCUAAGCUGAACUUUAGUACUGCUUAUCAUCCACAGACAGACGGACAAACCGAAAGGGUGAAUCAGAUUUUGGAAGACAUGUUGAGAGCUUGUGCUUUAGAUUUCGGUGGAAGUUGGGAUAAGAAUUUACCUUAUGCAGAAUUUUCAUACAACAACAGUUAUCAAGCUAGUCUACAGAUGGCUCCUUACGAAGCACUGUAUGGUCGGAAGUGCCGCACUCCGCUUUUGUGGGAUCAAACGGGAGAACGUCAGGUUUUCGGGACGGAUAUCCUAAGGGAAGCAGAAGAAAAGGUAAAGGUCAUUCAAGAAAGAUUGCGAGUGGCUCAGUCUCGACAUAAGAGUUAUGCCGACAAUCGCCGUAGAGAUUUGAGUUUUGAAGAAGGAGACUAUGUGUAUCUUCGUGUCACGCCUCUUUGAGGAGUUCAUCGUUUUCACACCAAGGGAAAAUUGGCACCGCGUUUUGUGGGACCUUAUAAGAUUGUCAGUAGAAGAGGAGAAGUUGCUUAUCAGUUGGAGUUACCUCAAUCUUUGGCAGGAGUCCAUAAUGUGUUCCAUGUGUCGCAAUUGAAGAAAUGUUUAAGGGUACCUACUGAAGAAGCUAAUCUUGAACAAAUAGAAGUCCAAGAGGAUCUGACUUAUGUGGAGAAACCAAUCCGUAUCCUGGAAACAAAUGAGAGAAGAACCCGGAAUCGAGUUAUUCGUUUCUGCAAAGUCCAGUGGAGUAAUCACUCGGAAGAAGAAUCAACUUGGGAACGAGAAGAUGAAUUGAAGUCAGCUCAUCCGCUUCUGUUCGCCAGUUCUUCCGAAUCUCGAGGACGAGAUUCUGUUUAAGGGGGUAGGUUUGUCACACCCUGAAAAUUCAAAAUAUAUAAAUUGUUGUUUAAAUGGAAUUUCUAGAAUUUAUUUUAAAAAAGUCUUGAAGAGAAGAUCUAGUUUUAAUUAAUAAAUUCCAAUAUAAAAAGGGGCCAGAUAAAAUUUCAUUAAAUACUUUGCUUAAUUCUAUAAUUCCUAGAUUUUUCUGGGAUUUAUUUGAGCUAAGGAAGUAUUUUUAAUAAUGGAAUUGCAUUUAAGAAAUAAUUUAAAUUAAAAAGGUUUUAAAAGUCUCUUUUGGCUUUGGGCCGAAAGUCGGCCCAAAACCUCUCUUCUCUCUCCUCGGCCCAGCCGGCCCAGUCAGCCGCCGCGCGCGCGCCCUCGCUGCCGCUGACAGGUGGGGUCCACUUGUCAGGCCCGUCGUCUUCCUCGGGCUGAAACCCUAGCGCGCCGUCGCCGAGCCGCCGCCGCUGUUUCCUUCCGAUCCGGCCGUUCCUUUCCUUCUCCGGCCGAAUCAAUAGAGGGGAAAUGAUCUCCGGGAUCUCCUCUACCUUUUCUCCUUUGGAAUCUUUGGUUAAAUCGCUUUGGAAAGCGUCGGAGACGAGUUCGAUUCGGAUCGGUUUUCCCUCUCUCCAAGCCAAAGGUUUCCUUCGCCGUUGCCGUCGCCGUGGGCCUUCGCCGCCGCCUCCGAGCCCCUUUAAAAGGACCCCCGGUGUCUCCUCUACCCGUCGCAGCCCUCGCCUUCGCCUCUCGUCGCCGGAAGAGCCUUAGCGCCGUGUGCCCUAGCUUCGCCGUCGCCGCCGCCGCUUCAGCCGUGCUCCGCCGUCGCUCCAGCUGUCGCCGCCGCUCGGGAAGACCGCCGUCGUCAUCGCCAAGUCGCCGCCGUCCUCGUCCGCCCCUUCGCAGCCGUCGGAACCCGCCGGAGCUUCAUCGCCGUCGACAACCCGGAGGUAGCCGCCGCUUCCUUCUCGUCGCCGUCGCCGUCCGUUGCUUCUCCGCCGUCGUUUUGGUCGUCGGUGUGUUCGCCGUGCCGUCCGCUUCCCGUUGGUGUCCUCCGUUCGUGCCGUAGCGCCGCCGUUCGCCGGUGAGCGUGCGCCGCCCGAGCCGUCCGCUCCGCCGAGCCGCCGCCGCCGUCGGUGACGUCAUCGCUGGCGUCAUCAAGGCCGUCCGCCGUGAACCGCCAUGGACCCGAUCGAUCUCGGCCGUCCAUCUUGGAUCGGUUAGAUCUCGGCCGUCCGUUCGCGUGAACCGCCGCCCAUGCGCCGGUCCACCCAAACCCUAGCCCGCUGACGCAAUAAUCCUUCUUUUCCUUUUCAAAAAUAAUUUAUUAUUGCGUCAUAAUUCAAUUUAAACCGAUUUAAGUGUUUAAUCCGAUUUAAUCUUUAAAAAUUCAUAACUAAUUCAUCUUAGCUCCGAUUUAGUUGGUUCAAGUCUCUAAUUUUUUCUAAAAUUGAGAUCUAUACAUUAAAAAUAUCCACAUGUACUGUUCAUGCUUGUUUAUGUGCUGUUUUGGUGAUUUUGCUCUUUUCUGCUUAGAUUCCGUCGUUUCCGGAGAGUCCGUUUUCGCAGAAGAAGAGUUUGAAGAGUUCCAAGGCCAGCAAGGCAAGUCACACAGAUCCCAAACAACCCUUUGAGCAUGUUGAUCCUAUUUAAAGCUAUUGUUUCUAUUCAACUAUUGCAUCUAUUUUCGAAUGUCAUUGGGUGGAAUUGACCUAUUCUUUGUUAUGGCCCUUUUGUACAUUGAUUACCUUAUUCCUUGAUACCUUGGGUUAUUACAAUUUGACUAGUUGAGCUUUAUUUAUAUUGGUUCAACUAGAUAUUAGAUAUAAUUGCUUAGCCCUGCUUAGAAACAUUAGUACACAUUCGGGAUAACUAAUGAUUCACUAUUAUUUCAUGAUGGCUUAUUGAUAGUUCACGAUGGUCAAUCGUGAUUAGUUAAUUAAUUAAUGUGCCAACUAAAACCUGGUAAUGGUGGGUUGUGAGCACAUGGUUUUGAUGGUCGUGCUCAUGACAAUUAAGGACCGGUUCACGAGUUUCGGUUGUGAAACAUUAACCGUGCCAACCACAAGCCAGCAUGGGCAACGGCUUUAUCUUUUGUAUAGCAUGGUUCAUUGCGGGGCACCAGACUGAGAAGUGGCGGAGAUAAGCCCACGGGGGUCGCUGGGGAGUCCAUGCCUUGUUUAUAAGGGGGUGAUUAUGAUCCAGGAAGGUGCGCUGCAAUGGAUUGUGUUAUGCGAGGGGUAUUGUCACAACUCCUUUCCGAGAUACCGUGGUGGUAUUGAGGCACAUGGUGACAUGAUGUGGGGUUGUGUCUUGUGGGUACAGUGGUACACCUCUGGCCAGAGUAAAACUAUUCGAAUAGCCGUGCCCGCGGUUAUGGGCGGGUCUAACAAUGUCUUUCGUGAUUAGUCUCACACCUCUCAUCAUUGUAAAAGAUGCUUAAACUGGUAAUAAUCUGAUUAGCUCCUGGUUUGGAAUGGUAUAUUCCUGGUUUGGAGAUAGAACUGUGCAGCCGGGGUGGUUGUUCAGAAUGGUUGGGCCUAUACAACAGGGUAUGUUGUAUAGCGUUGGAUUAAUAUUGUUUAAUUACUUAACUGUUUUAUCAAAUUCUCAAAUGUUUGCUAAAUGCUGCUUUUGCAAAUACAACCAUAUUAUGCCAUCCUUUGUUAUCCUGUGCACUUGCAUAUUUGCUGCGUGGCUUGCUGAGUAUGUCAUAUACUCACCUUGCAAUCAUUCAUCAGAGGAAGAGUUCUACAAUGAGGCUGAUGGUGUGGAGGAUUAGGUGUAGCCUUGGUCAAGCUGCCUGUGGAGUGGAGCCGUCUGCGCCGUUUAUUUAUUUUCCGCUGCUUAGAACUUUAUUGAUUGAGAGGAACUAUCUACCUCUGUAAUGACAUUCUAUUCGCUUAUUAAUUAGAGUAAUAUUUGUACUCUAUUAUCAAUUUGUUAUUGUGUGCCUCGGCUGAUUCCUGGACGAGGGUUCACACACAUGUAAGCGUUUGGAAUUUUGGAUAGAAAUUCCGGGCGUGACAAAAAUUCACAAAAAAUUUAAAAAAAAUAAAAAAUUUUGGCCGAAAUGAUAUCGUAUCGGAGGGGGGUCCGAAAUGACCGAAAUCGGAAAUUUCAGUCCAAAAUUUUGAACCCUGUUUCUGAUAAGGAGAAAAAAGGUUAUAUAUAGCGCCAUAGCAGUCUAGAAAGCCCAACAGCAAAAACAUGGGCCAAGAUGAACUGAUACACCGCACAGCCCAAGCAAACCACUGGACAGCCCAUAUAGUUCCUCCCCUCACGUGCCUGCCGAGAUAGAGGAGCGGAGGUGUCCACUGUCCAGUGGCGAGGAGGGGAACAGCCACACUGACUUAGGGUGUGUUCUUUUGUUGGUGUUGGGAAGAAAUUCUCUCCGCACGAAAAACGGAGCGACUCAUUAGUAUAUAAUUAAUUAAGUAUUUACUAAUUUUUUUUAAAAAAAAUAGAUUAAUAUGAUUUUUCAAAGUAACUUUCGUAUAGAAACUUUUUAAAAAAACAUACUGUUUAGCAGUUUGAAAAACGUGCGCACGAAAAAAGAGAGAUGUAAGUUGGGAAAGUAGAAUGAAGAACUCACCCUUUAAUGGUGGAGAAGGUGACGAUGACACGAGGUGAUCUGGAUCAAGCUAUGGUAGCAAUGAAUCGAUGGAGAGAGCCCGUCUACGACAGCCAGGCGGCUCGACCCGGUAGUAAAUGAAGUUUGGGGUCUCAGGGGCAGUGGCACCAGAACAACCACAGCUAGAGUCGUAGAUUGACGGGAAGAGGAACCGGUGGUUGUGAUGCAAAAACAGUUGGAGGCAAAAUCACAUGAAUUUCUUACUGACCUGUUUCAUGAUCAUGCUCCAUAACCUGGGCAAACGCUUUGCAUGAACGGGCCACCUAAUGCCCACUUCUAUACAUAUUAUGUCCUUUUUUUCACAUGUCAAAUUAGGUAUUCACAAAUUUUUAAUUAUGUUAAUUUGGCAUAACAGUGAGUAUUUUACUAGCUGAUAUAUAUUCCAAAUAUGCACCGCUAGCUUUAUUAUACAAGCUUAUUAUUUGUCUCCAGGCUUUAACAAAUCCGCUUAUUUUCUGAUAUCAUUACUUAUUUGAUAUCUCAAAACAGGCAUGGCCUACCACAUCUUUGAAAAACUUGGCAGUGUUAAAGUUAGCCAACACCUAGAAAGACCAAAGCUAAGGACUGGCAGUACACGAGGCGUUUGCAUGCGAUUCGAUAUGAUCUGUACCGAACACUGUAGCAAGCCAAGUAUAUAUAAUACUUUGAACUCGAUUCCCAUGGCGUUGCGUGGUGUUUUGCGUCAAUUAAAGAAUAAUUGAUGUUGCUUCUUCCAUGAAUAUAUCACCGAUCCCGAUCCAUGCAUGUGUAUAAAUAUGGCCUGUUGGCUCUAGCUAGCUACUCCAUCCACCAAUAAUUAAGCUGAGCGCAAGUCUCUCGCUUACUAGCUAUUUCCAAAGAAGAAGAGCUAAUUGAGCUCUAGAGAUGGACCAGAGCGCGGUGAGCUCGCUGCUGGGGCAGCUUACCGGCCUCCUCGUUGACGAGGCGAAGCUACUCGGCGGCGUCCGGGGCGACGUGCAAUUCAUCAAGGACGAGAUGGAGAGCAUGCAAGGCUUCCUCCUGGAUGCCGCCGAUGCCGCCAACAACAACAGCAGCAGCCAGCAGGUCCUGGCAUGGCAGCGGCAGGUCCGGGAGGUCGCCUACGACUCCCAGAAAUGCAUCGACCACUACGUGCAGACGGUGGGCGCCAGCCGCCCGUCGGCCGGCCUCCUCGGCUCCGUCCAGUGGCUGCCGCAGCUGGUGAUGACGUUGCCAAGCCGCCAGCGCACCGCCAACAAGAUCAAGAAGCUCAAGGCCCGCGCGCGCGAGGUGGGGGAGCGGCGGCAGAGGUACGGCGUCAAAGCUCCGACUCGGAGCGGCGGCGUCAAGGUCAUCACCGCGCCGAUGCUCUCGCCGCAGCAGGAGGCGGCGGAGCACGCGCGGAGGCGCCGUGCCAUAGCUGACGCCACCGACUGGGUGAACACCGACGCGCAGCACGUGAUGGACUGGAUAGCGGCCGGCGGCAAAGGACACAACGACGAUGAUGGUGGCCGGGAGGAGUACAUACAUUGGAUCAAAGGCUUCCUGCACAUGCCCCACUUCACCACCGAGAGCUUCUUGACGGAGCUCAUGAGCAACAAGGCCGAUGCUACCGCCUUCUUGCUGGAGUACACCAAAGAGUUGUUCGGAGGGCCGCUCCACUAUUUGGAAGGGCAUUUGUUGUGGCCACAUAAAGAUGAUGGGCAUGAUAAGAAGGCCACGACGGCAGCGGCAUCAUCCCCUUCUCAAGACCACCACGAUGCUGACAAAAAGAAGCCAGUAGCAGCUGCUGAUCCGUCAGAGAGGGCCAAAGAAGCAGCUGUUGAUCCGUCUGGGAAGGCGAAGGAGCACAAGCGUUGGAUCACCCAAGGGGAGAAGAAAGCGGCGGACACGUCAACCUCUUCAGAAGUCCAUGAUUCUGCUGAGAAGAGGAUGCCUUUAGCAGAUGUUAAUCCGUCGGAGAUGGCGGAAGCAUCAUCAGCUGAUGAUGGACAUAACAAGGCAACGGAAGGCCAUACCAAAGAGUUGUUCGGAGGGCCGCUCCACUAUUUGAAAGGGCAUUUGUUGUGGCCACAUAAAGAUGAUGGGCAUGAUAAGAAGGCCACGACGGCAGCGGCAUCAUCCCCUUCUCAAGACCACCACGAUGCUGACAAAAAGAAGCCAGUAGCAGCUGCUGAUCCGUCAGAGAGGGCCAAAGAGGAGAAGAAGCACCAGAUCAUCAGUUGGGUACAUGGAGCACUUACGAGCGACGGCAUCAACAUAUUUCACACGAAAGAUACCCACGGCCCAAGGCUCCUCGCCAUUGUUACAUCACCGGUUCGUCGCGAGGCCCACGACCUCGAAGACGAAGAACCACAUGGGCUCAGGCCUGCAACAGAGAUCGCACGUAGGGUGUUCAAUAAUUAUUAUUCCCGCCAAGGCGGCCGCUUCGACUUUGCCGUGUGGGUCAACGCCGAGGAACACUCACAUAGCACCGCCAGGCUUCGGAGCAUACUCCAGCAGGUGGAGAAGCAGGCGCAGGUGCAGCCUCAGGAGCAGCGGCAGCAUCCAUCAUCUUCUUCUCGCGAUAAAAAAGACGGUGGUGACGAGACGACAAGAUUGCAACAGGAGAUCCUAAAGCACCUGACAGGGAAGAAGUUCUUGAUUUUUCUUGCUGACCACCAGGACGAAACACCAUGGACACAGAUACUACCUGCUCUGCCGACUGAUAGCACCAAUGAAAGUGCAGUCAUAUUGAGUCCUCUGGUGCAGCAAGCAUACCAGUACGUUGGGUGGUACGUGCUCAGCCUUUUCUUCUUGCUAAAGCACUCCCGCUAUAGAGUCUACUUCUACUCUCAUCUUGUUGCAACACGGAACAAGGCCAAAGAGUUGCUGCGGGUUGGCGCCGAUCAACACAAAGGAGAAGAUUUGCAUGACCUCGUCAAUCAUAUAUUGGAACGUUGUCGCUGGGAUUCAUUUUCCAGCAAGAUGUUUCUUCAUGCUCUUUAUGCUAAUCAUCAAAGGAGCAAGCCAGAGCUGGAGAACUUGUUGCUUUCUCUGAAUGAAUUCAGCACGGUGAGCAAUGCCAGAAACAUGAUCAAAUUUUGCUACGAUGACCUGCACAGUUACAAGGUUUGCUUCCAGUACCUGUCCAUUUUCCCCUUGGGAUUCAAGAUCAGGAGGACAAGCUUGGUCAGGCGAUGGGCUGCAGAAGGCCUUAUCGUGGGAAGAGACGGGCUAGCUGCAACGGAUGAAGCUGAGCGCUGCUUCGAUGCCAUGAUUGAUCGAGGCCUUCUCCUUCCUGCCGACAACACCGACAACCCUUCAGGCAAAGUGAAGAUGUGCACGGUCGAUCCACAUGUUUUCUCCUUCAUUGCCAGGUUGCACAAAGACGAUGGCCGUGCUCCAGCUGCUGAUAGCAUCGACCUGCCGCCCGCCCUGGCUCAUCGCAUCUCCAUUGCCAGAAGAAUUCAACUCUCCAACAAGACACGACAACGAGUCAGCGAGGGUUUGAAGAAGCAGAUGGACGGCGGUGGCGAGCCACAAGACUCUGUCGCACAAGGCAUGGUCUGUGGAAUUCAACUUUCCAACAAGACACGACGACGACAAGCCAGUGAGGGGUUGAAGAAGAAGAUGGACAGCAAUGGGGAGCCACUAGUCCCAGAGCCAAGAUCGCAAGACUCUGCAGUGGAAGACGUGGUAAAGCUUCUUGACUUGUUUCCUACAACUGAAUCAGGAUGGAUCAAAGUGCUAGACCUUGAAGGCUGCCGUGGACUGAAGAAGAAGCACCUCAAGAACAUCUGCAACAGGGUAUUCCAGCUCAAGUAUCUGAGCUUAAGGAACACAGACAUUGCUGAGCUGCCCAAGGAAAUUAACAAGCUCCAAGACCUGGAGACAUUUGACAUGAGGGGAACCAACAUAGAAUCCUUCCCUGCAAAAUCCAUUGUUCUCCCAAAGCUGGCGCGACUGCUUUCUGGUGUUGCUCACACCGACGCUCCAACUCCAAGUAAGGAUGAUAAUCUUACAAGUAGAGGAUCUUCUCAUGAAUCAUUUACUGCAAUCCAUAUUCCCCGUGGAAUCAAGAACAUGACAAGCAUGCAGAUACUAUCCCAUGUCCAAGUUUCUGACCAUCACGACGAGGCUGCAGCACUGGAAGAUUUAGCCCGGCUGCAGCUGCUAUGGAAGCUUGGUGUUGUUAUCCAUGCCAAGCAAGCUUACCUUGUGCUCAAAGUGGUUGGGAUGCUAAAUGAAUGCCUGAGGUCUUUGUCAAUCCGUCUCCAAGAUGGUGGAGAGGAUCCUGAUCUGAACAACACACCACCAAUAUUCUCACCUCCAAGAUCUCUUGCAAGCCUUAGCAUCAGUGGCAGGAUAGGUGGCCUGCCUACUUGGAUCCAAAAUCUGGAACAACUCUCUGACAUAACUCUGUGCGACACCUCCUUGAAAGACUCUGAUAUAAAGAUCUUGUGUGCUAGUAUCAACCUGCGCUUCAUCAGGCUCUUGCGUGAGUCGUACAACCAGAACAAGCUCAGUUUUGAAAAGGGAUUCAGAAACCUUGAGAUUCUCAUCAUUGAGGGAUCAGGCACCAUCUCUGAUGUCCAUUUUGAUCCGAGAGUGGCACCUAAGCUUGAGAAGAUUGUCUGGAGCUCCACCUGCAAGAUGGAAAAUCUUGGGAUCGACAACCUUCAAGGACUGAAAGAGAUUGUGCUCAAAGGCGACUGUGACCUGAAUCGCAUCAGGCUAUCCGUCAAAGCGAAUCCAUGCCAUCCUAACCUUACACACACUCCAACUCUCAACUCUCCAACAAUCCAACCCGGUGAGGACACUGCAGCUGCAACCAGCACUUCGGCAACAAACAAGUAGAUGUUUUUGCGUGCGCUUCUCUUAAUUCCUGGCUUUCGCAUUUGUGUGGUUAUUUGUUCUUUGUUCAGAGUGUGAUUACUUGGUGUUUUUUUGUUAUUCUGCUGUGUGUGAUAUGAUUUGAUUGGCUACUGCAAAUGUAAUUCAGGUGAUGUGAUUAAUGAUACCUGUUAAAUAAGUUGUGUGAUACUAGGCUGAGUAUACAUGUUCUAUGGUUUUAUAGGUAGCUAAUCUUUAAAACAUUUUUUUCUUCAGACUAAAGAUGAGGUGUUACAGCCUGAACCUACUUUGUUUCAUAUAUAUAUACUGUUAGAGUACAGGAUAGUUAGAGUCCCAAGCUUCUUGAGAGCCUAAGUAUCCAUGGUUACACACAUAAGGGUCAGCUUCUUGCAUUGUUGGCCGAAGGUCUUAAUAAACUUGCCAAGGUUACUUUGAGUAGCACCUCAUUGAACCAAGACAAUUUGAAGGUUCUCGGUGAGUUGUCUAGCUUAUGCUAUUUCAGGCUCAGACACAAUGGAUACACAGGUGAAAAACUCACCUUCAAGAAGGAUGAAUUCAAAAAUCUCAAGUCUUUUCUUGUUGAGGACCCCAGCAUGAUCAGCAUCGAAUUUCAGAAGGGAGCAGCUGCAGAGCUCGAGAAGAUUGUAUUCUCCUCCACCAACAUAAAGUCUCUUCAUAGGCUUGGAGGCCUUCCAAAAUUGAAAGAGCCUGAGUUGAAGAGCAACAGGUUCCUUGUUUCAUUCUCUGAAGAGGGAGAAACUCAUAAGAAAUGUUCUCUAGCAAGCUCACCUUCAAGAAGAAUGAAUUCCAACAGCUCAAGUACCUCCUUGUUGAGGGACUGUUGACACCAGAUUUUGGUAAUCUACUUGGAGAAGAAGGAGAAAACCGAUGCGGAGUUGAUGACAAAAUUCGAGUCGGAUUGAUGCUGUUGACUGCGUAUCGGCUGGCGUCGUAUCAGCCAGGCUGCGUAUCGGCUAGAGACGGUAUCGACCGAUAUGGUUUUGAUAGCGAUCGGCCGAUACAGGCAGAGGGCCGAUGAAGGUAAAGUUGGGCUUGAUUUGGGCCUAGAUCAGGAUUCAUUGGAGAUUGCCGAUGAGUUCUCGGAGCUAAUUCCGCCACAUUAUAUAAUGCAGUAGAAUUGGGGGCAUGUGUUGACACCAGAUUUUGGUAAUCUACUCGAAGAAGAAGAAGAAACUGACGCGGAGUUGAUGACAAGAUUUGAGUCGGAUUGAUGCUGUUGACUGUGUAUCGGCUGGCGUCGUGUCGGCCAGGCUGCGUGUAACACCCCAGCCCAAGGCAUAAUAGGAUUGAUAGGAUACUCAUGCUAACAAGUUGCAACUUCUUUUUCGGAAGCUCAUCUCCAAAGAACACUAAAGUUAAGCGUGCUUGACCUAGAGAAAUCUAGGGAUGGGUGACCGACUGGGAAGUCUUUCCCGGGUGCGCACGAGUGAGGACAAAGUGCGCAGAAAAGACUGGUGUUGGUUUGUGAGGGCAGUCUAUGUCCUAUUUAAGCCGCUAGAUGUAAGCGGGCCCGGCCUCGUGGAGGCGGGACGUUACACUGCGUAUCGGUUGGAGACUGUAUCGGCCGAUACGGGCAAAGGGCUGAUAAAGGUAAAGUUGGGCUCGGUUUGGGCCUAGAUCAGGAUUCAUUAGAGAUUGCCGUAUAGGGAUUGUAACGCCCGUUUUGUCGUGGCGUUAACGGGAAAACCUAUUUCUUAAAAACUCUACUUGUAAAAGUUUUGCUCUUCAGUCGUGUCUUGUCGUGUGCCUUGGUCUCGUAUUUCCCUUCCCGUCUCAAUCCCGGAGAAAACCGCGAAAUCGGAAUUCAAAUCCGAACACUAAUCCUUCCAAUCCAAUUCUCAGAGGAAGUCUGCUUUACCUCCUUCCUUCUCGGGCCGUUUCCCUCUCGGCCAGCUUUCCUUCCCCUUUUUUUUAUCCCGGGCCGCUCCCGGCCCAGUCCCCUCUCCCCUCUCCUUCGGCCUGCUCUCCCUUCUUCUCCUCCCUCUCGGGCCGCCGCACGGCCCAGCCGCUCGUGCGGCCUCCUUCCUCCCGCUAGGCCGCGCCGCUCGGCCCGGUCCGCGUGGCCCGAGCGUGAGGCGCGUCGCGCACGUGCGCCGCACGCCCGCGCGAGAGAGCGGACGCUCUCUCUCUCCUCCCCGCGCCGUUUCUCCCUCUUUCUCUCUCCCUCUCCGUUUCGUCGCCGGCGACCGCCUCCACCCGGCCCCGCCGUCCUGCGCGCGUGCCGCCAAGGGAGCACGUGCCCUCUCUUUUCUCCCCCGCGCGCCCCUGCCCGAAGCGGCAAGGAGGCCACCCUCCUUUCCUCCCCCUUUUUCGCCCCUUUCCCCGACCGGCCGACGUCACCGUGCUGCCGCCGUCUUGGCCGCUAGCGCGCCGGUCCCCUCUCCGCACGAACCGCCUCUUGGCCGCACCGACCUCCGCCCCCAAACCGACUUGCUCUCGCCGUCCCCUUUAAAUCCCUCCGCCCGGCUGCCAUUGCCGCCUUCCCCACCGAGCUCCUCUCCCCUCCAACCCGCCGCGCCGCGCCGCCCUUGCUGUCCGCCGCUGCAGCCAAGGAUGCGGGAAGAGGUGUUGAUGCAAGAAACACACACUGGCCUGGGAGAUCUGCUUAGCUCCAGUGCAGGUCCAAAUCUUGGUGAGAUGCGGGUGUGCCAGUCAGUUUGGUCCUGCAACUGACAAGAUAUACAAACGACAGAUCAAAGAACCGAUCGGCCAACAUAGCCGAUGUAGUAAUUCCAGCCGAUCCUGAUAACAGCCGAUAGCGAUAGGGUUUUGAGCCAUCGGCUAUGUGUUCAAUGUAGAUUCUGACACUUGACAAAGAGACAAUCGGCUGAUGAUAAUAUGCAUUAGAUCGGCAAUGACUUGAUAAAGUGAAACGAAAGUUAGACAUACUUGAUCGGCUGUAGAUAUCAAUGAUACAUAAUCUAAAUCUCAAAAUAUAUUUAAACCAAGUGAUUGGGAUAGAUCGAACAGGGCACCGAGACAGUAUAAAUCACUUAUGUCUAAAAACAUCUCAAGAGAGAGAUUAUAUAUAUUCAUAGCAUAGCCGAUGAAGUGAAUCUAACAUAGAUCCAAUGCCAUAAAAUCCACAAGAUUAGAUUAAACAGUGAAACCUUUAUUGUCAUCGGCUAAAUUCAACUUAUAUGCAAUCCUUAUAAGCCGAUGCAACGUCCAGAUAACUCAUCGGCUGAAACCCCGAUGAAACCCUUAUCGGCAAUCAAAAAGCAGGCUAGAGAUUCAUGAUUCUAAGCACGACUUAGUAGGUCAAACUCAACUGAUGCAGCACUAAGUAUGUAAAGAAACACGGUAUCUAGAUGAUCAAGCCCUUGACUGAUUUUCAGGGUGGUAGAUGCCUAAGCUAAUCUAAUCUAGCAAGACGAUUUAGUCGAUACCGGCAGAAACCCUAAAACGAGAAGCAGCCGACAAAGCUAAAUCGAGAUGCUAAAACUAGAUUAACAGAAGACAUAUGAUAAAUAGCCAGGCAAAUAUAUUAUCCAAACCAGAGCAAUCCAAGAGGUCGAAUGUACUGAUGCAGCCUUGAACGACGCCGAUGUAGAUGAUACGAUUGCCUGAACCGACGGAACAUUGGACUUACCCCUUCGCCGGAGAUCGACAGCCGAUGCAGCCCCGCGUCAGGUGCCAAAUUCCACCGGUUGAUAAAUAAACCGUAACAGAGUAAAAGGUGGCGAUGCGCCGAAUUGUAUUGAUCGAGAGUUGAUCGAUUACAAUAACCCCGGGUGUACAUAUUUAUACCCAUGGGGAGAUACUAGUCCUUGUAGGACAAGAAAGAAACUUUCCUAAAGAUAAAAGAAAAAACAUAAAGUCCUUAAGGGACACUAAACAUACUCUCCUAAAGAUAAAAGGAAACUAACAAAUAUUCUAAUUAAUAGAUACAAUUGCCUUCUUCGGACUCAAUCCGCACGUGGCAAUCCUCAUGAAGCACACCAACCGAACCCGACAAUGAUCCUGCCAUCCCCUUAUCGGAAUCGGCUACAUCGGCUAUCCUUGUCCGAUUCUGUUUCAGCCGACGCACACUGUAGCCGAUUUGGCUUGCAGCCGAUUCAUACUCUGUUUUCUGUAAUCGCUUAUCUCCUCCAAUCGGCUUCGGCUUUAACUCUGAAUCCAAUGCAUGAUUUACCAAAUUUCGUCGUUAACAAGAAGACCCCGGCCCCGUCUCCUUCCCCUCUCUUCCUCGGCCGGUGCCGUGCCGCACCGCCUCGCGCCGUCGGCCUCUUCCCCGGCGAGCUCCCCUCCUCCGCGGUAACCUCCUUCCCCCUCCCCCGUCUCUCCCUUUCUCCUCGGCUUAGGCACCCGGUAUAUCCGUAGAACCCGCCUCCCCGCGCCGCCGUGGCCGUCGCCCUCUCCUCCGGCCCCUCCCCGCGCCACCGUUGCCGCCGCCGCCCCGCACCGUCGUCAGCCGCCGUCGCGCCCCGUGGUUCGAUCCGAGCCAUUGGCUCGCUUCCCCUUCUCCUCCUCUAGCCACCGGUGCUCGCUUUUCCCUCUGUCUCGCCGCCAUUCGCCGGAGCAAGCCCCUCACCGUAGCGCCGCCGAGAGCCGUCCACUCCCGGGCGGGCUCAUCCCUCUUCCCCCUUUUCUUCUACCCGCCGGCCUCCGUGGCAGCCACGUAGGCGCCACACGAGCGCCGACGGCCUCGCCUCCUCCGUGCGCCCGGUUCACGCGCACCGGGUCGCUGCCGGGCGGGUCCCACCCUAGCACCCGCUCGGUGGACCACGGUCCACCGAUCCAGCCGUCCACGUGGGCCGCGGCUUGCAUCGGCCCACUCGGCCGCCUUCCUCUGGUCCAUCGGCCUCCUCCCCCGAUCGGCCUCGGCCUUCGGCCGCUCGGCCCACUCGGCCUCCGUUCCUCCUUGGUCCGGCCUAGUCGGCCCCGAGUCACUCGGGAGGCCGGACCAGGCCGCGCCACUCGGCCAUGGGCCGUUUCACUCGGGCGUCGGCCCAUCCGUUCGGCCAUGCCCGCGCCAAAUCCUUUGGGCCGCACCUAGCCACCCAAAAUAAAAGUCCAAUUCACGUCCCUCCUUUCUUUUUCCUUUUAUUUUUCAAGGGAAUUAAUAAUUCCUUUUCCUUUAGACAGAAAAUCAUUUAAUCUUAGGAAAUUCAUAUCUUCUCAACCGUUCGUCCGAUUGACUCCGUUCAAUUUUCAAAAUUCCUCAAAAAUCGAGAUCUAUCCAAUGGCAUGCUUAGUGGUCUUUAAUAGGGCUUCUUUUUAUCGUUGUUUUAAGUCGCCUCGUUUCACGUGUAGUUUCGGAGCCAGAAGACCCGCAGUGUGCGGAUUUCGAAGAAGAAGCUCAAGAUCUCGAGCAAGGCAAGUCACCUUUGAUCAAUUGAACCUAGAAUUUUGGAUUUAAGUAUUUUGUUUCCGCAAACUAUGCAUUCCUAGGAUUACACUGGACACUUGGCCUCGGUUUGCAAUAUAGCCGGCAGGCCCCACCCAAUUGCUGCAUUCACCUUCCUUGAUUAUUGAACACCCUAAUACCCCCUUGUCACCCUCCGGUGAGGUCUCGGUAUUCGAACCCCGCGUACGAAUACCGAGGCUCCCCUCAAAUUUAAAAAGUGAGCAACUGGGUAAAACUGGAGUUUACAAAAUGCUUGGAAAAAAACCCGACACUUGGGUCGGUGCCUUGAAAAUUUAAGUGAGUUUCCAAAAGUCGCGGUGCGGGAGGCAUACUGGAGGUGCGGUCUUCCCGUUCUUGCUCUAAGGACCGAUUCCUUGGGAAUUAUAUCCGAGCAUAUGUCAAGUACGACCACAUGGGUGAUAUAGGACACCCCUGGCUGAGUAACUAGCAAGGCCAGGGAAAUCUUGAUGCCAAGGGACAAGUGGAUUCGCCGGGGUGGUGUCGGGGAGGACCCCUGGGCUUCCUGGCACAGUAUGGUCUGGGACCUAACCUGGUGUUGGUCCGUGGGACCCCUCCCGUUGGCAUAAGAUGACCCUGAGUCGGCUUUCGAAAUGCCUUGUCAUGAAAGCCUCAAAGUCACCAGACGUGGCUGUUCUGCAUGGGCUGGGUGACCCGGGUUAGUAACGUCUUGUGGGUAAAGUGUACCCCCUCUGCAGAGGUUAUUAACUGUUCGAACAGCUGUGGCCACGGUCAUGGGCGGAUGUGAGGUGAUUCCUUAGCGUAGUCUUACUAAGUACUUGGUGAACUACUGUUGGUGUGAGAUCUCUGAUCAAUGCUUGGCGUGUGGCUAUGGGUACAGCCGGUGCUGGUGAGCGAUUGGCAGGGAGCCUCUCGUGUGUGGCUGUUGGUACAGCCGGUCUCGGCGAACGAUUGGCAGGGAGCCUCUCGUGCCGACAAGAAUCAAUCUAUGCAAAUUCACUGCUCCGACCGGAUGAGACGCACUUUCUCGUCCGUGUCGUUGAGAAGCAUGCACUUAGUUGUUCCUGAAGGUCUUAAACUAAAAUCGAACGCGAAAAAUAAUUGGCUCUCCUUUGAAGCUUGCAUCGAACACUUAAUUCCCUUGACUUGCUGAGUACUUCCGUACUCACCCUUGCUCUAUAUAAAUAACUCCCCCAGUUCUCGAAGACGAGGAGGUGGACCCUUGUUAACGACGAAAUUUGGUAAAUCAUGCAUUGGAUUCAGAGUUAAAGCCGAAGCCGAUUGGAGGAGAUAAGCGAUUACAGAAACAGAGUAUUAAUCGGCUGCAAGCCAAAUCGGCUACGGUGUGCAUCGGCUGAAACAGAAUCGGACAAGGAUAGCCGAUGUAGCCGAUUCCGAUGAGGAGAUGGUAGGAUCAUUGUCGGGUUCGGUUGGUGUGCUUCAUGAGGAUUGCCACGUGCGGAUUGAGUCCGAAGAAGGCAAUUGUAUCUAUUAAUUAGAAUAUUUGUUAGUUUCCUUUUAUCUUUAGGAAAGUGUGUUUAGUGUCCCUUAAGGACUUUAUGUUUUUCUUUUAUCUUUAGGAAAGUUUCUUUCUUGUCCUACAAGGACUAGUAUCUCCCCAUGGGUAUAAAUAUGUACACCCGGGGUUAUUGUAAUCAAUCAACUCUCGAUCAAUUCAAUUCGGCGCAUCGCCACCUUUUACUCUGUUACGGUUUAUUUACCAACCGGCGGAAUUUGGCACCUGAUGUGGGGCUGCAUCAGCUGUCGAUCUCCGGUGAAGGGGUAAGUCCAAUGUUCCGUCGGUUCAGGCAAUUGUAUCAUCUACGUCGGCGUCGUUCAAGGCUGCAUCAGUACAUUCGACCUCUUGGAUUGCUCUGGUUUUGAUAAUAUAUUUGCCUGGCUAUUUAUCAUAUGUCUUCUGUUAAUCUAGUAUUAGCAUCUCGAUUUAGUUUUAUCGGCUGCUUCUCGUUUUAGGGUUUCUGCCGGUAUCGGCUAAAUCGUCUUGCUAGAUUAGAUUAGCUUAGGCAUCUACCACCCUGAAAAUCAAUCAAGGGCUUGAUCAUCUAGAUACUGUGUUUCUUUACAUACUUAGUGCUGCAUCAGUUGAGUUUGACCUACUAAGUCGUGCUUAGAAUCAUGAGUCUCUAGCCUGCUUUUUGAUUGCCGAUAAGGGUUUCAUCGGGGUUUCAGCCGGUGAGUUAUCUGGACGUUGCAUCGGCUUAUAAGGAUUGCAUAUAAGUUGAAUUUAGCCGAUAACAACAAAGGUUUCACUGUUUAAUCUAAUCUUGUGGAUUUUAUGGCAUUGGAUCUAUGUUAGAUUCACUUAAUCGGCUAUGCUAUGAAUAUAUAUAAUCUUUCUCUUGAGAUGUUUUUAGACAUAAGUGAUUUAUACUGUCUCGGCGCCCUGUCCGAUCUAUCCCAAUCACUUGGUUUAAAUAUAUUUUGAGAUUUAGAUUAUGUAUCAUUGAUAUCUACAGCCGAUCGAGUAUGUCUAACUUUCGUUUCACUUUAUCAAGUCAUUGCCGAUCUAAUGCAUAUUAUCAUCAGCCGAUUGUCUCUUUGUCAUUAUUUACAUCAAGUGUCAGUAUCUACAUUGAACAUAUAGCCGAUAGCUCAAAACCCUAUCGCUAUCGGCUGUUAUUAGGAUCGGCUGGAAUUACUACAUCGGCUAUGUUGGCCGAUCGGUUCUUUGAUCUGCUAUUUGUAUAUCUUGUCAGUUGCAGGAUCAAACUGACUGGCACGCCCGCAUCUCACCAAGAUUUGGACCUGCACUGGAGCUAAGCAGAUCUCCCAGGCCAGUGUGUGUUUUUUGCAUCAACAACCCUGCUGAAGAAGAGUUCUUCCAGAAGCAAGCAGACUUCGAGCUGUAGUGGGGUUUCGGCCUUUCCCCAAGGCUUUGCUUGUGGCUUAGGGCUAGUCAGCGCUUUCCGCUUCUGCCUUUUUGUAAUGCUGUUGUGAACUCGGGGUCUGUCCGCAGUUCCAACCUUGGUUGUAAUUCUACUCUUAAUAAAGAGACCGCUGUUGUUGUGAUAUUCUAUCUUCCUGUGGUACCAGCACUGUUUCCUGGGACUGGUACAGGCAUACAGGUUAAUUUGGAUCGCCUUACUCUGGCCGUCGGUUGGGCUAGUUUGGGGUGUGACAGGGAUAGAGCCCGAUUUGAGGCAAUUGUAUCUAUUAAUUAGGAAGUUAAAGUCGGUUUAGAUUUAAUCUAUGGUAAGGGUCCGCCAUGUGGACUUGUUUGUUUAGUUAUAGUUAGAAUCGUGUCCUAUAUGGACAAGGUUGUAAUCUUCAGGUAUAUAUAUCCCGAUAGCUUGUAACAAAUAACUCUCGAAUCAAUCAAACACAAACACAAUACUUUUCAAUUUACUUUCGGUGCAUCGCCACCCUCACAAGAGGUCAUCUCCGGCAAGUUCUUACUUCUUCGAGUAGAGGUAGGAGCUUGUCCCCGACGAUUCACAUCAUCAGGGCUAACGUGUCGCUUUAGACACGUUAGCCCUGUCGAUGUGAUCGUCGUUUAUCAUGUCUUGACUAAUCUAUAAGCAGCAGAUUGAUUUAACGUUGCGGCAAAGAACUCGUUUUAGGGUUCCAAGUUGACAAUUGUUAAACCAUUGAGCUUCGGUAGAUUAGUUAAGGCAUCUACCAUCCCCAAAAGUGAUUGACGACUUGAUUCUCUUUGCUUUGGUUUUCUUCUCACACUUUGCGUUGCGAUAGACCCUAGUCGUGUUUUGAAUCCUAAAGCAAAGCCUGUUCUCAACCAUAAUUAAGGAUAGUGUCGGGUUUCAGUCGGUCUUGUCUAAUAUAUGUAAUUGCUACAUGUUUUUACAUAUAUUCGCCACUUGUAUGGAUAGAUUGGUUUAUUCAAAUACACCAAAUAUGGAUCAAUCUCAGAUUGGUUUAUGGUUGACGUAUUUGCAUCUAUCAAUCUGUUCAUACAAGUCUAUGUUAGGGUAUUAGCUUACACAUUGUUUAUUUCAUCUUGCACCUUAUCGGCCGAUGUUAUUGAAACAAUCAAUCAUAUAUAAAGAUCCACAGAUUAAUGACCGAUGAGGCAUGAUAUAAGGUUUAAAUUACUUUACUCUUAUUAUAGACAGACAAGCCGAUAUAGCUUUGCCCUAUCGGCUGGGCUCAAACAAUACACCAUCGGCCGAUAGGCCGAUAGGCUAUCGUUUUACUAACAUGGUCUGUAUGUUUUUCUUGUUGAUUAUAGAUCAAAUCAACUGGCACGCCCUAACCCCUUAGGCAAGCCAUUGGAUCUGCACUAGCUAAACAGAUCUCCUAGGCUGUCGUGGUGAUCAUGGAACCCGCUUUGGACGUGAGGGCGGGAGUGAUUUCGCAUCAACAGGGACCCAACAUGGAGAUAGACAUAACCUUUGAAGUUAGAGCAGCUCUAGAGCUUGAGAAGAUCACCUUGUCCUUCGACAACAUAAUGUCUAUUUCGGGGGCCAACCACCUUCUAAAGUUUAAGCAUCUUGAGUUGAAUGGCAACAAGUCGCUGCUUCUUUCAUCGCUUGAGAAUGCUAAAAACAUUUCCAAGGUGACUCUGCAUUCUACCUGGCUGGAUCGUGCUAACCUACAAAUUCUCGCCAAGAAACCAAGAAUCCACUGCCUAGUACUCUCACACAACUCUUACGACGAAAGCCAGCUUAUCUUCAACAAAAAUGAGUUUCUCGAGCUCAACAUUCUUAUCGUCGAGUGCUGUACUGUCACCGAUAUCCGCUUCACCGACGGAGCAGCUCCUAAACUCGAGAAGAUCGUCUGGUCUUUCACCAAGAUGAAUUCUCUCUCAGGCAUCAAAAACCUACCGAUGCUAAAGGAGCUCGAGUUCAAUGGUGACCACGUCCCUGAUCAGGUGAGGGAUGAAAUAAAAGCACAUAGAAAGCAACCUAUUCUUACUCUCAAGCAGCCGCAGCAUCAAGACCAAGAAAAUGGAACGGCACAAGAAGAUGAUGAUGACGAUGCAAGGUUUCCAGCAUGCUCCUGGUUGUUGAAGAAAAAGUACUGGCCUGCCGCAAGACAAAACAAAGAUUUCCUUGCACGCAUCCUACAUCCUUCCAUCUAUUCAUAAUCACCUACUCCCAGGAUGAAUUUCAUGCUAUCUUGUGUGUGCUAGCUCGCUCCAUCGCACGACAUGAACCGACCGGUGCGUACAUAUGUGUGGUCUGUCCCUGUGAUUCUGUAAAUUGUACGUAAAUAGGUGUGUAUUCAUGCUUGCUGCCUGUGUGUGCGUGUCUGUGUAUACAUUAAAUAAUUCCUAGUGCUAUCAGCUGCUUGCUGUGUACAUGAGCUGUGCCAUCUGAUCAAUGCACACAAGCUAGCUAGCUAGAUAACGUGAGCAUUGCUGACUGAUGCAGCUAGCUGUGCUCGUGUGUCGAGUUGGAUUUGUGUGGGUUUCAACUGAAACCAUGUGCAAGCAUGUCUGCACAUCUUAUAUUAAUGUAACAUAGUAAAAAUGUCGAAUUUUUACUAUGUUAAAAUAAUAAAAAUAAGUUUUUGAGUUGAUGACCAAAAAUUCUCCCAUUUCAUAUAACCUAAGUGAGGUUUGAUCUAGCUAGUGACCAUCCUAAGUGCACCCAUGUUCAUGUAUCUUGUGAAUUGAGCAUGGUGAACUAAAAGUAAAGCCUUACUCCUUCAUCUCUGGUCAAUUACAAUUCAACAUAUAAUUUAUAAUCAUUUAAAAUGUAUUCUUUUAAUAGGAACAUCUAUUGGUUGAUAAGCUCACUGAAUAUUUAAAAAUAAAUGGUGCAAUAUAAAAUCAUGAGGAAAUUCAUGUAGGUCCUAAUCAAUAUAUAUAUCUCACUAGAAUUUUGGUAUAAUUUAAUAAGUAUAUUUGAUGCAUCAAUUAAUUGGGUCAAAACAGUCAACUAUUGAUUUACUCAAAACCCUAAUCGGCAAAAACAAUACAACUUCCAGAUGUGUAUUUUCUCACAUAAAAAUAUAUAGGGGAAAUAAUUUAUUCAAAUACUACUCUGUUUAUCAUGAAUUAAUAUAAUUGUUCCAGAAUUUAUUUCAUAGGUUUUGACCUUCUAAAAAUUCAAAUCAAUCUCGUCUGAACUAGAUUUCUCUUUUUCCCUGAGAUUAAAAUAUAAAUUAUUUUUGAGUGAAACCAAAGAAAAUGGAAUAUAGGUAUUUUUAUCUACCUCCAUAAAAAUCUACAUUAGUUUAUCAUGCACAGAAAAUAAGUUAUGGAAUUGUAAAGAAGAGAGGAAGAAAAUAAUAGAGAAAAUAUUAAAAACUAUCCUAACACUGUGUUCACCCAGUUUCCUACCCAUCCCUCUCACUCUAUCUCUGUUGCAUCGCCCUGGGACCCACAUGGCAGCCUCAUCAGCUUGCCCUAACCUUGGUCCACCUCGGUGCAGACACACUCCACCACCUAAGCUAUCAGAGAGAGAGAGACAGAGAGAACGGGACGACGUCGCCGGCGUGCUCGACGCGUGUCCGACGUCGUGGCAGCCGCCGAGCUCGCCCAUAUCCACUCCAAUGCGCCGCAUUGUCUCCAUUUCCUCUCCUGCGUCGAUCCAGCCGACGGAGAGAGCCCCCUUUUGCUUCCACUCGCUAUUCUUUCUCUGCCGGCCGUGGAGACGACGACCGCCGCCGCCGCCAUCGAGCCACGGUCGUCACUCUUCCUCUUGCGUUCUGUGGCCUCCCCAUGACGCCGAGCUUUCCCUUCUAACCCCACCGCAUAACGUACAACCGUGACGCCGGAACACCGCCGCGCCCACAGAAGCACCAGAGCGCCGCCGCUCGGACAUCAUCGCUGUCCGGUCAACUCCGACCAAAUCAGACCGAACCACCGCGCCACUGACUUCGUCUCAAUCCCAGGAAGCUGCCGCCCGAAGGAAUCGGACUACGACGCUGUGAACUCGGAGAUCGGCCGUUUCUCCCCCAACUCCGGCCACCGGGCUCCAUCCUCCAAUUCUCCCUCUCCGGUGAGCCCUUGUUCGAUUCCUUGUGCGUGAACCAUCCCAAGAACCCAAGUGACCUCACGGAUAUCUUCUUCUAGCUUCUCAUCGACCCGAGUGGGCUGUCGCCGUGAAGCCACCAUUUUCUGCCGCCGCCGGGGAGUCUUCUCCAUCGCCAUCGCUGUCCGGGAUCCGCCAACCGUCGCGCACCCCUUGGUGAGUCUCCAGGAACUCAGUAGAUGCUUAUGCAUGCAUUCAACCACACGGAUUCGAGCCGUAACUCGAAAUACACUUGCAACCCGAGAACCUCCGCCGCCUGCGCCGUCGCCACCGUCGAUUCCGACCACCGCAGCCUGCGAGAAGACUACCGAUCGCUUCGCCGUGGAACCCUCUACAUUUCCUCUUUUAGUCGCCCACCGAGAUCGGCCGCCAUUUGCCUAUGCCGCCGGCGAGAAGCUCGCCGAGGCGCCACUGCCCUGCCUCCUCAGCGCCAAGCCACUGACGAAUGGACCCCACCUAAUUAGCGCCCGAGGACUUGGCUUAGCUAUAGUUUAAAACUUGCAAGGUUCAAUCUGUAAAACUCUUUUGUAUGGCAUGUGGACUCAGGACCCAUUUGUAAAUAGAGAAAACCCCGAGGACUCUUAAUGGAAAUCGCUUUAGCACGUGCUUUAGGGCUGCGGGUUGAUUCCUGUAAACUCCAGGGACUUUUCUGCAUAAUACCAGUCACUGACCAGUGGACCCAAGGGUUUAUAAUUUGAGCAAAAAUAAAGGAAAUGGAUAAAGUAAUAUCUUUUCAACUGAAAAUUACUUCAAACUUGUAAAAUCCAUAUAAAAUCAAAUAUAGCUCAUUUUGAGGUGAAACCAAUUUCUAUAGGUUCAUAAAAUUGUGAUCUUUAAUAUUGUAGAAUAAAAUCCUACACCCACAGUAUGAUAUUUAUUUCUAAAAUUCCAAAGAAGAAAUAGUUACAUAGAACUUGUACAAUUUGUAGGAAAUUCAUCUUUACUCCAAAUGAAGUGAACCAAAUUUCUGUAGAUUCACAGAAGUAUAUACUUUAUUUUUAAAAACAUAAUAUUUCAUACUUUCUGUACAGGAAACAGUAAUAGUAAUUUAUACCAUAUAAUGACCACCACUUGUACUAUUUGAUUUCUAAAAUUUAUAGGAAAUUCAUAUCAGCUCUAAAAAUUAUGAAACCAAUUGUAUUCAUCUUAGAAAACAAUCCUCUUCAUCCCGGUAAGGUUAACUUGAUGAAAACCAUAUAUUAAAAAUGUUUCACAUCAAUACGUUAAUAAAUACUACUAUAUGUCAAUGCAAAUUUAUGAAAUUCAUAACUCAUAAUUAAAGAGAGAUAAAAUAGGAAUUCUUUACCUAAAUUUAUCUUAGGCCAGAACCUAUCCACUGUGUACAAAUCAUGCAUUUUAGAGUAUUUUGUAUUUUACGCAUAAUUUGGUAUUUAUGUGCAUACCGUGUACUUUGUAUAGAUAUUUCGCAUCAAUGGUGAAAGAGUGAUUUAAGAGAUAUUUACAUUGUUCCAGAUCAAGGCAAGUUUAUUCCUCCUCUUUCCUUUGAUCACCUUGAAACCUAUGAUUUGGGAGAUGAAAAGCAUUUGUUUCCGAAACUGCAUAUGUAUUUAAGUUAAAAUGAUAUUUGAAACUUAUUAAAUGGUAGCUAUGACCUUAUUGCUGCAUAAUCUUCCUUGAUAUGUUGUUACCCUUUCAUUUGUAACCAUAGUAAUAAUGGGAGUACAUUGGUUGUACUCUAAUGGGACUAAUUAAGUUUUUAUAUGCCAAUUGCUUAGCCAUGCCUAGAACUAUGCAAAUGAAUGAUUUUAUAACUUGAUAAAUGGGAUUAUGAUUAUCUGGGUUAAUGCUGGAUUUAUGAUGGAAAUGUUAAGUAUUUGUGAACUAAAAUGGAGUUAAACUUGUUUUUAGACUUGGGCGGCAAGUGGUGUGCAUAUGGUGGUAGUUGUGCACCGAUAGGGGGAGUGUUCGCCCAGGUUGAUUAAGGACCGAACUUGGUGUCGUUCACUAUUGUUUACCGUACAUCCACAUGUGCUAUUAUGGGGUGGCCUUAGCUAAUUAAGUUACUUAAAAUCUAGCCUUACAUAUUGGUAGGCUGGAGUAGAAUGAAUUAGUCUGAGCGAUGAUUCACAGGAACUACCCAUGUGUGUGUGAUGAUUAUAUUGCUAGCCACUAUUACUAGCUGGGUGUGUUCUGUGAGGGGACGGAUGGUCCGCCUCACAGCAUGGGCGUCUAAGUCUAUCCAAUUCAACGGUAUAGUGCCUCGUGGGGGAACGGAUGUGUUCGCUGCCACGGCGUUAGGUUUAAAGCGUGGGCCCGCUACCUAGCGAUUCUGGGUCAUGCCCAGGAUGGAUUCACACUUGCCAUCGCUGAUGCAAGGUUAGGCGUUAAGUAAUGUAAAGGCUACGUUGUGACCUCUAGACUGCAUUCAAUGUGUAGAAUGUGGUGGUAUCGACGGGUACCGAACAAACUAGAGGGAUUCACGUCAUGUGGGUAAAGCUGUACAAACUCUGCAGAGUUCUCUAAAACUAAUCGAUUAGCCUUGCUCACGGUCAUGAGCGACAUAGUGAAUUGUCAUGGGUAUAGACUUAUGUUUUAUAAAUGUGUGUCGAGCACCAAAAAUUCAUAUAGUCCAGUGAUAUUUGUGGUCACCACAUGAUCUUGGCUGAGUGGGAUCCAUACAUGCAUAAAUAGCCACUCAUAUCUCAAUGUGUUCAUGACCACAACAUAACACCAUUCGAUAUGAACUCUGCGAUGCCGAAUAAUGAGCAAAGGAGAUAUUGCUGGGACUCAGCGUGCCAGUCAACUUCAGCCUGAGACAUACCCGUCAAACCAUUCGAAGAUGGCGACCAGAUGUGUUACACAUCUCAGGAGACUUGACUCAAAUUGCUGAGCUCUACAACAUCUCAAUUGCUCAAAAUUCUUACUCAUGCUUAGCUAGCCCCAAGAAGAUGCUAGCUUCGUACUUUCAUCUAAGCCAUGGUAUUAACUCAAAUACAUGUAAGGUGACUUAGACAUAACUAGAGGCAGAUAACACAGUUACUUACAUAUAGCCAUUCGACUAAUUAGAUAAAGUCCUUCGGAAGCAUGUCUACCCAAAUUCCCCACAAGCAACCGACUAGGGUAAACCCCUUGAUAGGACCAAUCCUGAGAGAAACAACUAUUCCCGCAACACUCAAUUACCUGCAAAAAAAAUGGAUAUUCCAGUCUAACAAGUGUUAGUACAUUAAUCGAGUUAAUGUACUGGCAAACGCACAGUCAAACCUACAUACAUGAAGGCUAGAUUCAAAGAGAGGCUUAUAUGUAGUCGGGGUUUUCAGCAUAAAGCUAAUUUUAGUUCACAAUUCAUUUGCAACGCAAUUUGAACAAAACAUUUCAACAAUUAUGUAAAGCAUAAUAUUCAUGGCAUGAUACCAACAUAAAUAGAUAGUAGCAUUUUAUCACAAUCCAAUCCGAAAAUAGGGCAAUCACAUCACAUAUAUCAAUCUCAUUAUCAUUCCAAAACAUUUAGUUUCAAAGGCAUUUAAGAAAACAUAAAAGUAUACCCACAUCACAUCACUAUGCCGCUCAUGACCGUGAGCACGGCUAAUCGAUUAGUUUUUAUAACUCUGCAGAGCUUGUACAACUUUACCCACAUGGUAUGAACUCUCUAGUUUAUCUUGUGCUGGCCCAGCACUACCACACUCUACAUGUUGAAUGCGGUCUAGAGGUCAUAACGAGGCUUUUACAUUAAGUAUUGUCUAACCUUGUAUGAGCACGAUAAGUGUGAAUCCACCCUAGGCUUAAGUCCUAGAGUCGUUAGGUAGCGGGCCCACACCUUAAACCUAACGCCGUGACGGCGAACACAUCCGUUCCCUCAUGAGGCACGUUAUCGUUGUAUUGGACAGACUUAGACGCCCAUGCUGUGAGACAGAACAUUACACUCGUUCCCCCACGGUAAUCACACCCAGCUAGAAUAUUCGCUAGCAAUAAACACAACACAAUCAUUAACACAUACAUGGGUAGUUCCUAUAGAUAGCCCACAGUACACUCGUGGCCACUACCUCUACUACAACGGCCUCCCGAAUGCAAGGUCAGACAAAUGCUUAACUUAAUAGGCCAAGGUUAUCCCCAUACAUAACACAUGUGGAUGUACGGUAAACAUAAGUGGGUGAUAUGUAGUUCAGUCCUUAAACAACUCAGGCGGACACUCCCCCUAUCGAUAUGCAACUACCACCAUAUGCAUAUCACUUGCCGCCUAAGUCUGAAAUUCACAUUCCUUUUAUUUUAGUUCACAAAUAAGCAGAGAACUCCUCUCUGUUCAUAAUUUCUAAAAUGAUUCAAAUAACAUAAUAAGUGAUCCAUAACCAUGAUUUAUUUAUUACUAAGCAAAGCUAAGCACUUGCAUUUUUACAAAAAGCGUAGGGGUUUCCAUUUGAGUACAAAUAGGGUACUCUAAACCAUUCUAAGGUUACAAACAUCAUGAAUAACAAUUGUCAAGGAGGAUUAUGCAACAAAUAGGUCAUAACUACCAUUUCAUCACUUUCAAAUAAUUUUUCCAAAUAUAACUAUCUAACGCAUGCAAUUUUGCAAUAGAAAACGUUUGCCCAAUAAAACAUAGGAUCAAAGUGUUCAAAGGAGGAGGGCAACACUUGCCUUGAUUGAUGUCCUUACUGGAGUCAGCGAAAGGUUAUAUCUUCUCACCAACAACGUAAUCGUCUUCUAAAAGAAAUAUCGAUAAUCGGGUAAAUACCGAAACAUACAAAUAUUCAAAAUGUUCUAAAAUGCAUGAAUUCACUAGUGUGGUUAGAUGCUGUGGGUUUAUAAUUUGUGGUGAAGGAAAUUCUAUUUUAUCAUAUUGCAUUUGUGAGUUAUAAAUUCUUAAAGUCUAAAACUAGAAAUAACUUAAUUAGGCUCUAUUUAGCUCUAAGUGCAUUUUGGGUUCAAGAUUGGCAAAGCCUUAGGUUUCUGCAGCAGAGAGUAAUUUCUCCAAAGCUUAACAAAAUUUAGUUCACAAUAUUUAAAGCUAGCAUGAAUUUAUUAUGAAUUUAACAAUUUAAAUGACAUAUUAUAAGUCUUACUUAUUAUACAACUUUUAAAUAUGUUUUUGGUACUAUAUGUACUACAUUUAAAUUUAUGAAAACUAAGUCUAUGAGAUUUAUAACCCAACCCAUCUGGAAUUAUAUUAUUUGGAGUUAGAAUGAAUUUUGUAUGAAUUUUAUAAAUUAGUGAAUGCUAUAUAUUAAGUAUUCCAUAUAUUAAUUUUUAAAGACAUUUCUUCUACUGUAGGCAACAUGUUUUAUCUUACCAAAUUAAAGUUUACAAUUUUGUGAAUCCAUAGAAAUUUAGUUCACCUCAAAUGGAGUUAAAAUGAAUUUUAUAUGCAUUUUACAAGUUUCACUCAUUUUCCUGUUGAAAAAUUAUUGUUUUGGAUAUUUCCUUUAAUAUUUCCAAUUUUUAAAGAUAAUGGGUCCACUAGUCAGCCUCUGUACUUUUGCAGAAAAGUCCCUGGGUUUCCAAGGAUUCAACCCGAAGUCCCCAGCACAUGUCUAAAUACAUUUUCAUUAAGAGUUCUCAAAUUUCUGAUUAAUUGCUAGUAGGUCCUUGGUCCCACAUGUCAUAGGUUAUACAAUUACACAUUAGUACAGAAGGUUUUGUCUUCCUUACAAAUUAUACCUCGGCUACUUAUAUGCAGUGGGGCCCGCAGGUCAGUGGCUUAGUGAGAGAGAGACCGGAGGCAGCGGCUGAAGGCGGCGACCGACGAGCUUGUCGUCGACGCCGGCGGCAAACAGCGGGUUUUCGCGAGGUGCGACCCAGAGAGAAGAGGUGGAGGAGGGGCUGGCGAUCCCGUCGGUGGUCAUGUUGUUGGCUGUGGUGGUCGGAGUCGACGCCGGCGACGUUGUGAGUGGCGGAGUGCUUCGGCAUGCUAAGGCAUCUCGGUCUCUAGCUCAAUUCAGUGGGGUUUCAUGCAUGCAUUCGCACCUACGGAGAUCGUGGUUGCUUACUUGAGGUCGCGCUGGGCUCGGCGAGGCUUGGACAGCAGUGGUGACGCGAAGACAACUCCGGCGGCGGCGGAAUCGGGCAGGGCGACGGUGACAGCGAAGAGCGGCCAACCUCCUGCCAAAGUGACACAUGCGCAAGGUUAGAGAUGCCCUAGGGAUGCUACCCACGAGAGGAAUUGAGCCGGAACUCACCCGAGGACGAGAAAUCGACGGCGAUGGCCAGCGGCCGGACUUGGAGAAGACGAAAAGGUUCUCUUCAACGGCAGUGACUUAGCUUGAGUUCACUUGGGCGUCUUGCGCCUGGGAUCUAGACGACUGCCCUGGCGCAGUGGCUCAGCUAGGGUUUCACCGGGUCGACGGGAACGGCGAUGCGAACUGUGGCUGCGCUCUGGACACCGAGGACGCCGAUGAGUUUAGCACAUGGUGGAUAGGGGAAAGCUACCGAGGGUUUAGGCGUGGAUAGGGGAUCGUGUUCCCACGGUUGGUCCGCGGUGAAGCUCACCAGAGAAAGAUGGCGACAGUGGUGGAUCCCGACGGCGUCGGAGAAGAUGGAUUCGCUCCCGGAGCUCCCGAGACGAUCUCGCUAGGGUUUUGGGAGGAACGCGGCGAGGAUGAAAGGCUUCGUCGGUGGGCAAAGCAACGCUAUUUAUAGAGGAGAUCGGGAUUGCGGUGGACGGCGAGGUGGCGCACUGGGGUGCUAGCGCGUGUAUGCGACGUGGCAGCCGUUCCUGGCUUGGAGAAGGAGGUGGCAAGCUUGAGUGAUUGACAGGUGGGUCCUACCAAGGCUGAGCCCACAUGGCAGAGAGAGAAAUGGGUAGUUUCUUCGGUGAACUACUGCACAAUUGAUUUUCAAAGAAUUUACAGAUAUAUUUCCUCUCCCUUCUUUUUAAUUCUCUGACUCAAUUUCUGUGCAAGAUAAAUUAAGGUGGAUUUUACUGGUGAUAGAUAAAACUACCUAGAUUCCAUUUUCCUUGGUUGCACGCAAAAAUACUCUAUAUUUUAUUCCCAGGAAAAUAAAGAAAGUAGGCCUAGCUGAAAUUAGAUUGAAUUUUUAGGAGGUCAAAACCUAUUAAAUAAAUUCUGGAAAAAUUAUAUCAAUUCAUGACAAAUAAGGUAGUAUUUGAAUAAAUUAUGUUCCAUGUACAUUUUCAUGUGAUAAAAUACAUUUAUGAGGUGUGUGUCUUUUUUGCCGAUUAGGGUUUAGUAUUAACCUAUGGGUUGACUGUUUUGACCUAAUUAUUUGGGGUAACAAAUGUACAUAUUAAUUUACACCAAAAUUUCAGUGACUUAUAUAUAUUAAAUAGUACCUCCAUGAAUUUCCUCAUGAUUUUAUAUUGCACCAAUUAUUUUUAAAUAUUCAAUGAGUUCACCUACCCUUAAGUAUUCUUAUUUUGAAUAUAUAUUUAAAUGGUAGAAAAAUUAUAUUUUAGUUUAGAAUCAACCAGAAAUGUUAUGUUUAGGCUUUACUUUCAUUUACAUUUCUAUUUUGGACUCAAAAAUAAAUUUUUAUUAUUUAUCUGAAGUAAAAAUUCGAAAUUCGAAUUUUUGGUAUGUUACAAUGUGUUUAUGAAAAUGGGCUAUGGGAAUGGUGAUGGAUAUGGAGUGUGGUGAAGUAUGAUGAUGAUGGUGAUGAUGUUGCCCAGUGUGGGCUGAUAUGAUGGUGCUGGUGAUGACUUGGGUAUCGGAGAUGAGAGUAUGUAUAUGAGGUUGAGAUGGUGAAUAUUAUGGUUUACUUACGUUACUGUUUUAUUAAUUGAAUUGUGAACUCCUUUACAAAUGAUUGUGAACUAAAAUUUGCUUUAUACUAAAAUAAGCUACAAAUAGCCUUUCUUUGAUUUAUGUCAUGCAUGAUGUAGUAUGUUAGGAUUGUCUUGUGCUUGCCGGUACAUUAACUUGUUUAAUGUACUGACUCUUGUACGACUGGAAUAUCCAUUUUGCAGGUUGAUUGCUUAGUCUUCUGAGUGAUUUGUGGAAAUCGUUGCUUCUUCUAGGAUCGGAUCCAAAAGGAGUAUUCUCCUUGUCGGCCGCUUGUGGAUUUGGGUAGCCAAGCUUUCGCGGAUCAGUAAAUAUCUGGCCGUUUGGCCUAACUAUUUAGAUAAGAAUGUAGAGUAAAGUUUACUUAUGUUUACUCCCUAUUUAUUCUGAUUGUCAUCGCUUAGAUGAAAGUGUGGAACUAGAGCUUUUCCUGGGAUCUAGUUCUGCACCGGUAUGAGUUUUGAGCAUUUGGGAUGUCGUAGAGCUUUAGCGAAUUUUGUCGAGUCUCCUGAGAUGUGUAACACAUCUGGUCGCCAUCUUCGUGUGGUUUGACGAGCAUGUCUCAGGCUGAAAUUGACUAGCAUGCUAAAGUCCCAGCAAUAUCCCCUAUGCUCUCUACUCGGCGCUUCAGGUUCUAUAUUAAGUAGGUCAUUUGACUUGAUAGGGGAGCGAUGAGGUUGGAUGGUUACUGUUUUACUUGAUUAUUAUUAGACCCCAUCCAACUAAAUAUUCCGCGCUAUCAUUUUAAAUAACUUACAUAAUAUUUAACCUGGGGGUGCCCCACAAUUAAGCUGUCAAUAAUUAAUGAAGUAGCAGUACCUAGCUCCAGGCUGUUACCUCCCAAUGGUGGCAAAGAAAAAUAAUAUUGUCUUUCAUAAGGCAAUGUCGCAAGCAAGAAUGGAUCUGCAGACAAUCAAAGCAAGAAAAGGAUAAAUAAUAAAGAAGUAAAGUGUUGAAUGUCAGUGAUCCAAAAGAGAAUUAAUCAAAGGAAUAUCAUUAUAGAACAAAAAAGAGAGAAUAUUUCAUAAUUUCUUUAAGACUAAGGCAAGCUGCGAAAAGCGAAAUAUUCCAUAAAUUUCAGCAACAAGCAUGGAAUUUUGCAUGGAACCAGCAGCUCAAGGGGUAGCGUGCAUAUGCAAUAGUGCCGGUCUGCAAGAGGAAUUAACCAAACCAUUUGUUGAUUGGUCAUGCAAGCACCCCACACCCCCAUGCACGCAUGCACUAAGGCCUUAGCUUAGCUUAGCUUGUUCUAGCUAGGUAGGUAUUUGAUCCAGCCGGCCAGCCAGCUUGUUGCCGGCAAGCGGGGGAGCGAUCCGAUGGCUGAGGGUGCGGCGAGUGCCGUGGCGAGGCGCAGUUGCUAGGACGUGUGAAGAAGGACGUGCAGUUCAUCAAGGAGGAGAUGGAGAGCAUGAGGAGCUUCCUGACGCACCUGACCGAGACGGAGCCUCCCGGCGGUGAGCACGACGAGCAGGUCUGGACGUGGAUGAAGCAGGUCCGGGAGCUUGCGCAGGACUGCAGCAACUGCAUCGACACCUACCGGCAGCACGGUGACCUAGCGGUCCGCCACCCCAGCUGGAGCCGCGGUGCCGGCAUCCUCCAGCGCUACAUCUACUGGGCUCCUUGGAUGGUCGAGAAGUUGCUCGCCCAGCACUACGCGGCCAUCUGGCUGCGCGAGCUCAAGGACCGUGCCCACGACGUCGGCCAGCGUCGCUUGAGGUACGGCGUGGAGGUCCCCGGCAAGCCAUCAUCCAAGGCGGCAGGAGGGGCACCGUCGUCGGUGCGGUCUGAAGAAGCUUCUCCGUCAACCACUAGUGCCACCACAGGAGCACAAGCACCAGACGAGGAAGAUGAAGACGAGGAGGAGGAGGAGCAGCAAGACCAAGAAUACGACUCGGCUAGUAGCAUUAUUAUUUCAGCUGAGCGUCGUCGAAGAGCUCUGGAGCCUCGCUCUCUGGAGAACUUCUGUGCUGACGAGCUUACCUGCUAGGUAAAGUCGGUUGGCAUUACGGGACCAUCGUCAUCUUCAUCGCCAUCAUUACCAUCCAUCGCCAUUGUACCACCACCACCACCCAGAGUAGCUCAAGGUGGUGCAACGGAGGUGGUGGUGGCCGCAGGAGCCAAUGCACGCGAUGCUUUGGCUUCCAUGGAGACCACCCAUUUCGACCGCUCUGUGUGGAUCAACCUCCAGGCUUUGCAUCUCCACCGCUCUUGGCACCAAAUCAGCACCGAGGCCAUCCUCUGCUACAUCCUGCGUGAAUGUGAAUCUCUCAAGAAGCGAGGCAAAGAUCAUGGUCAGGUGGACGACCGGGAUGAUCAAUGGGAGGCUUACUAUUAUUACAGAUGGGACAUAUUGUAUGAUAUCCAUAGGGACUUUUAUCGACAGGUUAAUCCUAAGAUGGAAGAAAUCGAGGGUAAUAUUACUAAGAACAGUGCUGCAGAAGAAGAACAAGAAGAGAAAAGUAAAGGAGAAGCUGCAUAUGGAAACCAGACUGAAGACGAAAUCCCCUCAACCCCUGAUGGUAGUAUGUCACGCCCCAAACUAGCCCCGAACGGCGGCCAGAGUAAGGCGAUCCAAAUUAACCUGUAUACUUGUACCAGUCCCAGGAAAUAAUGCUGGUACUACAGGAAGACAGAAUAUCACAACAACAGCGGUCUCUUUAUUAAGAGUAGAAUUACAACCAAGGUUAGAACUGCGGACAGACCCCGAGUUAACAACAGCAAUACAAAAAGGCAGAAGCGGAAAGCGGAGACUAGCCCUAAGCCACAAGCAAAGCCUUGGGGAAAGGCCGAAACCCUACUAUAGCUCGUAGUCUGCUUGCUCCUGGAAGAACUCUUCUUCGGCAGGGUCCACCUCCUCGUCUUCGAGAACUGGAGGGGUUAAUUAUAUAGAGCAAGGGUGCGUGCGGGAGUACUCAGCAAGUCAGGGGAAUUAAGUGUUUGAUGCAAGCUUCAAAGGAGAGCCAGUUAUUUUUCGCAUUCGAUCUUAGUUUAAGACUUUCAGAAACAACUAAGUGAGUGCUUCUCAACGACACGGACGAGAAAGUGCGUCUCAUCCGGUCGGAGCAGUGAAAUUGUAAGGAUUGAUUCUUGUCGGUACGAGAGGCUCCCUGCCAAUCGUUCACCGACACCGGCUGUACCAACAACCACACGCGAGAGGCUCCCUGCCAAUCGCUCACCAACUCCAGCUGUAUCAACAGCCACACGUCAAGCACAUCGGCACGAAAGGCUCCCUGCUAAUCGUUCACCAACACCGGCUGUACCAACAGCCACAAGCCAAACACUGAACAGAAUUCUCACCCAACAGCAGUUCACAAAGUAAUCAGCAAAACUACGCUAAGGAAUCACCUCACAUCCGCCAAUGACCGUGGGCACGGCUGUUCGAAUAGUUGUUCACCUCUGCAGAGGGGGUACACUUUACCUACAAGACGUCACUAACCCGGGUCACCCAGCCCGUGCAGAACGGCCACGUCUGGUGAUUUUGAGGCUUUCACGACAAAGCAUUUCGAAAGCUGACUCAGGGUCAUCUUAUGCCAACGGGAGGGGUCCCACGGACAAACACCAGGUUAGGUCCCAGACCAUAUUGUGCCAGGAAGCCCAGGGGUCCUCCCCGACACCACCCCGGCGAAUCCACUUGUCCCUUGGCAUCAGGAUUUCCUUGGCCUAGCUAAUUACUCAGCUAGGGGUGUCCCAUCUCACCCAUGUAGUCGUACUUGACAUAUGCUCGGAUGUAAUUCCCAAGGAAUCGGUCCUUAAGGCGAGAACGGGAAGACCGCACCUCCAGUACGUCUCCCGCACCGUGAGUUUUGGAAACUCACUUUAUUUUCAAGGCACCGACCCAAGUGUUGGGUUUUCCUAGCAUUUUGUAAACUCAAGUUUUACCCAGUUAAUCAUUUUAAAUUUAAAGGGAGCCUCGAUAUUCGUACGCGGGGUGCGAAUACCGAGACCUCACCUGAAGGGUGACAAGGGGUGUUAGGGUAUUCAAUAAUCAAGGAGGGUGAAUGCAGCAAAUGGGUGGGUCCUGCCUAUUGUAUUGCAAACCGAGGCCAAGUGUCAUGUGUAACCUAAGGAAUGCAUAGUUUGCGGAAUCAAAAUACUUAAUUUCAAAUUAUAGGUUCAAUUGAUCAAAGGUGAUUUGCCUUGCUCCAGAUCUUGAGCUUCUUCUUCGAAAUCUGCGUACUGCGAGUCUUUGGGCUCCGAAACUACACGUGAAACGAGGCGACUCAACACAACGAUAAAAAGAAGCCGUAUUAAUGACCACUAUGCAUGCCAUUGGAUAAAUCUCGAUUUUUGAGGAAUUCUGGAAGUUGAACGGAGUCAAAUGGACGAACGGUUGAGAAGAUAUGAAUUUCCUAAGAUUAAAUGAUUUUCUAUCUAAAGGAAAAGGAAUUAUUAAUUCCUUUGAAAAAGAAAAAGGAAGGAGGGACUUGAAUUGGACUUUUAUUGAAAGGGAUCCGGCCAAAGGCCGAAUCGAACGCGGCCGGGCUACUCGAAACGGCACGCGGGUGGCCGAGUAAGGGAGGCCGAUGGGCCGGUGGCCGAGUGGCACGGCCUAACGGGCCGGCGCGGGCGCAGCCGAGCGAGCGGGCUAGCGCGCGGGAUGGGACGGCCCAAGGCCAGGGAGGAGCGUGAGGCGAAGAGGGAGGCCAAUUGGGCCGAAGGCCGAGUGACUCGGGGCCGACUGGGCCAGAGAGAGGAGAGGGCUGAGAAGGGAGGGAGGCCUAGUGGGCCGAGGUGGUGUAGCCCACGCGGGCGGCCGGACCAGUGGACCGAGGUCCACCGCGUGGCACUAGGGCGGGACCCGCCCGUCAGCGGCGCGGUCCACACGGAUUGGGCGCACGGAGGGAGAGAGGCCGUCGGCGCUCGUGUGGCGCCGACAUGGCUGCCACGGAGGCCGGCGGGCAGCGGCGAAGAGGCUCAGGGCGGCGCGGUGCGAGCCCGGCGAAGGGGGUGACACCGGAGCGGAGAGGGGAGAGAGGGGAAGCGAGCCAACGGCUCGGAUCGGAGCGCGAGGGUGCGACGGCGGCCGGCGACGGCGUGAGGCGGUGGCGGCAAUGGUGGCGCGGGGAGGGAGCGGAGGAGAGGGCGGCGACCACGGCGGCGCCCGGAGGGAGGUCUACGGUGCUACCGAGCUCCCUAAGCCGAGGAGAAAAGAAGGGAGAUGGGGGAAAAGGACGAGUUACCGCAGAAGGGGACGGGCUCGCCGGGGAUCGCGGGGACGACGACGCGCGGGCGGUGCGGCAUGGCUCCGGGCUGAGGGAGAGGGGAAGGAGGCGCCCGGAGUCUCCUUCGGGCGUCCUCAGCGGCGACGGCGAACGGCAAGAGCAACGGCUCGGCUCGGCGGGGCGGUGGCGAACGGCGGACGGAGGGUGUUCGACGGCGGUAGGGCGCGGCCGAGAGGGAGGGGAACACGGGUUUAAAAGGGGCGCAAAGGUGGUUGGGCGGAGAGGCGGUUGGGGGGCGAGGUCGGUGAGGGGACUGGCACGCGCUAGCAGCCGAACGGCAGCUGCCGGGUGACGUCGGCGGCGGUCGGGAAAAAGAAAAAGAGAGAGGGAGAAAGGGGUGCGGCCCCCUUGCCAAAACGGGCAGGGGCACGCGGGGAGAGGGGCAGAGAGCGCGCUCUCCCCCGAGGCGGCACGCGCGCGUGCGAGCGGCGGGGCCGGGAGUAACGCCGGCGCUUGGCGCGGCGCGGGGGCAGCAGUGCAGAGGGGACCCCGGGUGACGGCGGCGGCGGACGUGGGACCAGCGGCGCUGAGGGGCGGGGCGUGGCUGGGCGCAGCUGUCGAAACGAAGUGAGAGAGAAAAAGAAACGGGCGAGGGAGAGAGAGAGCAGGGGGGAUCUCUCCCGCGCGGGGCGUGCGAGCGCGGCGCAGCGGGAGGAGGAAGGGGGGUGGGCCGAGCGAGUGGCCCGAAAGGGAAGGAGGCCGAGGGAAGGAGGGAGAGGCGCGACUGGGACGGGCGGCGGCCCGAGAAGGAGAGGGAAAAAGGGGGCAGGCCGAGUGGGAAGCCGGCCCGGGAGAGGGGGAGGCAAAACAGACUUUUGGCAGAGAGGGAGAGGGAAGGAUUAGGGUUCGGAUUCAAAAUCCGAUUUCGCGAUUUUCUCCGGGAUUGAGCUGAGAGGGGAAACACGAGACCAAGGCACACGACAAGACACGACCGAAGAGCAAAAUUUUUGCAAAUAGAGUUUUUAGGAAUUAGGUUUUCCCGCUAACGCCAUAACAAAACGGGCGUUACAUAGUAUCUCCAAGACCAAGCCAGUGGGCAUACUCUUCAGAGCACUGCAGCCUUAUGCCGUGUCAAAUGUUGCAAUAUUGGGGACUAACCAACCAUUGGACGAACAAAACAUAUUCCCCGAGACGGCCAAUAAGCUUAAGAGGCAUAUCGAAUCAGGCAAAACCGAGUUCCCAAUUCAUCUUGAUCAAGCCAAAUAUGAAUCCAUCCUGCGCGAGGUGUUCCCCCUUGCAACCAGCAAACCCCACAAGGUCCAGGAAGGUACUACUGCUGUCAGUAGUGAUAGUAGUAGCCAUGUUGUUGCUGCUGCUGCCGCUGCAGCCGCCGCCACCGCCGCUGCAGCGACUACUGCUGCUACAUUGGAGAAAGUUCAGAUAGAACAAAUCAUUGACAAGGCUAAACAAGACAUCCUGCAAUGCAUCCUGCAGGAGCUACAGCAGCAGUUACCAGAAGCUGACAAAUCUCUUGAGGAGAACGGAGUAACGAAACCUAAACCUCAGUUUAGGAUGAGCAUGCUACUGCUGCCAUUGAAGCCAAGGAAAACAAGCCGCCAGCAGCCAAGGAUGAAACAAAGGAAAACAAGGCACCAGUAGCUCAGGAUAAACAUGCUGUUGCUGCCAACAAAACCAAGGAAAACAUUGGAAAAAUCAAGUCCAAGAUUAAUAAUGAAGCUACUACUGCGACUCCUCGGCCGCCUACUACUAUUAGUACUACUACUACAACGUUGGGCAAGGAUCAGAUCGAAGAAAUCAUCCACAAGGUUAAGCAACAAGUCCUACAGGGUCUACAUCACCAGCCUCCUCCCCAUCUUCCCAGAGCAGAUAGAUCGUUCAAGGGGGAGCCAGGCAUACAUAAACCAGGUGGGGAUGAAUAUGCCAAUGCUAUCAAAGAAACCAAGCAAAAGAUCAAACAACUCACAGGAAAAAUUAUGGAGCAGGUGACAAUCCAAAGAUCAAAACACUUUUGGGUGGUAAAAAGACCAUGAUUAUCAUUGAAGAUGAUAAAGAUUAUGCAUCCCAGUGGAGGGAGAUCAGAAAUGCUUUGCAUCAGCUGUCAAGCUCCGGCAGUGCAAUGGUUGUGACCACCCCGAACAUUCAGAAGGCCAAAGAAAUUUGCUGUCCACAGCAGGAGCCUAUAACCAAUUCUAUUGCUGGCUUGUACUAUGAUACUUUGCUCAAGCUUACAAGGAAGAGGGUGAAUAAAGAUGUAAACCAGAUUUUCCGCGACAUCUUGGACAAGUGUUAUCCAAGCGAAUUCUGCAUGAAGAUCUUCGCUCAUGCCCUCUACGCCAAUCCCAACAGGAGCAAAGAAGAUCUACGCAAGUUGCUUGAUUCCCUGGAUUCAAAUAAAUCACUGGGCAUCUGUUAGAUCAUAAUCCUUGUAAUCCUUGUAUGUUAUUUUCUUUCGGUUAGUCUGUUUAGUUGGUCAUGGCGCAAGAAUAGCCUGCGCGUGGCCAAAGCAACGGGACGUGCGCGCUGCUGCGGAUCGUGGGGAUGGACGCGAGAAAUUCGCGGGAGUGAUGCGCUUCCUAGGGCAUAGCAUAUUGCAUGGUUGUUUUGCUACAAAUAAGAUAAGAAAACAGAAAAGCUGUAGGCAGAUUACGCAGCGCCAAAACUCUGCUCUCUCUCUCGUGAUCUGAUUACAGUACUCGCGUGUGUUCGUGUGUUGGUUCUUCCUCGCCCGCUCGCCGAUCGUUUGGGUAAAUCCUAACAUUUGGUAUCAGAGCGAGGUUCAGGGUGUGGAAUCAUGAUCGUGCUCUCGAAUCGGUUCUCAUGCCUUGCCGUCGCUCGUCGUCACCGACGCAGCGCACUCCAGGAGAUUCCGGCCGCCGCGCCUCGGGCAGCGGCGGGAAUGUCCGCGGGCUGGUUAUACACCACGUGGUCAAGGAGGCGGGAGGCUCGGCAAACUAUCCGGUGCUCACGAAGACGAACUACAACGAAUGGUCCCUCCUGAUGAAGAUUAAGCUCCAAGCUCGUUUCUUGUGGGGCACCGUCGAUCCAGGAGGGGCCGGGAUCGAGCUCCAUGAAGACAGGAUGGCGUUGGACGCCAUCUGCAGUGCCGUCCCCGCCGAGAUGAUCUCGAUGUUGGCGACCAAGGUGACGGCCAAGACGGCAUGGAAGUGCAUCAGGACUCUACGCGUCGGCAACGACCGCAUUCGCAAGGCGAGCACACAGAAGCUGCGUUCGGAGUACGAGGCGCUGGCGUUCCGCGACGGCGAGUCGGUGCAGGAUUUCGCCAUGCGGUUGAACACCAUCGUCACGCAGCUGGUGACCUUGGGCGACCCCGAGCCGGAUGACAAGGUCGUCAAGAAGUAUCUUCGCGUCACGCGACCCAGGUUCUCCCAACUCAUUCUUUCCAUUGAAACACUACUCGACAUUUCCACCCUGUCGCUGGAAGAGGUCACCGGCCGUCUUAGGGCUGCCGAGGACUCCGGCCAGAGUGCGUCGUCGUCCUCGCCAAGUGCCGGUGGUAAGCUAUUCCUCACUGAGGAGGAAUGGCUGGAACGCCACAAGAAGAAGGAGCAGGAGCGCAGGAACAGUGGUGGUGGCAAUGGCCGCGGCAAGCGUCGCGGCGGACAAGGACGACCGGCGGCGGCGGCAGCGGCGGUACUGGGAACACGGACAACGCUGGCACUGGGCCGGCCCGCAGGACCGACAAGUGCCGCAACUGCGGUAAACUUGGCCAGUGGGCCAAGGACUGCAAGAGCAAGCCCAAGCGGGAGGAGCAGGCCCACGUGGCCCAGGAGGACGACGAGCCCAUGCUCAUGCUCAUGACCUGGGGCUGUGUCGAUGAGGUCGCGCAGGAGCACGCGCCGCCGCCGUACCAAUCCGCGCCAGGCCACGACCACGUCGAGCUGGAGGAGAAGAAGGUGUACGCCGCGCUGGACGACGCAGCGGACCACGACCACACGCGCUGGAUUCUCGACUCCGGCGCGUCCAAUCACAUGACAGGGUUGCGAUCUGCCUUCUCCGACAUCGACUCCAAGAUCACCGGCAACGUGCAGCUCGGGGAUGGCUCGAUCAUGCGCAUCGGCGGCCGAGGGACAGUGAUGUUCGCGUGUAAAAACAGUGAACAUCGCAUGCUCCACAACACGUACUAUCUCCCGCGCCUCGCCGCCAACAUCAUCAGCGUCGGGCAAUUAGACGAGACCGGCUUCAAGGUGCUGGCUGAAGAUGGCGUCAUGCGCAUCUGGGACGAGCAACGACGCCUGCUAGUCCAGAUCAAGCGCAGCCCCGACCGUCUCUACGUCUUGGACAUCGACCUCGCUCGUCCGGUGUGCUUGGUGGCUCGCGCUGGAGAGGACGCAGGGCGGUGGCACGCACGUUUCGGCCACAUCAACUUCACGGCAUUGCGCAAGAUGGGGCGUGAUGAACUGGUACGUGGUUUGCCAGUGCUGUCGCAGGUUCAUCAAGUGUGCGAGGCUUGUCUCGCGGGAAAACAUCGUCGAGCACCUUUCCCGCACCAAGCGCUACACCGCUCCACCGAGCCACUCGCACUGGUCCAUGGCGAUCUUUGUGGGCCGAUCACGCCGGCGACACCGAGCGGGAACCGCUACUUCCUCCUCCUCGUCGACGAUUAUAGCCGCUACAUGUGGCUAGUGCUCCUCGCCACCAAGGAUGGUGCUCCAGCAGCCAUCAAGCGUGUCCAGGCGGCGGCUGAACGGAAGAGCGGCCAUGAAUUGCUAGCUCUCUGCACUGAUCGCGGGGGAGAGUUCACGGCCAAGCACUUUGCCGAGUAUUGUGAAGAACUCGGGGUGCGGCAUGAGCUGACAGCGCCGUACUCGCCGCAACAGAAUGGCGUUGUCGAGCGGCGGAAUCAGUCCGUGGUGGGCAUGGCGCGGAGCAUGUUGAAGGCGAAGGGCCUCCCGGGCAUGUUCUGGGGGGAGGCGGUGAACACCGCCGUGUACCUGCUGAACCGUAGCUCGUCGAAGAGCAUCGGGGGCAAGACCCCGUACGAGCUCUGGAAUGGCGUCCCGCCGGCCGUCCACCACCUGCGCACAUCCUGAUUUUCGUUUCAGGAUUUAUAAAUUAUUUAAUAAAUUAAUAAUAGAAUUUAUAUUAAAUGUUCAUUAAUUUACAAGUGAAGUUAAAUGUGGGAAAUAAAAUUUCCUAAAUAUAAAGCAUGGUUGGAUUUAAUUUUUAUUAAAUUCUCCAUGGUUAAUUAUACUCUCUGGAAUUUUCUCGGAUUUUUCGGAGCUCAAUUCCUAAUUUUAAUCAUACAAAGAGCAUUUCAGUAAUUACCCACAUAUUAAAUUAAUCAUUAAAUGGUCUAAUUGUAAUUUUGUUAAGUACUUUGAGUGUCCAAGUAUUUUCAGGAUUUUUCUUGAAAUUAUUUGAGCAUUGGAAGUAUUUUUAACAAUUCAAAGAUCAUUUAAGUGAUUAUUUUAAUUGGGAAAGUAAUAAAAUCCUCCUCCUCAGCUUGGGCCAUUUUCAGCCCAUUCCUUCCUUUCCUUCCUCUCUCUUCCGCCGGCCCAACCUGAGCCGCCUCCUCUCCUCUCAGCCCAGCCGGAAAAGUCUACUUUUCCUCCCUGCGCUACUGUUCAUCUUCCAACUCAGGCAGAGCCCGAGCCAGCCCUGCCGUGCACAGUGCCGCCGCCUCUUCCUUCCAAAUCUCGCCUCCCCGUUGCUCCUUUUUCCAAUUUUGUUGAGGGGAAAUAUUCCUCUUAUCCUCCUCUAUCUUUACCCCAAAAAUCGGAGCUAAUCGUUGAGUAUCUUAUCCGAAUCGAACUCGUUUUCGAGUUUAUCUCCAAAACCGAGUUUUUGAUUUCCCGGAUCGAUUUCUUGCGGGAGGAGUCCGAUCUCUUCAAUCCAAGGCUAUAAAUAGGACCCCCUAGUCCUCCUCUUUCGUUUGCCCCCUCUCCCGUGGUCUCCCGUGCCUCGUAGCGCCGCCGCCACGUGCUCCGCCCCGCCGUCGUCGCCGGCCGAGCUCCAUCCGCGUCGCGCCGCCGCCUCCGUCGUCGCCGCCGGUCGCCGUCACCGCCGUAAGGUGCGCGGGAGGGUGGAGAAGCCCGGCCGCUCUCUCCCCGCUGUCGCCGGUCACCGGAGUCCCGUCGCCACCGCCGACCGAAGCCGCGCCGCCAAUAGACCUCGUCGCCGGCCGUCGUCGUUCGUCGUUUGGUUCGAGGGUGAGUACCGUUGGGUUCGUCUCGUCGUCCUCUACGUGUUCAUGUCCUCCAAAGUCGCAGCCGACCAUCCAAUCUCCGGCGAGGUCGCCAUCUUGGUCCGGCCAUUGAUGAGGUCAUCAUGACGUCAUCAUCGUUUUUCUUUUUCCUGUUUUUCUAAUAGAUUAAAUCUUCGGAAAUUCAUAACUAAAUCAUCGUAACUCGGUUUUGAGUGGUUCAAGUUGCUAAAUUCAUCUAAAAUCAUGAUCUACAUGUUUGUUUACUUUAUAUGUACUGUUUAUUUGGUUUUUAUUAGUCUUUUUCUUCGUUUUGCGUGUUAGCUUGUCGUUUCCGUCGUUGCGAAGGUUUGUGAGUGCGCCGGAAGUAUUCAAGAAGAUUAAUUGAAGAUCGAUUAUUGCAAGGCAAGUCACACAGAUCCUAAACACAAUCCUUUGAGCAUGUUGAUCCUAUAUUUAAAUUCUCUAUUUAUUUCAACUGUGCAUUUAUUUUCGAAUGUCACCGGGUGGUGUGAACUUAUUCCUUUGUUAUGGCCAAUUUGCAUUGAUUACUUUAUUCCUUGAUACCUUGGGUUAUUAUAACUUGACUAGUUGGGCUUUAUAUAUUGGUUCAGCUAGAUAUUAGUUAUGAUUGCUUAGCCAUGCUUAGAAACAUUAGCACACUAUUGGGAUAACUUAUGACUCACUAUUAUUUAAGGAUGGCUUAAUGAUAGUUCACGAUGGUCAAUCGUGAUUGGUUAAUUAAUUACUUGCCAACUAAAACUUGAUAAUGGUGGGUUGUGAGCACAUGGUUUUGAGAGUCGUGCUCAUGACAAUUAAGGACCGGUUCGCGAGCUACUGUUGUGAAACAUUUAUCGUGCCAACCACAAGCCAGCGUGGGCAACGGCUUUAUCUUUUGUGUAGCGUGAUUCAUUAUAGUGCGCCAGACUGAGAAGUGGCGAGAAGUCCACGGGGGUCGCUGGGGAGUCCAUGCCUUGUUUAUAAGGGGGUGAUUAUGAUCCAGGAAAGGUGCGCUGUAAUGGAUUAUGUUGUGCAAGGGGUAUUGUCACAACUCCUUUCCGAGGUACCGUGGUGGUAUUGAGGCACAUGGUGACAUGAUGUGGGGUUGUGUCUUGUGGGUACAGUGGUACACCUCUGGCCAAAGUAAAACUAUUCGAAUAGCCGUGCCCGCGGUUAUGGGCGGGUUGAGCAAUGUUUUUCGUGAUUAGUCUCACAUUUCUCACAAUAAUUUGGAUGUAAUAAUUGGUAAUAAUUUGCUUAGCUCCUGGUUUGGAGUUAGAUCUGUUCAGCCGGGUAUGGUUGUUCAGGAUGGUUGGGCCUGUACAGCAUGGGUGUGCUGUUCAGUGUUGAUUAAAACUUCUGAUUAAUUAAUCUACUGUUUUACUACUCUUAACUCUUUGCUAAAUGCUGCUUUCGCAAAUGAGCCUAUAUUAUGCCAUCCUUUGGUAUCCUUGUGCACUUGCAUAUUUGCUGUGUGGCUUGUUGAGUAUGUCAUAUGCUCACCUUGCAAUAAUCAAUCAACCUCAGUUGAAGAAAAAGGAUCCAGAAGGAGAAGACGUUUGGCUUAUACCCCAGUUGAGCUGCCUGUGGGAGUGGAGCCGGAGCUUCGCUAGAUUUUAUUUUCCGCUGCUGUUUUCUUUUCUUUUGUAAGUGUGUAACGUUAUUAUUAUGAUGGAUUUGUAUAUUAAAUUGUCAGUUUGUGUACCUCGGCUGAUUCCUGGACGAGGAUUUUAUGCACAAAUAAGUUCGGAAAUUACUAGUGAAUUUCCGGGCGUGACAUUGCACACGUGAAGGUAAUGACCCUGAACGUGAAAAAGCUGGAUGAUCGCAGCCGGCCGAUGAUCUUCGUCGGAUAUGAGCCUGGGUCGAAAGCUUACCGCGUCUACGACCCGACGACGCGACGCGUCCAUGUCUCCCGCGAUGUGGUGUUGGACGAGGAGGCGCAGUGGAACUGGAGCGGCGAGGACGUCACUGACGCAGACAUCGACAUCGACUUCACCGUCGAGUACACCGUCGUGCGUUAUCCGCAGGUGGAGAACGCCACGCGCCAAGAGCCGGUGAACACCAGCCACCCGCCGGUGUCACCCGCGUCCCUGCACACGCCUGCGUCAGCUCCGUCCUCGCGCACACCCACGUCGAGUUCACCUUCGUCCGCGACUUCGCGGGUCAGGUUCGUGUCUCCACCGCCGUUCAACGAGAAGGACAUGGACGCUGAACACGACAAUGACGCGCCACUACGGUUUCGGCUCAUCGACGACAUCUUGUGCCCGUCAUCACCACCAGGGUUGACCACUCGCGAGAUGUCAGAAGAACUGCUCGUGGCCACUGCCGACGAGCCAGCGUCGUUCGCCGACGCAGAGCAGCAGGCGUGCUGGCGUCAGGCGAUGAACGAGGAGAUGGCGUCGAUCGAGGCGAACAAGACGUGGCGGCUCGUUGAUCCUCCUCCCCGGCAACGUCCGAUCGGCCUCAAGUGGGUCUUCAAGACUAAGAAGGACGCCGCCGGCAACAUCACCAAGCACAAGGCACGCCUCGUCGCCAAGGGAUAUGUGCAGCGCUAGGGCAUCGACUUCGACGAAGUUUUUGCUCCGGUGGCGCGGUUGGAGUCCGUGCGCUUGCUGCUGGCACAUGCUGCGUGCGAGGGCUGGGCCGUGCACCACAUGGACGUGAAAUCCGCGUUCUUGAAUGGUAAGCUCCUCGAGGAGGUGUAUGUCGUGCAGCCGCCGGGAUUCGUCAUCGACGGCCAGGAGCACAAGGUGUUGCGCCUCGACAAGGCGCUCUACGGUCUUCGACAAGCGCCGCGGGCUUGGUACUCCAAGCUCGACGCGUCCUUGCUGACGCUCGGUUUCCACCGCAGCAGUUCUGAACAUGCUGUGUACAUGCGGGGCACGGGCAUGGACCGACUGGUGGUCGGCGUGUACGUUGACGAUCUCAUCAUCACGGGUGGCAACACCGGCGAACUCAAGCAGUUCAAGGAGGAAAUGAAGAACACUUUUCAGAUGAGCGACCUCGGGCUGUUGAAGUAUUAUCUCGGCCUGGAGGUGAAUCAAACUGAAGAAGGGAUCACGGUGUGCCAGAGCGCCUAUGCAUAGAAGAUACUCAAGGUGGCUGGCAUGAUCGGCUGUAAUCCAAGCUUUACUCCCAUGGAGACGCGACUGAAGUUGAGUAAAUCAAGUACUGCUCCUUCGGUUGAUGCCACGGAUUAUCGCCGAAUCAUGGGAUCGUUGUGUUACCUUGUGAACUCAAGGCCGGAUUUGGCAUAUGCAGUGGGCUACGUGAGCAGAUUCAUGGAGAAGCCCACUGUCGAACACUUGGCGACCAUGAAGCGCGUGCUGCGUUAUAUCACCGGCACCAUCAACUACGGCUGCUGCUACAAGAGGAAGAAGGAAGCUGCUCAUCUCGUCGGCUACAGCAACAGCGACCUCGCCGGCGAUCUCGACACCCGCAAGAGCACGUCUGGUGUCUUCUUCUUCCUCGAUGAGAACCUGAUCACUUGGCAGUCCCAAAAACAGAAGGUGGUGGCACUAUCGUCUUGUGAGGCGGAGUACAUAGCGGCCACGACGGCGGCCUGCCAAGGUGUGUGGCUAGCGCGCCUUCUUGCCGAGCUCCGGGGAGAGGAGGCAGACGCCGUCAUGCUGAAGAUUGACAACCAAUCCGCAAUCAUGCUCAGUAAGAAUCUUGUCUUCCACGAUCGCAGUAAACAUAUAGACACCCGAUACCAUUACAUCAGAAAAUGCAUCGAGGAGGGCAGGGUGAAGGUCGAGUUUAUCGGCACUGACGGGCAAUUGGCGGACAUGCUGAUGAAGGCUCUCGGACGAGACAGGUUCAUUGAGCUGCGUUCUCGAAUUGGCCUUGUCGAAGUACAAGCUCCAUGCAGGGCUUAAGGGGAGAUUUGUUAGAUAAUAAUUCUUGUAAUCCUUGUAUGUUAUUUUCUUUCGGUUAGUCUGUUUAGCUGGUCAUGGCGCAAGAAUAGCCUGCGCGUGGCCAAAGCAACGGGACGUGUGCGCUGCUGCGGAUCGUGGGGAUGGACGCGAGAAAUUCGCGGGAGUGAUGCGCUUCCUAGGGCGUAGCAUAUUGCAUGGUUGUUUUGCUACAAAUAAGAUAAGAAAACAGAAAAGAUAUAGGCAGAUUACGCAGCGCCAAAACUCUGCUCUCUCUCUCGUGUUGUCUGAUUACAGUACUCGCGUGUGUUCGUGUGUUGGUUCUUCCUCGCCCGCUCGCCGAUCGUUUGGGUAAAUCCUAACAGCAUCAAUGCUAAGAAGAUGAUAAAGUUCUCCUACACUGAUCUCCGUAAAGAAUACAAGUCAUGCUUCCUGUACCUAGCAAUCUUCCCUCCAGGUUACCCUGUCAGACGGUCAACCAUAGUAGGGCGCUGGGUUGUAGAAGGGCUGAUAACUAAGGAAGACUGGCCUAGUGCAGUGCAUCAUGCUGAACGAUGUUUUGAUACACUCAUUGAUAUGUGGCUUGUCUAUCCAAGUGAUAUUGGUGGUGCAGGAAAGGUAAAGAACGGCAUUGUAGGCGAUCUUGUUCAUGAGUUUAUUACCAGAAUUGCCAAGAAACAACACAUUGUGGAGGCACGUCUGUCACGUCAUUUGGCUCGCCAUUUCUCAAUUUUCAAUGACAUCCGACUCCGUGGCUCUGAUAGAAUAGACAAGUUCUUGAGAAAGCUCCCUGAAACAUCUCAAAUGUCAAUGCUUAAGGUGUUAGAUCUAGAAGGUUGUCAAUGCUUCCAGAGGAACCAGCACUACCUCAAGGACAUUUGCAACAAUAUUUUACUGCUCAAGUAUUUGAGCCUAAGGAGAACAGAUGUUACACAGCUACCUAGUGAAAUCAACAACCUCUAUGAGCUGGAGGUACUGGAUAUUUCGCAAACUGAGGUGCCUGAGUAUGCAACAAAACAUAUCCUGCUCCUUAAGCUAAAGCGUCUGCUGGCUGGCUGUAUUGAUUCAAACAGUUCAAGUAAUGCUAAAAACAACAUUUCAUUCAGGAAUCAGGCACCAUCAUCCUCCAGCGUCCAAAUUCCUCACAAGAUAAAAAAAAUGUCUAGCAUGGAGGUACUUUCCAAUGUCAAGGCUUCAUGGACUAGCAGAGAGUUGAAAGACAUUGGGAAGCUAUGGCAGCUGAGGAAGCUUGGUGUGGUUAUCGACGACAAGGACAGCAUACUCAAAAAUUUGCUUACAGCAAUCAGCGACCUAUGUGAGUGCCUCCGGUCUCUGUCUAUCACUAUUUUUCCCAGUACAAAAGGAGAGGGCACUCCAUCCAAUGGAGACUUACCACAGUAUAUUUCCCAUUGCCUGAAAUACCGUCCUAAGCUUCUUGAGAGCCUGUGCCUCCAGGGUACCACGCAAAAGGGCCAGCUUCUUAUAUUAUUUGUUGAACGUUUUACUAAGCUUGCCAAGGUAACUUUGAGUUGCACCUCAUUGAAACAGAAAAAUCUGGAGGGUCUCGGUGAUCUGCCCAACUUAUGCUAUGUUAGGUUGAGACACAAGGGAUACACAGAUGGCAAACUCACCUUCAAUGAGCACAAAUUCAAAAAUCUCAAGUACUUUCUUGUCGAGGGCAACAACAUGAGAGGCAUCAAAUUUCAGAAAGGAGCAGCUCCAAGGCUCGAGAAGAUUGUAUUGUCCUUCACUAACAUAGAGUCUCUUCAUGGGGUCGGGGACCUACCAAAACUGGAAGAGCUCGAAUUGAAGAGAAACAAGUUCCUUCUUUCAUUAUCUGAAGAGGGAGAAACUCUUGAGAAAUACAUGCUCACCUUCAAGAAGGAUGAAUUCCAACAUCUCAAGUACUUACUUGCUGAGGGCUUCAGCAAGAGCUUUGAGACAAACAUAACCUUUGAAGAUGGAGCAACUCCAAAGCUUGAGAAGAUCAUCUUGUACUCCUUCGCCAACAUAAUGUCUCAUCCUGGGGUCAGUAGCCUUCCAAAAUUUAAGGAGCUCGAGUUGAAGGGAAACAAGCCACUUCUUUCAUCAUUUGAAAAUGCCAAUAAAAUUUCCAAGGUGACUCUUCGCUCUACCUUGAUGCAGCAUGCUGACCUACAAAUCUUCGCUAAAAGACCAAGCAUAUGCUGUCUAAUUCUCUUGGGCAAUUCUUAUGAUGAUAGCCUGCUUACCUUCAACAAAGGUGAGUUUCCCAAGCUCGACCUUCUUAUUGUUGAGUGCCCUACCAUCACCGACAUCAGCUUCACCGAAGGAGCAGCUCCUAUGCUUGAGAAGAUCAUCUGGUCCUUCACCAAGAUGAAUUCUCUCUCAGGCAUCGACAAUCUCUCCAAACUGAAGGAGCUCGAGUUCAUUGGUGACCUUGUCCCUGACCAGGUGAAGAUAGAUAUUAACACACAUAGAAAGCAUCCUGUUCUUAACCACAAGCUGCCACAGCACCAAGACCAAGAAAAUGGAAGUGAACAAGGAGAAGAGGAGGAUCUAAAGUUUCCAGCAUGCUCCUGGUUGUCGUUGAAAAACAAGUAUUGGUCCGUUAACUGACGAAACAAAAUGUUUCCAUGCCAGCAUCCUCCAUCCUUCCAUCUAAUUAGUGAUCACUUGCAUGCUAGCAUGUGUUGUCCUUCUGCAAAUCUGUAAUACUUGUGUGUGUGUGUGUGUGUGUGUCUGUUUAUUCAUCAAUUAAUUCCUAGCUAGCUACCAGCUGCUAGCUAGCCGCAUGCAUGAUCUGUGCCAUCUGAUCAGUUCAAACAUGUAGCUGGAUAGCUUGGGCAUUGCAGCUGUGCCGACCGAUGCAGCUAGCCGCGCUCGUGUAUCGAGUUGGAUGUGUGGGUUUCAUCUGAAAUUAACCAUCUGAAGGUGUGCCUUGAGGUAAUCACUAAUCAGUGUGUGUGAUUUGAGCAUAUGGGUGUGCGUAUGCUCAUGGUGGAUUGGAUUUGUGCAUAUAUGUAUGUAAUGCAUCUCUGUCGAACCAUCAGUGUGGAGAAAAUUGCAUAUCUACCAUCGUAUAAAAUUGGCUUCGCUAGAAUACCAUCACUCAAAUGGGCUUCGCUGGAAUACCAUCUUCAACUGAGUGUAGUUUGAUACUUUGCCAUUUUCAUCACUUUUAGUAAAUGAAAAAGAUUUUGCUCUCUUUUUAGAUUUAUUGUGCCCAAAUUGCCCUCGGGCUUUUUUUUUCCUCCUCUCUCAAUUCAACCUUUUUUUCCUCCUCUCCAUGCUUGAGAGGUCGUCACCGGCGUGCCAAUCGCCGGCGGAGGCGAGGCGUCGAGGUGAGGUCGUCGUCGGUCGGUGAGUCGGGGUGGGCCGGCGGAGCUCGAGGCCGAGAUGACGCGAGCAACGGCGAUGCGGGAUGGCGGCCGAUACGAUGCCCCUGGGCCGAUACGAUGCGGGAUGGCUGUGCCCGCCGUACCGCCUCUCCCACAACUGCGCGCGUGGGGACGUCGUGCUCGCCGUGUGCAGGCUAGGACUCGCGCGGCUCGAGGACUACCGCGUGCUCCUCGACGCCGGUGGGUCCGAGCCACUCGCGGGCGGCCACGAGCACCGCGGGCUCCUCCGCGCCGCCGUGUGGCUGCUCGACCGAGAGGGCACCGCGAUCCGGCGGAUGGUGGCAGAGGUCGGGCUGGCGGGGUGCAGGCUCGUGUUCGUCGGCCACUCGCUCGGCGCGUGGGUCGGCGAGGAGAGGCGGCGCGGCGGCUAGCUCGGCACCGGUCGGCGACACUGGCGUCGCCGCUUCACCUCUUCUGAAGCGAAACAAGUUGAACUAGGGGCAUAACAGUCUACGAAAAUGUGUAAUCGCCGAAAAAUAAUUUUCAAAUGCAAGAAACCAUGAAAAUGGCAUUGCAGCGAAUACCCAUGGUUUGGGAGUGGUAUUCCAGCGAAGCCCAUUUGAGCGAUGGUAGUCUAGCGAAGCCAAUUUUAUGCGAUGGUAGAUAUGCAAUUUUCUCAUCAGUGUGUGGUUUAAUGUAAUAAUUGUGCGACAGCAUUUCGCUCUCGUUAAUUUGUUAGCUAAUUUGUGCUUUAAAUAAAUUUGUGCUCUGAUUGUGUUUCACGCAGGGAUUAAGCUAUCUGAAAGGGGGGAUUUUUUGGGGUAACAGAAAAACAAAAUUUCCGGUUUCUAUCUCAGAUUUCAAACCAAAUGUUCAAACUAAAUUUGAAGUUGAACCAAAAAAAAAUUACGCUCAGAUUCGAGGGGAAAGAGCCUAACCAAGGAAAUCAGCCAUGUGCGCCACCGGCGAGGACGCAUUGCCGCCGCCGCGGCGGAUGUGGAGGCGCUGCGCCACCAUUCACGCCGCCAGAAAGGGUCGGAUUGGCGCCGGCGACCGGCGUCAGCGGCGGAGGAGGAGGCAACCAUGGCCAUGCCCCCUCUCGCGCCACCGGAGGGGAGGCCAAUGCGCCCCCAUGUGCGCUGCCGUGGACAGCAGGGGACGACGGCGAGGCCACCGCCGGGGAGGUCGCCACCAUGCCUUUCAUCGCGCUAUUUGGGAGAAGGGUUCGAGCAGCAUAUCAACAGCAAACCACAUGUUCACCUCCAAAAAUAAUCUUUCGAAAACAAAAAAAAACAAAAGACAUCCAGUUUCACUCUUGAAUGGAAUAUAUUGUAUAAAUCGUGGCAAAAUUUUCAGCACCAUUUCUUGCUAAAUUACAGAGGCUAUAUACAGCCACGCUAUGUACACAUCAGGUAACUGUCAUGCCCCAAACUAGCCCCGAACGGCGGCCAGAGUAAGGCGAUUCAAAUUAACCUGUAUGCCUGUACCAGUCCCAGAAAACAGAGCUGGUACAACAGGAAGAUAGAAUAUCACGACAACAGCGGUCUCUUUAUUAAGAGUAGAAUUACAAUCAAGGUUGGAACUGCGGACAGACCCCGAGUUCACAACAACAUUACAAAAGGCGGAAGCGGAAAGCGGAGACUAGCCUUAAGCCACAAGAAAAGCCUUGGGGAAAGGCCGAAACCCUACUACAGCUCGAAGUCUGCUUGCUCCUGGAAGAACUCUUCUUCAGCAGGGUCCACCUCCUCGUCUUCAAGAACUGGGGGGGUUAUUUAUAUAGAGCAAGGGUGAGUACGGAAGUACUCAGCAAGUCAAGGGAAUUAAGUGUUUGAUGCAAGCUUCGAAGGAGAGCCAGUUAUUUUUCGCGUUCGAUUUUAGUUUGAGACUUUCAGAAACCACUAAGUGAGUGCUUCUCAACGACACGGACGAGAGAGUGCGUCUCAUCCGGUCGGAGCAGUGAAAUUGCAUAGAUUGAUUCUUGCCGGCACGAGAGGCUCCCUGCCAAUCGUUCACCAACACCGGCUGUACCAACAGCCACACGCGAGAGGCUCCCUGCCAAUCGCUCACCAACACCGGCUGUACCAACAGCCACACGCGAGAGGCUCCCUGCCAAUCGCUCACCAACACCGGCUGUACCAACAGCCACACGCCAAACACUGAACAGCGAUCUCACACCAACAGCAGUUCACCAAGUAAUUAGUAAAACUACGCUAAGGAAUCACCUCACAUCCGCCCAUGACCGUGGGCACGGCUGUUUGAACAGUUAAUAACCUCUGCAGAGGGGGUACACUUUACCCACAAGACGUUACUAACCCGGGUCACCCAGCCCGUGCAGAACAGCCACGACUGGUGACCUUGAGGCUUUCACGACAAGGCAUUUCGAAAGCCAACUCAGGGUCAUCUUAUGCCAACGGGAGGGGUCCCACGGACAAACACCAGGUUAGGUCCCAGACCAAAUUGUGCCAGGAAGCCCAGGGGUCCUCCCCGACACUACCCCGGCAAAUCCACUUGUCCCUUGGCAUCAAGAUUUCUCUGGCCUAGCUAGUUACUCAGCCAGGGGUGUCCCAUAUCACCCAUGUGGUCGUACUUGACAUAUGCUCGGAUGUAAUUCCCAAGGAAUCGGUUCUUAGAGCGAGAAUGGGAAGACCGCACCUCCAGCACGUCUCCCGCACCGCGAGUUUUGGAAACUCACUUAAAUUUUCAAGGCACCGACCCAAGUGUCGGGUUUUCCAACCAUUUUGUAAACUCCAGUUUUACCCAGUUGAUCACUUUUAAAUUUGAGGGGAGCCUCGGUAUUCGUGUUCAAUAAUCAAAGAAGGUAAAUGCAGCAAUUGGGUAAGGCCUGCCAGCUAUAUUGCAAACCGAGGCCAAGUGUCCAGUGUACUCCUAGGAAGGCAUAGUUGCAGAAUCAAAAUACUUAAUUUCAAAAUUAUAGGUUCAAUUGAUCAAAGGUGACUUGCCUUGCUCGAGAUCUUGAGCUUCUUCUUCAAAAUCCGCGCACUGCGGGUCUUCAGGCUCUGAAACUACACGCGAAACGAGGUGACUCAAAACAACGAUAAAAAGAAGCCCUAUUAAGGACCACUAAGCGUGCCAUUGGAUAGAUCUCGAUUUCUGAGGAAUUUUGGAAGUUAAACGAAGUCAAUCGGACGAACGGUUGAGAAGAUAUGAAUUUUCGAAGAUUAAAUGAUUUUCUGUCUAAAGGAAAAGGAAUUAUUAAUUCCCUUGAAAAAGAAAAAGAAGGGAGGGACGUGAAUUGGACUUUUUUUUGGGCGGCUAGGCGUGGCCCAACGGAUUAACGUGGGGCGACCGAACUAAUGGGCCGGCGCGCGAAGGAAUGGCCCAAGGCCGAGCGAGGGAGGCCGAUGGGCCGAGCGGCCGAUGGGUGGGGAGGCCGAUGGGCCGAGCGGCCGAAGGCCGAGGCCGAUCGGGGGAGGGAGGCCGAUGGGCCGGAGGAAGGCGGCCGAGUGGGCCUAAGCAAGCCGCGGCCCAUGUGGACGGCUGGAUCGGUGGACCGUGGUCCACCGAGCGGGUGCUAGGGCGAGACCCGCCCGGCAGUAACCCGGUGCGCGUGAACCGGGCGCACGAAAGAGGCGAGGCCGUCGGCGCUCGCGUGGGGCCUAUGUGGCUGCCACGGAGGCCGGUGGGGAGGAGAAAGGGGAGAGAGGGACGAGCCCGCCCGGGAGCGGACGGCUCUCGGCGGCGCUACGGCGAGCGGCUUAUCCUGGCGAACGGCGGCGAGAAGGAGGGGAAUGCGGGCACCGGUGGCUAGAGGAGGAGGAGGGGAAGCGAGCCAAUGGCUCGGAUCGGACCGCAGGGGCGUGAUGGCGGCCGGCGACAGCGCGAGGCGGCGGCGGCAACGGCGGCGCAGGGAGGGGGCAGAGGAGAGGGCAGCGUCCACGGCAGCGCGGGGAGACGGGUUCUUCGGAGCUACCGGGUGCCUAAGCCGAGGAGAAAGGGGAGACGGGGGGAGAAGGAGGUUACCGCGGAGGAGGGGGAGCUCGCCGGGGAAGGCCGACGGCGUGGGGAGUGGUAUCGGCGUGGCUCCGGGCCGAGGGAGAGGAGGAGGAGGCGGGGCCGGGGUCCUCUCCUCGCGUCCUUGGCUGCAGCGGCGGAUGGCAAGAGCGGAGGUGGCACGGCGCGGCGGGUUGGAGGGGAUGGAGCUCGGCGGCGGACGGCAAUGGCGGCCGAGGGGGAGGGUUUAAAAAGAAAAGGCGAGGUCGGUACGAGCGGAGGCGGUUCACAGAGAGGGGCAGAGGUGGUGGAGAGCGGGGGAGGGGGGCCGGCGCGCUAGCGGCCGAGCGGCGGCAGCACGGUGACGUCGGCCGGUCAGGGGAAAGGAGAAAAAGGGGAGGGGAAAGGGGCGCGGCCCUCUUGCCGAUUCGGGCAGGGUGCGCAGGGAGAGAAAGGAGGGCGCGCGCUCUCCCUUCCUUGGCGGCACGCGUGCAGGGCGGCGGGGCUGGGAGCGGCGGACGCUGGCGAAACGGGAUGGAGGGAGAGAGAGAGAGGAAGAAAUGGCGACGGAGAACGACGCGGGGAAGAGAGAGAGAGCGCCCGCUCUCUCGAGCGGGCGUGCGGAGCACGUGCACGGCGCGCCCCGCACUCGGGCCACGCGGACCGGGCCGAGCUGCGCGGCCCAGCGGGAGGAAGGAGGCCAAGCGAGCAGCUGGGCCGUGCGGCGGCCCGAGAGGGAGGAGAAGAAGGGACAGCAGGCCGAAGGAGAGGGGAGAGGGGACUGGGCCGGGAGCGGCCCGGGAGAAAAAAGGGGCCGGUGAGAAAGGAGGGGGCGACUAGGCCAGACGGCGGCCCGAGAAGGAAGAAAGGGGGAGGGAAGUAGGCCGAGAGGGAAACGGCCCGAGGAGGAGGGGGGUAAAGCAGACUUUCUCUGAAAAUUUGGAUUGGAAGGAUUAGGGUUCGGAUUUGAAUUCCGAUUUCGCGAUUUUCUCCGGGAUUGAGACAAGAAGGGAAACACGAGAUCCAGGCACACAACAAGACUCAACUGAAGAACAAAAUUUUCGCAAAUAGAGUUUUUAGAAAUUAUUUUUCCCGCUAACGCCACGACAAAACGGGCGUUACAGUAACUACCCUGCCACUAGCGAAGAAACGAUUUUUAACACCGGCUGAAAACCCUCUUUAGUACCGGUUAUAGAACCGUGAUUAGCAAAUCAGGACUAAAGAUCUCGAUCUUUAGUAGAUCUUUAGUUAACCGUGAUUAGCAAAUUGGGACUGAAGAUCUCAAUCUUUAGUAGAUCUUUAGUACCGUAAAGAUCAAAAAAGAUGUAUACGAUAUGGGAUUCAAACUCAAAAUAUCUCCCCUCAACCCUCACACACAUUACCAUCCCACCUACCACACAUACAUCUGACUUGAAUAAAGAUGUUUUCUUUUUGAAUUAACCCUGGAGACAUUUUUAGUCCCGGUUGGUAACACCAACCUGGACUAAAAAUCCUCAAUCUUUAGUCUCGGUUGGUGUUACCAACCGGGACUAAAAAUGUUUCGAGGGACUUAGACUUUUAGAACCGGUACUAAAGCAUCUUUAGCACCGGUUCGUUAAACACCCGAGAUAUUUGUUAUUUUUGCCGAUCGAGCAAAGAUCAGUUGUCCAGUAGAGUACAUAACACAUCAAGCAUGUACUAGCUACCAAGAACACUGCUACCUUGGAUUAAUUUACAGAAGUUGUGCUCAUUGAUUGUUCUGCUACCUCAGAUUUACAACAAAUGUGUUUACAUGAUCAUUGCUGCAUCAUCUAGUGUUGUAGUUUUCUAGUUCUCAUUUCCCUGGAGUAAUGUCACUCCUUUGUUAAAAUUUUCUACUUCUCAUUUCCCUACAGUAAUGGCACACACCUUUCAGUUGGAGUGCUGGGGAUGAAUUGGAUGAACCCUCGGCCGCAAACACCGGCCUCACAAAGGCGUUGUUGAACUUGUGCCAGUAAUGGUUGGAGGGAAGUGGCCCACUGUGCUCUCCACAUAAACUGACUGACCAUUCAUGUUACAUCCCAAUCUGGCACCAUCGUAUAACGGCACCUGAUAGGAGCGUGUCGUAGGAAAACAACGUGAACCGCUUCCUAUGAAACUGCGAUAUUGGUAUCAGUCCCAGGACAUAGCGCUGGUACCCACGGUGACAAUUAUGAUUCAUUGCAAUCCUUAAAAUUAAAUAGAGGACUUAUUUACCUUGACUUAGGUUGCAACUCUCGAGAGAAGCUCGAGAACGCAACAGACGACGUAGAAGCAGCAACAGCAGAAGCAGAGGCAGCGAAAACCAACGAACUGACACCCAACACCAUAGGCAACACUGGGAACCAGGACGAAACCCUAAUCUUCACUUCACUUCGACUUCACCUUCAGAGCUGACAGGCUAUAUAGAGCAAGGGUAAGUACUUCCGUACUCAGCAAGCCAGGGGAAUUUAGGUGGUUAAGGCAAGCUGCAAGGGAAGGCUGUUUAUUUUGCAAUCGGUUUUGUUUUCAAAUUUUGAACAAUCUAAGUAUGUGCUUUCCCGCAAUCAGAGCGAGACAAGUCUCAGCUUGGUCCGGAAGUGAGAAGUAACAAAUUUUAUUUUCAAGUUUGCACAACUCCCAGAGUUGGCCUCAAAGCUGGUAUCCCAAACCAAACCAAUUUUCCAACCUUUCAGAUAAAUGCGGUCCCCAAACAACCAAUUACUUCCAGGGACUCCGUGUCCCACUGUCUCCCUGACAGCCACUUGCUUCCCAAGCAUCAGGUUUUCCAAACCAGAUCACCUCAUAUCCACCCAUGACCAUGGGCAUAGUUGUUCAAACAGUUUGUUAACCUCUGCAGAGGGGGUACACUUUACCCACACGACGUUACUAACCCGGGUCACACAACCCGUGCAGCGCAACCACGUCUGGUGACUUCGAGGUUUUCAUGACAAGACAUUUCAAAAGCCGACUCAGGGUCACCUUAUGCCAAUGGGAGGAGUCUCACAGACCAACACCAGGUUAGGUCCCAGAUCAUACUGUGCCUAGAAGCCCAGGGGUCCUCCCCGACACCACCCCAACGAAUCCACUUGUCUCUUAGCAUCAAAAUUUCCCUGGCCUAGCUAAUUACUCAGCUAGGGGUGUCCCAUUCACCUAUGUGGUCGCACUUGCUAUAUGCUCGGAUGUAAUUCCCAAGGAAUUGGUCCUUAAAAGCGACCACACAAGCAUUUUUCUUUCAUAAGGCACCGACCCAGGCGUCGGGUUUUCCAAAGCUUUCAUAAAUCAGGUUUUACCCAAAAUAUUCUUAGAUUUUAAGUUUGAAGGCGACCUUCGAUAUUCGCACAAGAUGCAUGAAUACCGAGGUGCCACACAAGUUGUUACACGAGAACAUGAGAUAACAAUUAAGAAAGGAAGGAUCAAAUGCAACAAGUUAGGUAGGCCCACCGAUCUGCCUUGCAGAUGAGGCAAACAGUUCCAGUGCAAUCCUAACAAUGCAUAAAUAUUUUGCAAGAAACAUAAUCAAGUUCAAAUAUAGGCUCAAUAUUUUCAAAGGUGACUUGCCUUGCUCAAGGUCUUGAGAUUCAUGAAUCUUCCAGAAAUCCACGCUUGGACGAAAAUCCGAGAAUCGCAACUAGGCGCAAACAAACAAAACCCAAACAAAGGACCAAAGAAAAGCUCCUAUUUAUACUAAUUAAUAGUGCCAUUAGAUAGAUCACAAUUUUACGGAAUUACUGGAACUGGAACGGGGUCAAACGGAGGUACGGAACAAGAGAUAUGAAUUUUGAAAGAUUUAGUUGAAUUUUCUGGAAUAACGGGAAAGAUUUAUUGAAUUUAUAGAAAAGAAUAUUCUCACAAUCACUGACAUGCGGGGUCCACAUGUCAAUGGGCUAGAGGCCGGGGGGCACCAUGGACUUGGUCCAUGGACAACUAGCGCGGGUGAGGGAGUGAAAGAGGACUCUGUUCACGGGCCUCAACAGAAAUAGCCACAGAUUAAGAGGGGGAUGGGAAGUAGACUUUGGCCCAAUGGUCCAAGAGAGUGAGCCAUGGCCCAAUCGGCCAGUGCGAGGGCGCAGCCGAGCUGGGAGCAGGGAGUUGGGGCGAUGCACGCAGGCAAGGGAGGCAUGGGCCGACGCGGCUACAUGGCCCAGCGGGAUAGCGUGUGCGCGUGAGCGAGGGCGAAGUGGAGCGGCCGACGAGGGCAAUGAGACGGUUGACCGGUUGUGUGCGGGUCCCACCAGGCCGAGCUGGCGCCGACGUGGUAGCCAUGCUGGCAGAGGCGAGAGGGGAGAGGGUCGGACCGAAGAUCGAACGGCCCACGGCGAUGCAACAGCGCCGGCGAACAGCAGUGAACCAAAGGUAGCGACUGGCUCGUGCGGCUAGAGGAGACCAAGGAUAGUUGAUUCAACGGCUCAGAUUUACUGGGAGAGGAAUGACGGCGACCGAAGGCGGUGGCAGAGCUCACCAGAGCGGGUCGCGUGACGGCGCUAUGCGGUGGUGAAAAAAGGCAGCGCGGCACAGAGACAACACAAAGGGGAAACGACCUCGGCGGCUCUCUAGGAUGCUUCAAUUUGAUGGGUGGCCACGCAUGGAAUCAAUACUACUGCUGAUAGUCUCAACCGGAAUUGGGGCUGAUUGGAGAUCAGAAGCGGUGAUGUUGCUAGCGACUGCCAUAGGUUGACGAACAGGUUGGAGGGGUGUCCUUUGAUCUUCCUUGGUCUUAGCUGGGACCACAUUCAAUUGGCAGUUCUUAGGCACAUGAUCUGUUCCCUCGCACAAGAAACAUGUGAUGUUCCUCGUAGGGCAUUCAUCUGGCGGGUGGGUGUCUUCACCACAGGGGCAAGUGUAAGAGCAUGUGUGAGUAGUAUGUCCAAUUUCUCCGCAUCUGGUACAUGCUUUGAACUUUAUUUCUUUUUCACCUUUAAGGAUCUCACCAUCAUCUUCAUCGUCAUCAUCAGAGGACACUUCUUCGAAUCCAUCCUUAUCGGGCUUAGGCGGACCAUACAGCCUAAGUUGUUGAGUUAGCUGAUGGGCACCAUGGGAGGUGUUUCCUCUCAGACGCCUAGGUAUCUCUGCCGCAUCUUCUGGAGUAAAUUCGGAACCAGUGAUGGUUAGGUUCCUACCAUCGUCCAUCUUCCAUACUAAUGUCUUCCUCUUCUUAGAGUUUGAUGGUGGCGUACCAUAGUUUCUGUAGGUAAGUUGACUUGGACGUUUCUCUUCUCUUGGGCAUUGUGCCUUACCGUCAGUUGGUGUCCUGGUAUACACGUUCCAGGGACAAUUUGUCGCACGAUGACCUUGUUCCUCACAAUCCUCACAGAUAACAUUUGCUUCUUUCCGGUAUGAGAGUGAUGGAGAUGCAUUCGUCUGGUGGGAUCUUAGCAGUAUAUCGGUAGGAGGCGUAGGUGCUUGUAUUGGAACACACUGACUUUGGCUCUGAUUCAGACUCUGGGCUUGUAUCUGAGCUUGCAUCUGUUGUUGCUGAUACUAUCGUUGCAUCUGUUGCAUUAUCAUAGCCAGUAUUUGCGUCUGGUUAGCCACCACUUGUGCUAGGGUUGGGUCCCCGAAUGGUGGAGGCGAAAUGUCCACGGGGUUGCUUGGGAUUACUCCAUGAAACUGUUACGAUCCUGAUCCACUGCCAUUGUCCCUGACGUUGACCAUCUGUUGCAGGUAGAGGAGGAAAAUGAGAUUGGUUGAACUAAAGGCCAGACCUUAACCCACUUAGCUACUGAUCUGAUGUGAGUACACUCUUACUGUUCAAGUUGAUUAGGCAGACAACCUACUAUGGUCACAUCCCCACCACUGAUGUAAACCAUACACCUGCACACAGCAAACAACACACGAUCUAACGACUACCGAUACUACUCUUCUGGGAAGGAUUGGGUUUAGGUAAGCCCUAGAAAAACUUCGCUCGAACCUCAAGAACGCUGACUCUGGACUGCUCAUCUUGAUCCUUGCUUGAAGCUUGGCUCUUAGCUUGUCCUUUAUGGGGUUUUCAGUUUGUGCUCCGGGCUUUAGAAGCUAGAGAGCUGGAGGGGAAAGAACAGAAAUUUGAUAAACUGUUUUGCAAAGACUCCUGAGGGAGGGAAGAGACAUUUUCGCAGAUAAGGUUUUCGCAAAACUUGUCCUUAGGGGUUUGACCGUUUGGCUUGACCUACAGUCAAGAUGGCUCUGAUACCAACUUGUCAGGCUCGGAAAUUUUCCCAAAUUUCCAGACCAUAUUGUGUAUUAAGUCCCUGUCCAGGCAUCAACCAGGGUACACAAAACGACAAAUCAAUAAACAGACCCAUAUGUAAAUAAAGUGAUAAAUACAUAUGGGAGAGGCACUUAGUCCUCACACCGAAAAGAAAACAGUAGUGGAAAGAGGCGAUCCUAGCGGGGCUUCAGCUACACUCCACAGGCAAACUCAACUGGGGUCUGAGCCUUGGUCCUCUAACUUCAACUUCAACUCAGAAGUACUAAACUUCUGAAAAGGGGGAAAAAUAGCAAGAUUGAGUACAACCACCGUACUCAACAAGCCACACCAAAGAUGCAAACGUGCAAAGGGGAGACAGAGGGAGGCUUGUGGCUUUUUGCAGAAAAGCGGUUGCAAAUCUUUAUGUUUUAAAACAGUAAACAGUUGUUUAAUUAUGAUAGGAUUAAAUCUCCACUAGACAAUGCUACAACCACGUUGCACAGGCCCAACCAUUCCACCUAAACUACAACAGUUUAUUAAGUCAAAUUAAUUAAGCAUGUGGGACUAAUCACGGUGAAUCUGGUUGAUCGCCCAUAACCGCGGGCACGGCUAUUUGAAUAGUUUUACUCUGAUCAGAGAUGCGCAACUGUACCCACAAGACACGAUUCCACACAUGUUACCAUGCCCCGAAGUAUCACCACGAUACUGCAAAGGGGGAAAUCGUGACAAGACCUUUCGCAUAACUCCUCCUAACCAAGCGCACCAGACCGUAGGUUUCGCCCCCGCUCCUUUACCAGCAGCGGGCAGCCCCCCCUUGUGCCAUGGUGAAUCCGGCAGCCGAUCAACCGGUAUAUCCCCAGCUGACCCAACUCCAUCACGCACACCCUUGCCGGGGAGCGUCAGCUAGGAAAGAGCUAUGUUACAAAUCCAGCAGUUGCCCAUUCUUGCUUGUGGUAAGCACUGUUAUUCUUCCAGGGUUUCCCAUGAACCGGUCCUUAAUUGCCAUGGGUGCGACCAGCAAAACCAUGCACCCACAGCCCACCAUUAAGUCAUAUUUUAGUUGGAUAAUUACGACCAAUAAAACAUGGUCGGGUGUCUCGAGCGAACAGCUCGUUAGAGGCUAAGGUGAACAGUGUAAUUGUUCCAUUAAAUGAGCUAGUGGUAAUUAAGCAUAGCUAAGCAUAUAUAAUUCUAGCAAAGUCAACAUAAGUGACUUACGCUAGUCAAAUUAUCACCCACAGUUAACAAAGGACGGUUUAACAAGUAAACAUAGCACAAGCGGAUGGAUAGGUAAACCCUAUUCCCAUGUAAUUAGCAAAACAUGCACUUUAUUUGCAAACGUAAAACAUUUCGUAAAAUAGGUACAACAUGCUCAAGAGGGAAAUGUGUGACUUGCCUUGCUUCUCCAAACAAUCUUCCGGACCUCUUUCCUCGCGAGCGCGAACUUCGAAACGGCGGAAUCUACACGCUGACACGCACAAAGAGGAAAAACUCUAAUAAAAACCAAAUAAACAGUACAUAAAAAGUAAACAAACAUGUAGAUCUCAAUUUUAGAUGAAUGUUGCAAGUUGAAUGGCUCAAUUUGGAGUUCGUAUGAAUUAGAUAUGAAUUUUAGAAGUUUUGAGCCAUUUAAAUGAAUUUCUAGAAAUUAAAUCGAUUUAUUGCGCAAUUAUUAAUUAAUUUUAUGAAGGAAAGGACUACGCUGACAUCAUCAAAGGGAAUCGGCGCCGGAACGGUGGGUCCCACGUGUCAAUGGGUCAAGGGGCGGCUGAUCCACGGUGGACCAAGUCCACGCACGCACAGGUGCGGACGCACCACGUGGCACUGACGUGGCGGCCACAGCGGAUGGACGGCAGAAGGUAGCGCCGACGUGGACGCCAACGCGGCGAAGCAGCGGGCGGCCACGUGGUCUGGGCGUGGACCGGAUUAAACAAAAGGGGGCCCACGCGUCGGCGACACGAGCAUCGGCGAACCGAAGAGAAAAAGGAGGUGAAAAGGACUUUGCAGGGGAAAGGGGAAAAAUUGGGUUGAGAGGGAGGUAAACUAGACUUGUGCAAAAAGGGAAAUGGAAAUGAGCCAAGGGAGGUAAUUUGGACUUGGGAAGAGGCCGAGGAGGUGAACUGGACUUCCUCGGGAAAAGAUAAUGGGCCGAUGGUCCAACGAGGAAAUGGACGAGGGACGUGAAAUGGACUUCUCGCGAUGGGCGGCGCCAAUCGGGCCGGUGACCCAAAAGGAGGAGGGACGCAAAAUAGACUUUCGCCAGGAGUAAGGUCAAUGGGCCCAACGGCUGCUGGGCCGGAGGGAGUGGUGGGCUGUCCCGGGUGCGGCCUCUACGGCCGAGGCGGGCGGCUAGGGUUCGACCGAACCCUGUGCGGGAUGCGGCGGAAGGAGGAGGGGAAGAGAGGGGGAACGGGGUGCUCAGCGAGGGCGCGGUGACACGGAAGCGUCGGUGGCGGCCGGGAAAGAGUGUCGGCGGCGACGCCUCGGGACGGCGGUGUGCGGCGGCGGCGCACGGGGCAGGGCGGCGCUCCAAGGCGGCGGCUCGAGGCGGCGCUAGGGUUUGGGAGAAGGCGGCGCAAGGGGGAAACGAGAGAGGCGGUGGCGCUUGGGGAAAAUAAAUAGGGGGGCCGAUUAGGGUUGACCGCGCGGGCGGAAAACCCGCCGGAAAACGCGGCGGCGCGGGCACGGCGGUCAUCGGAAAUGGCGCGGUUGACCCGGCGGAGGUUGAAGAAGGGAGUAUAUCCAGACUUCGCGUGGGCUGGGCCGGAAAGGGGGAGAGGGGAGCCGAACGGGCCAAGGCGGCCUUGGGCCGAGGGAGAGAGGAAGGAGGGAGGGACAUGGCCCGUGGGCCGCGCGGGAGGGAGAGGGGAGAAGGCCGCGUGGGUCGCAGGAGAGAGAGAGAGAAUUUUGGGCCGAAAAUGGCCUAAAACAAAAGGGACCCUUUUUAAUUUGUUUUUCAAUUAAUUUAAUCAAUUAAAUGAACUUUGUGACUUUAAAAUUAUUUCUUUAGCUCCAAAAAUUCACGAAAAAUUUUGGAGAGUACUUUAGGCCACAGGGAAUAUUACAAAAAUAUUUCCGGCCAUAAUUUUUAAAGGAAAAUUUUGAUUUCCUUGCUAAUUUCACUUGUUUAAAUUGCUUUUAAUUUCUAUUUAAUUUCUGGAAAAUGUAUUAUUAGGCAAUUUUUACUCCCGAUCGAAAAUCGAGACGUGACAGUGGCACUGGACGGAAUCGUGGAGAGGCUGUCGCGACGGUGGGGGUGGCACGACGCCAAGACGGCGCGCCGGAGACAAAGGUGAUGGCACACGGGAUGGAUCAUGGUCACCAGCACCGAGGUUGAUGAGUGGCGAUGACUGGUUGCGAGGAAGAAGGCGGCAGGGCUUCGCCUCUUUGAAGCACGAAGCAAGAGGAGGAGAAAGAAGUCCCCGGGUCGUAUUUAUAGGCGAGGAGGGCGCACGCGAGCUUUUGCUCGGCUGGCGAUGGUGGACGGUGUCGGCGUUUUCGCGAGCGGCGCAAAAACGGGCGACAGCGCGGAUGUGAGGGACGGUGGGGGUCGGUGGAUCAAGCAGCCGAAAUUGAACGUGGGAGGCGGGAGGAGUAGCGCGGCAAGCUGGCGCUUGGUCAAGGUGGGGCGCUGGGUGGCAAAGGCGGCGUCAGCAGCUUUGUGUCCACGGCGCAAGAAGCCAAGCGACGACAGGGAAAGGGUGCUCCGCUGGAAGAAGAACAAGGAAAAAGGUGAAGGAUAAAGGGAGCUCGGUCCUUGCCGCUUUGGAAGGAAGGAGAGGCACGGACACGGGAAACGGCGAGCGGCACAACCAAAAUCAAAUGGCGGCGGCGCAGUUGUUUUGGCGAGAGAAAAAGAGAGAGAAAAGUGAGCGUGCGGCGGCGUGAGGGAGGAGGCGCUCCUGCUCUUGGCACAUGUGGUGCACGUGGCUGGGGAGAUGGACCGGAGCGGACUAGGCUGGGGACAGCGCGGCUUGAUGGAGAAGGAGAGCGGCGCGAGGGAGAUGGGCGGGCGGGGUGAUGGGUCGAGGACGACGCGGUUUGAUUGGGCCGAGAGAGUGAAGGCGAGCCAGGCGGGAAAAAGGAGGAAUAGAGGGAAUGGGCUAGCCGAGGAGAGAACGGCGGCCCAAGAGGAAGGAGAUGAUAUAGACUUUUGCUGAAAGUUUUCUUUAAGGAAUUUGAGGGGUAAUUGAAGUGGGAUUUGAAUUUAAAUUUCAUAUUUGAACUCAGGAGGAAUAGGGAGGAUUGACAUCUUGGAGUUGGAACGAAUAUCUGGGAAGGGAUUCAAAGGGGAGAUGAAAAAGGGGACCUUGGGAAGGUGGGUUCAAUGGUGGAGCAAUAUUCGAAUUGGAUCAAAUAUUCGGAUAGGUUUCAAAGGGAAAAUAAUAUUCGAGAAGGAAUUUAAGAUAGAUAAAUAGAUAGAUAGAUAGAGAGUGAGAGAGAGAAAGAUGAAACUUAAGAGUUUGGAUUCAAACUCGAGAAUUGAUUUUAGAGAUGUUUAUUUUGUAGCAAGGAUUUGAAGAUGACUUGAACAUCGGUUCAAAUAUUCGGAGAGAUUAUUGAACUUGGAUGAUUUUGGAAAAAAUGUCAAAUGAGAUUUAAGAGAGAAAUUCAAUUGCAGAGAUUCGAAUUCGAGAAUCAUUUUUAGUGAACCAAGGGAAGAGUUUAGGAUUUACGAGGUUGAUGCUUGGACUAUAUUGAAUUCAAGGAUAUUCAACGGAACUUGCAGUUCAAGUUUCAGGAGCGAAAUCCGAAUACAAAGGUUCGAAAUUCGAGACUAGUUUUGAAUGAAAACUUUGAGAGGUCGGGUUAGAAGUUCGGAUUUGUCAAAUUUGAGAUUUGCAAUCAUGGAACAUUCGCAAGUACAAAUCGGGAAUGAUUUGAGCGUGGACUCAAAUAUGAAUUGGAAUUAUUUGAAGGGAGAUUUCUUGAUAGAGGUUUAGGAAGGAGAUUUUCAUACGAAGAUUCAAAUUCUCAAAUUAUUUUGGAACGAAAAAUUUAAGGAGGCAAUUUUGACAACAGGGAAUGGAGACAAAAGAGGGAUUUAAAUUGAGAUCUACGGCACAAGUUAGACUCGACACUCAAAGAACAAAAUUUUCACAUAUAGGAUUAUCUUAAAUUAACUUUUUAACGCCACACGAAAAUCGGGGUGUUACAAUUCAAUUCACAAACCAAACUUACCUUACCAAACUUAAAACUCAAAUCAAAUUAUGGUAAGGACUUCAAACAAAACUCAACACUCAAAAUUGGACAUGCCAAAAUUUAGUUGGGUUGGUUUGGGCAACAACCAAACAAGCCCUUUGUCCAUGGGUUUGGUUGCUUGGUUGUUCCUUUACUUGCAUGCAUGGUGUGAGAGGAUGGAGAGAUAGGCGGAGAUAUAUAGUAAUAAAGAGAAUAAAAGAAAAGGAGGUGUCGAAAACAUUUUGAUCCCUUCAGGUUCAUCCGAUGCAUCACAUUCAAAUAGUUAUGAACAAAAAACUAUUUGACAACAUUCAUAUAGCGCCGUACAUAUACCAUAGCACGUACAUAUACCAUACCACAAGAUUUCAAGUAACAAAUAAACUCACAUGUCAGACAAAAAAUAUGCAAAUCUAGUAUAUAACAGUAGUUGUACUUUUCAGACUCAAAUUAGUACAUUUAUUUAUUACAUGCCUCCCUUGUAUUCAUGAUUUUCUGAUACCUCCCAAAUAAGACAGUACAAAAAAAUCAUCAUGCAUAUGUACGUCAUGUUCAUUAGUCAUAGUAUAGCAAAAUUCUGCAUCAAAUUAAAUCCUAUAUAUGUGGAUUAUCAUAAUUUGUCCUAGAUUAAUAUUUUAAUAUGAUAGUCCAGCGACAGAACAUGACCUAGACAAAAUUUUAUUAUAGUAGACCUUUCUUAUGGUUCUUGAGGUAAAGACCAUCACAAGUUUUAAUGUUAGUUUAUCGUAUCUUUUAUAGAUAUCUCCUCCGAACAAUAAAAAGCUAUAAUUAAAUCUUAAUUUCCAAGGAGUUAUUGUCACGCCCCAAACUUGCCCCGGACAGAAACCAGAUUGAGAUGAUCCAAAUUAACCUGUAAACCUGUACCAGUCCCAGGAAAUAGUGCUGGUACAACUGGAAGAAUGAAUAUCACAGCGUCAGAGGUCUUUUUAUUAAGAGUAGAGAUACAGUCAUUGUUGGAACCUCGGACAGACCCUGAGUUCGCAACUACAUUACAAAAAGGCAGAAGCAGAAACUAGCCCAAAACCACAAGCAUGACUUGGGAACUAAGCCGAAACCCUACUACAGCUCGAAGUCUGCUUGCUCCUGGAAAAACUCCUCAUCAGCUGGAUCCAUCUCCUGUUCUUUGAGUACUGGGGGAGGGGUUAUUUAUAUAGAAAAAGGGUGAGUACGAGGGUACUCAUAAAGCCAGGGGAACUUAUGUAUUAAAUGCAAGUUUCAAAGGAAGGCUGGUUAUUUUGGCAUUCAGUGAGUGCUUCUCAAUGACACGAAUGAGAAAGUGCGUCUCAUCCGGCCGGAGUAGUGAAAUAUAUUUGUUGCUUUCAUCUGCAUGAGUGUAACGUCCCGCCUCCACGAGGCCGGGCCCGCUUACAUCUAGCAGCUUACAUAGGACAUAAACUGCCCUCACAAACCAACACCACCCAUCCCUAGAUUUCUCCAGGCCAAGCACGCUUAACUUUAGAGUUCUUUGGAGAUGGGCUUCCAGAAAAGAAGUUGCAACUUGUUAACAUGAGUAUCCUAUCAAUCUUAUUAUGCCUUGGGCCGGGGUGUUACAUACUCACCCCCUUAAGAGAUCGACGUCCUCGUCGAUCAACCCCAAGCCAGGAACUCCCUCUCUUGGCCACGUCAGUGUGUCCAGUGCCAGCGCAUGUGCCAUGCUGUGUGACCACACCGGGUCCACACCAGCCAUGCGCACCAUGCCUGCGCAACUGCGACACACGCGCCCGUGAAACCGCGAGAGUCGGCUCUGAUACCAUACUGUAACGUCCUGCCUCCACGAGGCCGGGCCCGCUUACAUCUAGCAGCUUACAUAGGACAUAGACUGCCCUCACAAACCAACACCAGUCUUUUCUGCGCACUUCCCUAGAUUUCUCCAGGCCAGACACGCUUAACUUUAGAGUUCUUUGGAGAUGGGCUUCCGGAAAAGAAGUUGCAACUUGUUAGCAUGAGUAUCCUAUCAAUCCUAUUAUGCCUUGGGCCGGGGUGUUACAAUGAGUGGCUCCCUGCCAACAAGUACACAGACUUUCCGAGUCUUGCUGUUCUCGACAGCCACAAGACAAGCAUUGAAAGGAUUCCCUUACACCAACAUCAGUUCACAAAGCAGUAGUCAAGCAAAACUACGCUAAGGAAUCACCUCACAUUCGCCCAUGAUCGUGGGCAUGGCUGUUCGAACAGUUUUUUAACCUCUGCAGAAGGGGUACACUUUACCACAUGACGUUACUAACACGGGUCAUCCAGCCUGGGCAGCGCAGCCACGGCUGGUGACUUUGAGGUUUUCACGACAAGGCAUUUCGAAAGCUGACUUAGGGUCACUUUAUGCCAACGAGAAGGGUCCCACGGACCAACACCAGGUUAGGUCCUAGAUCAUACUGUGCCACGAAGCCCAGGGGUCCUCCCCGACGAAUCCACUUGUCGCUUGGCAUCAAGAUUUCCAUGGCCUAGCUAAUUACUCAGCCAGGGGUGUCCCAUUUUACCCAUGUGGUCGCACAUGUUAUGUUUGGAUGAAGUUCUGAAGGAAUCGGUCCUUAAGGCGAGAACGGGAAAACCAUACCUCCAGUAUGUCUCCCACACCGCGAGUUUUGGAAACACAUUUUAUUUUCAAGGCAUUGACCCAGGUGUUGGGAUUUCCAAAGAUUUUGCAAACCCAGGUUUUACCCAGUUGAUCAUUUUAAAUUUGAGGAGAGCCAACGACACUCAUACCUGAGGGUAGGAAUACUGAGGCUUAACAUAAUAGGCGACAAGGGAAGUUUAGGUCAUUCAAUAACCAAGGAGGUCAAUUCCAAUAAGUAGGUAAGGCCUGCCGGCUAUAUCGCAAACCGUGGCCAAUAAGUCAAGUGUAACCUAAAGAUGCAUAAUUUGAGAAAUGACUUACUUAAUUUUAAAUUAUGGGCUCACUUGAUCAAAGGUGACUUGCCUUGCUCGAGAUCUUGAGCUUCCUCCUCGAAAUCCAUGCACUGCGAGUCUUCGGGCUUUGAAGCUACACGCUAAACAGGGCGACUCAACAAAACAGUUAAAGAAAGCCCUAUUAAUGACCACUAAGCGUGCCAUUAGCUAGAUCUUGAUUUUUUAGGGAUUUUGAAAGUUGAAAGGAAUCAAUCGGAUGGACAGUUGAAAAGAUAUGAAUUUCCUAAGAUUAAAUUAUUUUCUAUCUAAAGGAAAAGAAAUUAUUAAAUCCCUUGGAAAAAGGAAAAGAAAGAGGGACGCAAUUUGGACUUUUCAGCCGGGCACAAGGCGUGGCCCACUGCAAAGCACAAACGCGCCCAAGCGAAGCGGGCCAACGCGCGAGGAAGGCAGCUCGUGGACGACGCGGCGCAGAGAGAGGCCGAACGGGCCGGAGGGGAGAUGAGGCUGAGUGGGCCGGAUCGUGGCGCUACCCACGCGGGCGUGGCGCACACGAGGUGGAUUGGUGGACCACGGUCUAUCGCGCGGGGUCCUGAGUUGGGGCCCACCUAUCAACGACGUGGGUUCACGAGAACCGGGAGCACGGAGGGGGUAACGCUAGGGCUAGGUGGACUCGGUCCGGAGUUGGUGCACCGGGUGGAUAGGGGAUGGUGGGUCCACGCACAGCCUCUCGGCUCCCGUGGACCACGCGCACUGAGUAAGGGAGAGGGAGGCGACGUGGCGCCAACGUGGCCGCCACGGUGGAGGGCGAGAGGAAGAAGACGAUGGCGACGACAUACAACGGCGUGCGGCAGCAGCAAGCUCCGGGACGACGUGGCGUGAGUCUGACGAGGGGGAGGGCACUGGAGCGAAGGGCGACACAAGAGGAAGCGAGCCAACUGCUCGGAUUUGCUGGAGGAUGAUCGACGACGACAAAUCGCGGCGCACGUCGCUGGCAGCAGAAGAAGGGAUCCUCGCCGGAGUGGUUAGAGGCCGAUUCAGCGAUGGGGGAUCAUCUACACGAGUCCACGGUCUCGUUCUGAGCGAUGGGACGGGCGGCGCCACACCGGAGAGCGAGGGCGGCGGCGCGCGAAGUUCGGCACCGAACGGCGGCGAAGCAGCAAGCGAAGGCGAGCAAACGGCGGUGUUAAUGUCUUCUACGAGCACGGGUAAACGGCGGCGAGCUAGUCUACGGCCUAGGGGAGGAAAGCGACGAAGGGAGAGGGACGGAGGGAGUACUGCGACGGGGAGGCGCCGUGAAGAGCGGCCGAUGGCGCAGGACGUGAUCAUCUCGGCCUCGGGCUGAGGGAGAGGAGGAAGAUGGCGCCCGGAGUCCACGUCUCGCGUCCACAGGCGCUGGCGAUGAAUGAUGACAGCAAUGGCAAUGGUGUAGCGGUGGAUCGGGUGCUUAUGGCAGUGGAGGAGGAGGAGGCCGAAAAGGGGGGGUGACGAUGGAAUUUAAAGGGGCUCCGGCUUGGCUUCGAGGAGUAGGGACUCGGGCGCGGUCUCGCGAGGAAACACGCGGUCGCCGGCGCUACGCUCGAGCGGCGGCAGUGGCGCCGGUCACAUUCUUUGGCUCUACCUAUCCAUUAUAGAGUAAAUAGCUCUUUUCACAAUAAGAGUUAUCCAUACAGUGAUGGCAUUUAAUUAUUAAAGUUGGCUAAGUAGCUGAGAAAGGAAAAAGGAGAGAAGAGAGGGAGAAAGAGGGAGUGGACUUUGUCAUCUUGGGCGGAGCGGGAGAGAGAGGGCAAGCUCCGCCUCUCCAGCUUGGACGCUAGCGGCUUGGAGUGGCGUGAGCAUAAGGUCCCAUGGCAGCGGUGGCACUGGAGAGAGAGGGAGAAGAGAAUGCGGUGCGUGAGGGAGAGAGAAGGAGACGCGCACGGGCUGGGUCGGCGCUCUACCGCGGCAAGUGCGGCGCACGUGCCCGAGAGCAGGCCAACGCGGAUCGGGCCAGCGCGGCCCAAAAGGGAGGGAAAGGCUGAGGGGAGAGGCGGCGAAGAUGGGCCAGCCGAGAAGAGGCGGCUCGAGAAAAACAGAGGGAGGAAAACUAGACUUUUUCUGAGAAUUUGAUUUGGAAGGACUUGGAGUUUGAAUUUGAAUUUUGAGUUGGAACUUUUUCAGCGGGAUUUGAGCAAGGAGCAGUGAGAGAGAGACAAGACCUUAGCACACACGAAGCAUGACCGAAGAACAAAUUUCAUAAUUAGGGUUUUUAAUAAAUCGGUUUUCUCGCUAACGCCACGACGGAACGGGUGUUACAGUUAUACACCGGUGCAUUCGAUGGAAGUAGAUCCUCUGAUGUGAACUUGCCCCUGACAUCACUCACACGUGGGCCAAUGAGCGGUGGGGCCCACAUGGUCAGCGACCAUGCCCCUUUGACAUAAAGUUAGAGGAUCUCAAUCCGCAUUGGUUCUUGUAAUAAGCUGUCAAAAAUUAAUGAAGUAGCAGUACCUCCUAGACUCAGCUAGCUCCAGCUACCUCUCAGUAAUAUGGGUAAUGUAAGGAAAAAGAAUACUGUCCUUCAUAAGACAAAGUUGCAAGCAAGAAUUGAUCUGCAGACAACCAAAGCAAUAAAAGGAUAAAAAAUAAAGAAGUAAAGAGCCGGAUGACAGUGCUCCAAAGAGAGAAGUAAUCAAAGGAAUAUCAUUCCUUGAAAGAAAGAAGUAAAGAGAAUUAAAUAUAAUGUGCGUGCAUUGCAGGCCAAAUAAAGCAUUGGGAUCCAAUGCCAUCAGUUUCCUCAAGGCUAGGACAAGGGAAAUAUUCCCUUAGUUAUCUUGUCAUGCAGCAACAAGCAGCAUGGAAUCAAGUAUGGGUUUCUGCAGCAGAAAUUACUCAACCGUUGUCCAUUGAUCGAUUAGCCAAACAAGCAUCCACGACAUCCAAUUCAUGAAUGCAUGCCCUAGCUAGCUUGCGGCCACAGAAGUAAUGAAGAAUUCAAGCCUUAGCCUAGCCUAGCUAGCUUGAUCGAUCCAGCCGGCCAGCCAGCAAGCUUGUUGAUCGCCGGCGACGGCUAGGGUGGGGCGGGGAUGGCUGAGGUUGCGGUGGCUGCCGUUACCUCGCUGCUGGGGCAGAUCCGCAACGAGGGACUAUUUCUGGGGCGCGUGAAGAGCGACGUCCGGUUCAUCAAGCAUGAGAUGGAGAGCAUGAGGACCUUCCUGGAGCACCUGGCCGAGACCGGCGGCCACCACGACCCGCAGGUCCGGACGUGGAUGGAGCAGGUUCGGGAGCUCGCCCGCGACUGCAGGAGCUGCGUCGACAUCUACCUGCAGCGCGGGAACCCAGCGGCGGCACCCUCCGGCGAUACCUCUGCUGGGCCCCUUGGUUUGUGCAGAGCAUGGUGCACCAGCACUACGCUGGCAUCGAGCUGAGCGAGCUCAAAGAGCGGGCGUACGACGUUGCUCAGCGUCGCAAGAGGUACGGCGUGGUGGUCGCCCCCAAGCUGGAAGCCAUGCCCCCGGCAUCGUCGUCAGAAGCUGAAGACUACGAUGCAACACGCGACAAGUUAGCUGGUGGCAGCAGCAAUUCUGAUCUCGGUCGAACAAGUGUUCUGGAGGGUCGCUUUCUGGAGAACUACUGUGGCGAGGAGCUUGCCCACUGGGUGAUGAGCACGGCGACAAUGGGAUCGUCAGCUUCGACGACAUCAAUACCAUCCAUCGCCAUUGUAUCGCCACCGAUACAAGAAGCUGAUGAUACAGCAGAGAUGGUUGCAAUACAUGAUACUUUGGCUUCUGUGGCGGCCACCCAUUUUGAGCACUCACUCUUGGUCUACCUCCCGGCAGUGCAUCACAACCCCUCCCAUAUCCGGAUCAAACUCAGGGUCAUCCUCUGCUACAUCCUGUAUCAAUGCGACAUGGAGAAGGAGAGCUGGCACUCCCGAUGGGGCCGCGAAUAUUUAAGCAUGGUGGACGAAUAUCGAACAUCGAAUCCGGUGUAUGCCAUGAAAUGUUACAUUUACAAAUUGAAGAUCGCUGACAUCUGUAAGGGUGACACUUUCAAGAGACUUGUCCAAAAUAUUAUACAAAUAGGCAGGAUGGUUACUAGACUCAACGGUGAGCUUGAAAGAAGUGUAGAUGCUAUGCUCCGAUUGACGAACAAGAAACCCUUGUGCAUACUCUUGAAAGCGCUGGAUUACCUUGAAUGCGGCGCUGAUUUCUCUGACGUGGAAAAGUACCACCAGCUUCGAGUUGAGAGGAUGCCAUUUCAAUUUAAAAUGCUACAAUUGGACGAAGAAAAAUUACUAGUGGCAACGGCCCAGAAGCUUAAAGGGCAUUUUGAAACUAACAUCCCGAUUCAUCUCAGUCAAGCCACAUAUGAAUCCAUCCUGCGUGAAGUGUUCCAAGCCAGCAACAAAACCCUACAGGCCCAGGAAGGUACCACUGCUCCCAGCCCAGGCGUUGGUACUAGUCAUGAUGUUGCAACAGCUACAACUACUACUACAUUCGACAAGGAUCAAAUCGAAGAAAUGAUAUACAUCCACAUGGUAGUUAAGUAAAUGCUCCUACAGGAGCUACAGGAUAUGCAGCCUCCACAAGUGCCAGAAGCAGGCAAAUCUUUGUUGAAGGCCGAGCUAGCCACACCUAAACCAGCCGAUCAGGACGACCAUGAAUUUACAAGUGCUAUCGAAGAAACCAAGCGAAAGAUCGCACAAGUCGGGUCAGAGAUUGGGGAACAGUUUCUUAUCGAAUGCUUAGUUGACGAGAUUAAAGAACUUUUGGGAGGUAAAAGGACCUUGAUUAUCAUUGAAGAUGAUAAGAACUAUGUAUCCCAGUGGUAUGGGCUCAGAAAUUCUUUGAAGCAGCUAUCAUGCUCAGGCAGCGCAAUGAUUGUGACCACCCAGGACACUCAAAGGGCCAAAGAAAUUUGCUAUCCACCAAGGGAGCCUAUAACCAAUUCUAUUGUUGGCAUGUACCAUGAUAUUUUGCUCAAGGUUACAAGCCAGCGAGUGAAUGGAGAUGCCAGUCAGAUUUUCCGUGACAUCCUGAACAAGUGUUGUCCAAGUGAGUUCUGCAUGAAGACCUUUGCUCAUGCCCUGUACACUAAUCCCAAUAGGAGCAAUGAAGAUAUGUGCAAGUUGCUUGGCUCCCUUCAUUCACAGCAAUCAUCGGGCAUCAAUGCUGAGAAGAUGAUCAAGUUCUCCUACGAUGAUCUCCGUAAAGAAUACAAGUCUUGCUUGCUGUACCUAUCAAUCUUCCCUCAUGGUUACUCCAUUAGGCGGUCAACCUUAGUAGAAUGUUGGGUUGUAGAAGGGCUCAUAACUAAGGAAGACUGGCCUAGUGCAAUCCAUCAUGCUGAGCGAUGUUUCGACACACUCAUUGAUCGAUGGCUUAUCUAUCCCAAUGAUAUUGGAGCUGCAGGAAAGAUAAAGAGUUGCAUUGUAGGUAAUCUUGUUCAUGAGUUCAUCACCAAGAUUGCAAAGAAACAACAUAUUGUGGAACCACGCCUGUCACAUCAUUUGGCUCGUCAUUUCUCCAUCUUCAAUGAGCUCCAACUCCGCGGCUCGGAUAGAAUCGACAGGUUCUUCAAGAAUCUCUCUAAAUCAUCCCAAUUGUCAAUGCUUAAAGUGCUAGAUCUAGAAGGCUGUUGUUGCUUCAAGGGGAAGGAGCACUACCUCAAGGACAUUUGCAGCAAUAUAUUACUACUCAAGUAUCUGAACCUAAGGGGAACGGAUAUUACCAAGCUACCUCAUCAAAUCAACAACCUCUAUGACCUGGAGGUAUUGGAUAUCCGGCAAACUAAGGUGCCUGCGUUUGCAACAAAGCAUGUCCUGCUCCUGAAGCUAAAACGUCUGCUGGCUGGUUCAAGUAUUAGUGAGACCACCAUGUCUAUCAGGGACAAGGAGCCAUUAUCCUCCUAUGUCCGAAUUCCUCUUGGGAUAAAAAAAAUGGCAAACGUGGAGGUAUUAUUCAAUGUCAAGGUCUGGACUGGCCAAGAGUUGAAAGACAUUGGGAAGCUAUGGCAACUGAGGAAGCUCGGUGUGGUUAUCGACGACAAGGACAAUCUACUCAAGAAUUUGCUUACAGCAAUUAGUGACUUAUGUGAGUGCCUCCGGUCUCUGUCCAUCACUAUUGUUCCCUGCAGUACCAAAAGAGAGGGCACUCCAUCCAUUGGAGACUUACCAGAGUAUAUUUCCCGUUGCCUGAAAUACCGUCCCAAGCUUCUUGAGAGCCUGUGCCUCCAGGGUACCACGCAAAAGGGCGAGCUUCUUACAUUAUUGGCUGAACGUUUUACUAAGCUUGUCAAGGUAACAUUGAGUUGGACCUCAUUGAAACAGAAAAAUCUGGAGGGUCUUGGUGAUCUGCCCAACUUAUGCUAUGUUAGGUUCAGAAACAAGGGAUACACAGAUGGCAAGCUCACCUUCAUUCAGCAAAAAUUCAAAAAUCUCAAGUACUUUCUUGUCGAGGGCAAAAACAUGAGAGGCAUCAAAUUUCAGAAAGGAGCAGCUCCAAGGCUCGAGAAGAUUGUAUUGUCCUUCACCAACAUAGAGUCUCUUGAUGGAGUCGGGGACCUUCCAAGACUGGAAGAGCUCGAGUUGAAGAGAAACAGGUUCCUUCUUUCAUUAUCUGAAGUGGGAGAAACUCUCGAGAAAUACAUGCUCACCUUCAAGAAGGAUGAAUUCCAACAUCUCAAGUACUUACUUGCUGAGGGUUUCAGCAAGAGCUUUGAGACAAACAUAACCUUUGAAGAUGGAGCAACUCCAAAGCUUGAGAAGAUCAUCUUGAACUCCUUCGCCAACAUAAUGUCUCAUCCUGGGGUUAGUAGCCUUCCAAAAUUUAAGGAGCUCGAGUUGAAGUGCAACAAGCCACUUCUUUCAUCAUUUGGAAAUGCCAAUAAAAUUUCCAAGGUGACUCUUCACUCUACCUUGCUGAAGAAUGCUGAUCUACAAAUUCUCGCAAAAAUACCAAGCAUAUGCUGUCUAAUUCUCUUGGGCAAUUCUUACGAUGAUACCCUGCUUACCUUCAACAAAGGAGAGUUUCCCAAGCUCGACCUUCUUAUUGUUGAGUGCCCUACCAUCACCAACAUCAGCUUCACCGAAGGGGCAGCUCCUAUGCUUGAGAAGAUCAUCUGGUCCUUCACCAAGAUGAAUUCUCUCUCAGGCAUCAACAAUCUCUCCAAACUGAAGGAGCUCGAGUUGAUUGGUGACCUUGUCCCUGACCAGGUGAGGAUAGAUAUUAACACACAUAGAAAGCAUCCUGUUCUUAACCACAAGCAGCCACAGCCCCAAGACCAAGAAAAUGGAAGUGAACAAGGAGAAGAGGAGGAUCUAAAGUUUCCAGCAUGCUCCUGGUUGUCGUUGAAGAACAAGUAUUGGUCCUGUAACUGACGAAACAAAAUGUUUCCAUGCCAGCAUCCUCCAUCCUUCCAUCUAAUUCAUGACCGCCUGCUCCGGGAAUCACUUGCAUGCUAAGCAUGUGUUGUCCUUCUGUAAAUCUGUAAUACUUGUGUGUGUGUGUGUGUGUGUGUUUAUUCAUCAAGUUCCUAGCUAGCUACCAGCUGCUAGCCGCAUGCAUGAUCUGUGCCGUCUGAUCAGUGCACAGAUGCAGCUGGAUAGCUUGAGCAUUGCAGCUGCGCGGACCGAUGCAGCUAGCUGCGCUCGUAUAUCGAGUUGGGAAAAGUGUGGGUUUCAUCUGAAAUUAACCAUCUGCCACACCUUGAGGUAAUCACUAAUCAGUGUGCGUGAUUUGUGCAUAUAUGUAUGUAAUUCAUCUCUGUCGAACCAUCAGUGUGUGGCUUCAUUCUCUAAUAAGUGUGCGACAGCAUUUCGCUCUCGUUAAUUUGUUAGCCAAUUUGUGCUCUGAUUGUGUUUCGCGCAGGGUUUAAGCUAUCUGAACGGGAGGAUUUUUCAGGGUAACAGAAAAACAAAAAUUUCCGGUUUCUAUCUCAGAUUUUGAACUAAAUUUGAAGUUGAACCAAAAAAAAAAAAAGGAGAAAUUACGCUCAGAUUCGAGGGGGAAGAGCCUAACCAAGGAAACCAGCCACGCGCACCACCGACGAGGACGCCUUGCCGCCGCCGCCGCCGCGGCAGAUGGGGAGGCGCUGCGCCGCCGGAAAGGGUCGCCGGCGAGCCGCCCAACCGCGCCGCCGGAGAAGUUGGGGGAAGCCAUUAGUAAGGGGGGAGGA
RNAcentral lists this long non-coding RNA (126830 nucleotides) under Oryza sativa (Asian cultivated rice). RNAcentral's name for it is "long non-coding RNA (OSAT_LNC000036)". Lineage: Eukaryota; Viridiplantae; Streptophyta; Magnoliopsida; Poales; Poaceae. The record is from RNAcentral.